UUGAGACCAAUUAUCAACAUAGAAACUAGAAUAGAGUAGCAACAAUGACAACCAAGAUAUUUUCCCUCCUUAAGCUCCUUGCUCUUUCUGCAAGCGCUACUACCACGCCAUUUUCCUGCAAUGCUCACAAGCUCCUAUAGCUUCCCUUCUUCCCCCGUACCUUUCAUCAGUGAUGGCUUCAGUAUGUGAAAACCCAAUUCUUCAUCUCUAUAGGAUCCAACAGGCAAUUGCAGCAGGCAUCUUAACUUUAUCACCCUUGUUCCUCCAAUAACCGUCAGCCCUAUUACAACAGUUAUCUUUGGUGCAUUUGUUGGCACAAAGCAUCAGGGCACAAAAACUGCAUCAACUUGCGCUGGAAAACCUUACUGCCAACUCUCAGUAACAAAAGUUUAUUCCAUUCAACCAACUGGCUACAUUGAACUCUGUUGCUUAUUUGCAACAAUAACAACUACCAUUCAGCCAACUAGUUGUUGUGAGCCUGUUGCCUUCUUACAUAGCAGCAGUUGUUGCCGUUCUACCCGCACGAUGUGGCUAACACAACCACCCUCUUACAACUGCAACAAUUGCCGCCAUUCAACCAACUUGCGUUGACAAACCCAACAGCGUUCUACCUACAACCCAUCAUUGAUGGUGCCCUCUGUUAGAUUGCUUAUGAGUUAUAGUUCAAUAAUGAAGUUUUUUGGUUGAUGUUUGUGGCUUCCCAGAAAUAAUAAAGUACAUUUCUAGAUUCUCAUGUGCUACUUGUCUCCAAAUGUGGUUGAUAAUUAUUUUGCUCUAAGAUCGAGAGUAAUGAUGUAUAAAUCAUCGUUGUCGUGUGAUACUCGGUCAAUUGAGCAUUAGCACACACAAACAUGACGAGAAUGGUAUAAUCUCCAAAAAUAUGUACUUUGUAGGUGGGACCCUAUAGCCAUGCAAAAUAUGCUAUGUUAGGCAUGCCGAUGGAAACAUGUGAUGCAUAUGUUUCGUGAACCUGUUGAUAUUAUAUGUGAUUUAUAUUACGAUAUUUUACUAAAAUACUAAUAUUUAUUACUAGUAAGUUAUAACAUUCUAUCAAUCUUAAAAACCUAACCAUAAAUAUUCCAUCGUAACUAGGUUUACCAAACUAUACAAAUACACAAUAAAUACAAAAUUAACAAUACAAUAACCAAUAUUUAUGAGCUUAAUAAAUUUAAUUUUAGGGUUGGUCGAUGAUAAUCAUAUUGACUUCCCCUGACUCCUUGAUUGUAAAUAUGCCUAGACCAUGCCUCUUUCUACUAUACGGCAAACAGGGACCACUCUAGGAGACUAGGACGUUGCUUGAGACGAAGACGCCAUCAUUGAUGUAGACUAUCGACCAUCUGACUGCAGUCGAUAAAAAUUAACUAUUUCUGUGAGGCGUUUGACCAAAAAUGACAAAACUUUACUAGGUUCUGUUGGUUGAGUGAGGGCCGACAAAAGUUGAUAAAUUUUCGUGGGAUUAUUUCAAGCCGACAUAAAUUAUUUUGGCUAAUGGAAGUUUCUUUUUUCCUUAGUUGUGUGGUGCUAUACAUAUGCAUGUCUGAUUCACGUGAUAAACUAGGCUAGAAAAACAAUUAUUUGACAUGGAUUGUUGUGGAGGACCAUACCAACUGUGACUGCCAUCUCAAUCCAGCUGACAUCUAAGUGACCUUUGAAUAAAUUAUUAAGCUGACAAAACUUUGACACCAAGAAGAAAGUUUAAGUAUGUAAAUAUUUAUGUUCAUCAAGCUGCUAUUCCCUAUCAUUGGCAUGAACAUUGUCAUCAUUUAGUUCCUAAGAAUAUAAUAAAAACAAGAAGAGCCACCUCACGAGAAUCCUUUAACAUAGACUAAAUAGUAGUUUUUGUGGAACACAACAGAACUGUACACCAUUUUCAGCGGCCAAGGUUAUUUUCGGCGGCCAGGACUUAGCCGCCGAAAAUAAACCUAUUUUCGGCGGCUUCUGACACAGCCGCUGAAUAUACAUUUAUUUUUGGCGGCUACUAACACAACCGCCGAAAUAAGGUUUUUAAAACCGUCGGGCUCCUUCUCUAUUCUCUCUGUUUCUUCUCUUCUUCUCCUCGCUCGGUCGCCGCCGUACGCCGCCACGCCGCCCGCCCGUCGCCGCCGUGCCCGCCACAGCUACAUCCACGCCCCCGCCGAGGCGCCGCGCCACCCCGUGCAGCCAUGCCCCCGGCGGCUCCGUCUCGUCGUCUGCCGUCACCCUCGGCUCCCAUCGACCAAGAAAACUUGAAUACUCCUUAGCCAAAAAAUGGAUGAAUUUCACCUUCCUUAUCUUAAGCUCCUUGAUUUUUCUACUAAGUGUCGCUAUUCUAACCAUUAUCCCUUGGGUAAACCAUAUUUGAUUAUCCAGCCAAAGGACCCAGAAGAUAAAAACAAUUUUUAAUUGCUAUUUCGAGACAAAUGAAUUAGCGUGAUUCGAAAAGGAUUACGACCUUCCCCCUUGACCUUUGUCAUACUUCUUUAGUCUAAUCGAUAGAAUCAAGAAUAGAAAUCACUGAAGAAGUUGAUAAGCGAAGCUUCGACGAUAAUAGGAACAUGGUGACAAUAGGACGAACGAUGAUGCCUUUGUCUAAGAAUGUUAUCUAGAAGAAAUCUCAAUCAAUUGUCGGUACAACGAAAAGAUAGAAACAUGCACCCUUGAGUAUGAAACAUUUAUAUGUAAGAGGAAGGAGGAAUGUAAUUGCUCAUGCCUAAUCAUAUUAUUGAGAGUUUUAAGGCGAGACUUAUGGCAAAGGGUUAUACACAAAAAUAGGGGAAAGGUCAUUUCAAUACUUAAUCAAUUUUUGCCCUUCUAAUGACCAUACAUGUGUUACUUUUUUUGGCUGCCUCACAUGGUCUUAUCGUUCACCAGAUGAAUGUUACGUCUGUUUUCCUAAAUGGAGAGCUUAAUGAACAGAUCUACAAUGACUAGCCUGGUGGAUUUACACCAAUUGGUAAAGAGGAAAAGGUGUUUAAAUUAAAACAAAUUUAUGGUUUAAAACAAGAACCAAAGCACAUGAGAAAUUUGAUAAAGUUUUGACUUUGGCUAAAUUUGUUGCAAAUGAAGCUGAUAAAUGUGUCCAUUACCGGUUUGACAGGGGUGAAGGUAUAACAUUUUUUAUGUGGAUGAUAUAUUAAUCUUUUGUAAUGGUGUUAAUAUGAUCGAGGAAGUAAAGUAAUUUUUGUCUAGUAACUUUGAAAUAAACAAUCUGGGAGAGAUUAAUGUUGUUCUUAACAUAAAGAUGUUCAGAGGAGGAGGAAAUAUGGGGUUAUUCUUGUGCAAUCCUAUUAGGUUGAAAGGUCGAUGAGUUGCUUUGGAUAUAGUGACUACACGUCUGGUCCAACUACUUAUGACCCAAGUGUGCUAUUAAGGAAAAUCAUAUAAUCGCAUAUGAUCAAUUGAGAUAUUGUCAAAGCAUGGUCUUCUCAUGGAUUUGGCUAGUUCAACGAGGCCUGAUAUCUCGUUUGCUAUGAGCAAACUCAGUUGCUUUGUCUCCAAUCUUAGGGAUGAUCAUGACAUGCCCUAGAGAGGGUAUUGCGCUAUCUAAAAGGGACUAUGAGUAAUGUCAUUUACUAUACCACACACCUAAGGGUACCAGAGUGUUAUAGUGAUGCAAACAAAAUAUGUGAUGGUGAUUAGAUUUAAGCCACAAGUAGAUAUGUGUGCUUACUUGAAGGUGUGGUUGUUUCAUCGAAGUCUUGUAAGCAGACCAUCUUAACAAGGUCAACAAUAAAAGUAGAACUCACAACAUUAGAUAUUGCCAAAGUUGAUGCCGAGUGGCUUCGUGAACUCCUUAUGGAUUUACUAGUAGUUGAAAAUCGAAUACUGGUUAUCUAUAUGAGCUAUAAUGAUUAAACAUUGGUAAUCAAAGUGAACAAUUCUUAGGUUAACAUGAAUACUACAAAGCAUGUCAAAAAACGGUUGAAACUGUUAAAACACCAAGAAAUUCUAGAUUAAUUGUGUUGGACUAUGUCCAUACUUCUAAGAAUUUGGUAUGCGAGUUUAUAGAAGAUUUGUCACAUAAUGUGAUAGAUGGUGCAUCGAGGAAGAUGGGCUUGAGACCCACUUAAUGCCAUUCCAUAGUAGUAGCAUUUUCUAUGUGAUUGGAGAUCUCAUAGAGUAGAAUGGUGAAACAAGCUAGAGAAUGACUGAUGGAGAGACUCCUUAAAUAAAAUCUAGGUAAUUUCAUAUGCACAUUUCUCCUUUGAUGUACGAUAGGCUAACUAAAAUAUUAAUAUGAUUUGAGUGACUUAUCUAAGUAGGGAUGUUAUCUUACAGAACAUCCUAGAAGGAACACACCUAUAUGAGUUUCACUGCUAGUCACGAUCUAUGAUAUGUGGGCAAUAUUUAUAUACUCAUGAAAGGCCUCGAAGUUUGACUUAUAUGAUUCAAGCCAAGGGGAUUCUUGUAAUAGUCUAGUACGAGAUAAGAACUUUGGAGAAACUCACUUCAUGCAAAAUUGUCAAUUCAAGGUAUAGUCCAUUGUUCAGAUAUGAAUAUGUAAUCCCUGUUCUAGAUGGAUGGUCAACUUAACAGCCUCCACCAAAACCCUUAUAUAUCAAAGAGUAGUGGAUUUGAAUUUGUCUAAUUUGAAUUUGUCUAAUAUGUAGUUUAUGGGCUUGGCUCAUUUAAAGUAUUUAAUAAUUCUGAAAGACAAGAUUAAACUAACUAUGUAUGAUCCUUUAGCAUCGUGCAGAUGGUCAAUGGGACAGUUACAUGGUUUAUAUAGAUGGACCUAUCUAUAUUCCUUCAGUAGUUGAGAAAAAGGUAAAGGUGUGUCACACUCACACAUGCGCUGCCUCCACCGAGACAAGGCAUGGCGUUGCAAGGUGAGGCAUGGCAUGGUGCAACACGAUCGCAGUCAUGGUCGUGGCGCGGUGUAGCAUUGUUGUGGAUAGAUCGAUAAACUAUUGUUGUAGUUAGAGUACAUGAGUUUUUGAAUGCAACACUAGAAUUUUCUCAAUUUAACUUAAUUAAGAAAUUAUAUCUUGAUGACAUAGAGUUACCUGACCAUUGAUCUCACAUGCCCUUUUAGCUCUCUCGUUCUCUAGUCUCGCCUGACUAUUUAGGUCUCCUGACUCGCCAAUAGAAAGACCAUCCUAUCAUUUGCUCUCGAAUACUUCUGUGUCAUAACUUGAAAGUCGCCUAGAGCGGGAGGUGAAUAGGCGAAACCUAAAAUUUAUAAACUUAAACACACACAAAGGUCGGGGGUUAGAGUUAGAAUUAAAUUCUAGUCCAGAAGAAUAUCUCUGUUGCUAGGAGUUGCUCAAGGAUUGCAGAUGAUGUAUGUGAGCCAACUCAAAUUCACACUAGCAAGGAAAUGUUAGAGAGAGGAAAACAAAUCAAACAAGAAUCAAGGCGAGUGAACACGAUGAUUUGUUUUACCGAGGUUCGGUUCCAAAGAACCUAGUCCCCGUUGAUGAGGUCACAAAGACCGGGUCUAUUUCAACCAUUUCCCUCUCUCAAACGGUCACUUAGACCGAGUGAGCGUUUUCCUUAAUCUCUCGGGUCACUUAGACCCCGUAAGGACCACCACACACUUAGUUGUCUCUUGCUUCAAUUACAAGUCACUUGAGAAAUAGACGGGAAAAGAAAAAGGCCAAACCAAGCAACAAGAGCAACAAAGAACACAAGAUAUCCUCUCACAAGCCCUAAUGCACUAGAGUUGAUUUUGGGGCUUUGAGUGGAUUGAUUGCUUUGAUUGUGUCUUGGAGUGUUGGACUUUGCUCUUGCAAUGAAUGAGAGUUCAGAAAUGCUUGGAUGGUUAUGAAUGAGGUGGUUGGGGGUAUUUAUAGCCCCCAACCACUUCCAUAGCCGUUGGUGAAGGCUGCUAGCGAUGGGCGCACCGGACAGUCCGGUGCAUCACCGGAGAGCCACUGUGUACUGUCCGGUGCGCGCCACAUCAGCGCAACCGUUAGGGUUCGGAGCUGGUCAACCGUUGGAGUCUUUGUCGUCUUGUUGCACCGGACAGUCCGGUGCCCUCUGACUUCUGACAUCCACUGUUCAUCGCGACAGAGUCGACCGCUGGCGCAUAGAGCCGUUGCUCCGCUGGUACACCGGACAGUCCGAUGAAUUAUAGCGAAGCGCGCCCUAGAAUUCCUGAGAGUGGCUGGUUCAUCUGCUGUACGACCUGGUGCACCGGACCCUGUCCGGUGCGCCAUUUUUUAGCACACUCAAGUCCUUUUGCUCCAAUUAAAUUGUGUCCCUAACUUAAUUUCUUUCUUGGUUUGUGUUGAACCUUAUGCACCUAUAAUACAUGAAUUCUUGACAAACUAGUCAGUCCAUGUGUUUGUGUUGGUCGUCAACCACCAAAAUUAAUUAUAGGAAAUGGUUAACCCUAUUUCCCUUUAAAUCUCCCCCUUUUUGGUGGUUGAUGCCAACACAAACCAAAGCAAAUAAUAAAUGUAGAAAUAUAACUAGUUUGGAAUUGAGAUGAAUGUGCAUAGGUUACUUGGAAUUAAACCAAUAAAAUAUUUUCAACAUAUGAAUAAGAGUGAAUGGAUUGGCUUUCUUUUAUUUAAUAUUUUGGACCACAUUUGCACCACAUGUUUUAUUUUUGCAAAUCUUUUGGAAAUCUAUUCAAAAACUUCUGCAAAUAGUCAAAGGUAUAGGAAUAUGAUUGCAAGAAGCAUUUUUUAGGAUUUUGAAAUUCCUCCCCCUGUUUCAAAUGCUUUUCCUUUGACUACAUAAAAGCUCCCCCUAAAUGAAAUUCUCCCCUUAGCUUUCAAGAGGGUUUUGAAGUAGAUACCAAUUGAAAAAAUUUCUCUCACAUAUGAGUUGAAAGUUAGAUACCAAUUGAAAAUAUAUUAAUUGAAAUUCUUCCAUACUUAAUGUGAAGUUUUGAAGAUACCAAUUGAGAAAUUUUCUUCACAUACCAAUUGAAAAUUCAUUUUGAUCAAAUACCAAUUGAAAUAUACACCAGUUGAAGUUUACCAAUUAAAGAAAAUUUCAUUUUGAAUUUUUUUGAAAUGGUGGUGCGGUCCUUUUGCUUUGGGCUUAAUAUUUUCUCCCCCUUUGGCAUUAAGCGCAAAAAAUGGAGAAUUCGAGAGCCCUUUUUCUCCCUUUAUGGGGUCUAAUACUUUCUCACAAAUGGUAAAAUGAAUAUGAGUGAAUGAUUAUACCAAUUGAGAGUGUGGAGGAACAACGACAAAGGGUAUACCGUCAGAGUUGGAGUGGAAGCCUUGUCUUUGCGGAAAACUCCAUUUCUUUUUCAAUCUACGACUUAGUAUAGAAAUACACUUGAAAACACAUUAGUCAUAGUCUUGGCACAAGAAGAGUAAGAAAUAUGUAUUUGCACCAAAUGAAAGAGAUAUGAUCAAAUGUAUAUAAAUUAGCUAUGUGUGCAAAGUUUCAAUCAAAGUUCCGUGAAUCAAGUAUAUUUAGCUCAUUCCUAAGUUUGCUAAAUGUUUUCUCAUCUAGUGGCUUGGUAAAGAUAUCGGCUAAUUGGUUGUGGGUGCUCACAUAAGCAAUUUCGAUAUCCCAUUUUGUUGGUGAUCUCUCAAAAAGUGAUACCGGAUGUCUAUGUGCUUAGUGCGGCUAUGUUCAACGGGAUUAUCCGCCAUGCGGAUUGCACUCUCAUUAUCACAUAGGAGAGGGACUUUGCUCAAUUUGUAUCCAUAGUCCCUAAGGGUUUGCGUCAUCCAAAGUAAUUGCGCACAACAAUGACUUGUGACAAUGUACUCGGCUUUGGCGGUGGAAAGAGCUACAGAGUUUUGUUUCUUUGAAGCCCAUGACACCAGGGAUCUUCCUAAAAACUGACAAGUCCCUGAUGUGCUUUUCCUAUCAAUUUUACAUCCGGCAUAAUCGGCGUCGGAAUACCCAAUUAAAUCAAAGGUAGAUCCCUUGGGGUACCAAAGCCCAAACUUAGGAGUGUAAACUAAAUAUCGCAUGAUUCUUUUCACGGCCCUAAUGUGAACUUCCUUAGGAUUUGCCUGGAACCUUGCACACAUGCAUAGAGAGAGCAAAAUAUCCGGUCGAGAUGCACAUAAAUAGAGUAAAGAUCCUAUGAUCGACCGAUAUACCUUUUGAUCUACGGAUUUACCUCCCGUGUCGAGGUCGAGAUGCCCAUUGGUUCCCAUGGGUGUCUUGACGGGUUUGCCAUUCUUCAUCCCAAACUUCUUAAGUAUAUCUUGUAUGUAUUUUGUUUGGCUGAUGAAGGUGCCCUCUUGGAGUUACUUGAUUUGAAAUCCAAGGAAGUACUUCGACUCCCCCAUCAUAGACAUCUUGAAUUUCUGUAUCAUGAUCCUACUAAACUCUUCACAAGUUGACUUGUUAGUAGACCCAAAUAUAAUAUCGUCAACAUAAAUUUGACAUAUAAACAAGUAUUUUGCAACAGUUUUAGUAAAGAGAGUAGGAUCGGCUUUACCGACUUUGAAUCCACUAGUGAUAAGAAAAUCUCUCAGACAUUCAUACCAUGCUCUUGGGGCUUGCUUGAGCCCAUAAAGCGCCUUUGAGAGUUUGUAAACAUGGUUAGGGUACUCACUAUCUUCAAAGCCGGGAGGUUGCUCAACAUAGACCUCUUCCUUGAUGGGUCCAUUGAGGAAGGCACUUUUCACGUCCAUUUGAUAAAGCUUGAAGCCAUGGUAAGUAGCAUAGGCAAGUAAUAUACGAUUUGUCUCAAGCCUAGCUACAGGUGCAUAAGUUUCAUCAAAGUCCAAACCUUCGACUUGUGAAUAACCUUUGGCCUCAAGUCGGGCUUUGUUCCUUGUCACCACACCAUGCUCAUCUUGCUUGUUGCGGAAUACCCAUUUGGUACCUACAACAUUUUGAUUAGGACGUGGAACUAAAUGCCAUACCUCAUUCCUCGUGAAGUUGUUGAGCUCCUCUUGCAUUGCCACCACCCAAUCCGGAUCUCUUAGUGCAUCCUCUAUCCUGUAUGGCUCAAUAGAGGACACAAAAGAGUAAUGUUCACAAAAAUGUGCAACUCGAGAUCUAGUGGUUACCCCCUUGUGAAUGUCACCAAGAAUGGAGUUGACGGGGUGAUCUCGUUGAAUUGCUUGGUGGACUCUUGGGUGUGGCGGUCUUUGAUCUCUUAUUUCUUGAUCAUCUUCCUUGUCUUGGUUAUCAUCAUCUCCCCCUUGAUCCAUGUCCUCCUCUUGAGGUGGCUCAUCCUCUUGAUCUUCAUCUUCAUUAUCUUGAGCCUGAUCCUCGUCUUGAGUUGGUGGAGAUGCUUGCAUGGAAGAUGACAAUUGAUCUUGUGCUUGUGAAGGCUCUUCGAAUUCCUUGGGACACAUAUCUCCAAUGGACAUGUUCCUUAGUGCGACGCACGGAGCUUCUUCAUCAUCUAGUUCAUCAAGAUCAACUUGCUUCACUUGGGAGCCAUUAGUCUCAUCAAACACAAUGUCACAAGAUACUUCAACUAAUCCAGUGGAUUUGUUGAAGACUCUAUAUGCCCUUGUGUUUGAGUCAUACCCUAGUAAAAAGCCUUCUACAACCUUAGGAGCAAAUUUAGAACUUCUACCUCUUUUAAUAAGAAUAAAGCAUUUACUCCCAAAGACUCUAAAAUAUGAAACAUUGAGAUUUUUACCAGUGAGGAGUUCAUAUGAUGUUUUCUUGGGGAUUCAGUGAAGGUAGAGCUGGUUGAUGGAGUAGCAAGCGGUGUUGAUUGCUUCUGCCCAAAACCGUUCCGGAGUCUUGUAUUCAUCAAGCAUGGUUCUUGCCAUGUCCAAUAGAGUUCUAUUCUUCCUCUCCACUACACCAUUUUGUUGAGGUGUGUAGGGAGAAGAGAACUCAUGCUUGAUGCCGUCCUCCUCAAGAAAUCCUUCAAUUUGAGAGUUCUUGAACUCCGUCCCAUUAUCGCUUCUUAUCUUUUUGAUCCUUAAUCCAAACUCAUUUUGAGCACGUCUCAAGAAUCUCUUUAAGGUCUCUUGGGUUUGAUAUUUUUCCUGCAAAAAGAAUACCCAAGUGAAGCGAGAAUAAUCAUCCACAAUAACAAGACAUUACUUACUUCCGCCGAUGCUUAUAUAAGCAAUCAGACCGAAUAGAUCCAUGUAGAGUAGCUCAAGUGGCAUGUCCGCUGUCAUGAUGUUUUUGUGUGGAUGAUGGACUCCAACUUGCUUCCUUGCUUGACAUGCGCUACAAAUCAUGUCUUUCUCAAAAUGAACAUUUGUUAGUCCUAAAAUGUGCUCUCCCUUUAGAAGCUUAUGAAGAUUCUUCAUUCCAACAUGGGCAAGUCGGCGAUGCCAGAGCCAGCCCAUAUUAGUCUUAGCAAUUAAGCAAAUGUCUAGUUCAGCUUGGUUAUCAUUAAAAUCAACUAAGUAUAGCUGACCAUCUAAUACUCCCUUAAAUGCUACUGAAUCAUCACUUCUUCUAAAGACAGUAACACCUACAUCAGUAAAUAAAUAAUUGUAGCCCAUUUUGCAUAAUUGGGAAAUAGAAAGCAAAUUGUAAUGUAAAGAAUCUACAAGAAAAACAUUGGAAAUAGAAUGGUAAGAAAAUAUAGCUAUUUUUCCCAACCUUUGACCAAACCUUGAUUUCCAUUCCCGAAUGUAAUAGCUCUUUGGGGAUCUUCAUUUUUCUCAUAGGAGGAGAACAUCAUUUUCUCCCCUGUCAUGUGGUUUGUGCACCCGCUAUCGAUUAUCCAACUUGAUCCACUGGAUGCAUAAACCUGCAAAACAAUUUAGGCCUUGUUCUUACGUACCCAAACAGUCUUGAGUCAUUUGACGUUAGAAACAAGCACCUUGGGCACCCAAACACAAGUCUUGGGACUCUUGUGUUUGCCCCCAACAUAUUUGGCAACUAUCUUGCCUGAUUUGUUAGUUAAAACAUAUGAAGCAUCAAAAGUCUUAAAUGAAACAUUAUGUGCAUUUGAUGCAGUAGGAAUUUUUUUUCUAGGCAUUUUGACAUGAGUGGUAUGCCUAGAGCUAGACGCCUCAUUUUUGUACAUAAAUGCAUGGUGAGAAACAGAAUGAGGUUUCCUAGCAUGAAUCUUCAUAAUCUUAUGUUCAAGAUAGUUUGCAGGAUAUACAAUGUAACCCUCACUAUCCUAAACCAUGGGAGCCUUACCCUUAACAAAAUUAGACAAUCUUUUAGGGGUAUUAAGCUUGGUGUUGUUUUGAUUUCCUUGUUGGAAACCAAUACCAUCCUUAAUGUCAGGGCGUCUCCCAUUAUAGAGCAUGCUUCUAGCAAAUUUAAAAUUUUCAUUCUCUAACUCAUGCUCGGCAAUUUUAGUAGUUAAUUUAGCUAUAUGAUCAUUUUGUUGUUUAAUCAUGGCAAGGUGAUCAUCCAUAGCUUCAAUAUUAACAUCUCUACAUCUAGUGCAAAUAGUAACAUGAUCAACAGUAGAUGUAGAUGGUUUGCAGGUAUUUAAUUAUUCUAUCUUAGCACUUAAUCUAAUAUUCUCAUCUCUAAGACAGGAAAAAGGAUCAUUGCAAACAUUCAAUUUUUCAAUCUUAGAAACUAAACUAGCAUUUUCAGUUCUAAGACUUGAAAUUGAAUCAUGAUAAAUGCUAAUAUCCUUAGAUAAGUUUUCACAUUUUCUAUUUCCUGAGCAUAAGCAUUUUUUAAUUUAACAAUUUUAUUGUUCUAUUUAACGAGGAAGUCCUCUUGGCUUUCCAAGAGGUCAUCCUUCUCGUUAAUGGUUUCAAUUAGUUCAUUUAUUUUUUUCUUUUGUUCCAUGUUAAGGUUGGCAAAAAGAGCAAGUAAAUCAUCUUCAUUAUCGCUAGAGCUACCCUCAUCACUAGAUGUUGUAUAUUUGGGGUGGCUCACUAUACGACGGUUGAUCUUUAGCGACUCUUAUUAGGGACUGACGGUUGGUCGCUAAAAGUUAUGGACCGACGGUUGGUCGCUAAAUGCGUUUAUAGCGACGGUCUGUGGGUCGCUAAAAGUCUAGAAAUUUAACGACAUAUGGUUGGUCGCUAUAGAGGUAAGUGUGUGACUGAUGGUGGGUCGCUAUAGGGGUACGUGAUUUUUGUGUUUCUUAUUUACUCACCAAAGCCCAUCUAAAGGCCUACUAAACAAACGAAACCCUAUUUCACGCACCAAACCACAAGCGCAGCCGCCGUCACUUCUGCCCCAUCACGGCCCCAUCCUGCCGCUCGUCGACGACGCCACCCCGCCCCUCGGCCGCGGUCGCCGUCAGGCAGCCAGCCACCGCGACAUUGGCCAUGAUUUUUUGUGCCUGUUCUUGCUUAACUUUAUAACUGAUAAAGUUUCCAAUCACAAGAUUUACUUAAUUUAUACUAUUAUUAUCUUCUGUUGCAGUAUUUCCUUAUUAUUAAAGCAGCAAGGUUUGCCGCUUCCUCGUGUGUCCACGUCGGCAAAUUUUUUUGCCGUCCGAUCGUUCAUCAAUGGUGACAAUCUCACCCCUGCACAGUGUGUGUGGAUGGUUCUAGUUUCUUCUCUCACCAGCUCAUGCGUCUCCAAAGUAAAAAGGAUAAGAGAGACUCUGGGUUGCCGAGGUCCGCUUUCGUAACUACAGGAGGUAGGCAAAGGAGACGGCGACGACGAAGAACAUGUACUUCCUCCAUUACGUCCUCUAUUCCUAUCAUUGCCUUUCGUUUCUUUUCUUUUCUACAAUCGGCGUUACCUGCUGCAGUCGACGGCUCGGUCCCCUUGGUAUCUAAUGCCUUUGCGCGGCACCUGAGUUCUACACUUGCGACGAACUUGAGCAUUGCAUUCGUCGUUGUUCUUGUGUCCAUUCUUGUCUCUGACUCGGGCCGCCGCGAGUUCCUCCAUUCCCACUGCCAUGGAAUACGCCAGUGCGCUGAAUGACGCCUGCGUCUUCACGGAUCUCCUCCUCCUUUUGGCUAACAUGGCUCCUCAAAGAUGACCGCGUACGUUUGUCGAGCGGCGCUGGCAAGGGCCACGUGAACUGCGUUGGUCGACGCUUCCACACGCGCCGCUAAGCCUGCCCUGCCGCCCCCUAUGCGAUGCUGCUCCUCCCCUUUCUUCUCCGCCUAGGCUGGCGCUUGGAGGAGGAUGCCACCAAGGUUACCAACUACUUAAUGUACGCGUGCAAGAUGCUCGAUGAUACACCCCAACGGAAAGCAGUGUCGUGGACGAUGGUAGUCGUGGGGAACAUUGUAGACUCCACGCCGGUUGAGGAGGAAAAACUCCAUUGGCUCUUUUGUCACCUUAAGGGAUUUGCCUAACGUUUCCUUUUUUUUCUUUUAAAUAUGAUUUCCCCCAUACGUAUGCAGAUGCAGUUGCCAUAUUUUAAUGCUCAAUGCUGCCUACUUUAAUUUUAUGCUUAAUUUUUUUUAAUGCUCAAUGCUGCCUACUUUCCUUCACUGAUUUGGCUGCUCUUUUAUUUAGCUUAUAGCAACGGAAAAAAGUUAGCACAUUCCAAAAACUUCAAAGACUGCUGUGUACGACAUCCUAUAUUACCGGUAUGAGUACUUUUGAGAGCUUAAAUGUUGUUAGUCUUCUGUUUGCUAUUACGUGCUUUUGCUUUCCUGAAAAACUUCACACAGUUUCAGCUACGAAUUGACCAAUGACGAAAACAAGAUAUAUGAAGUGGCACAAUACUCAGUUUUACUUCUAAAAAUUGAAGAGAUUUAAAGAAGGAUUAUUCCAACAAUAAAUAUCUAUACUUUUGUUAGCAUACAUUUUCUUUUCUCAUGGCAUAUAUUUUCUUAAGGGCUAGUUUGAAAAUUUUAAAUCCUCUCCGGGAUUCCCGGAUAUUGAGAAGAAAAUGAGCUAAUUUCCCACUCAAUCCCUGAGAAUACCGGAGGAGAUUUUUAAGUUUCCAAAUUAGCCCUAAGUGUAGUAACUGAUUUUCACUUAAUUUUGCAGACUGCUUCUGUUUGAAUUGAACGGCAUCUUCAGAAUCUCGGCGACGCUAAUUUCUAACUCAUAUGGGAGAGGUCUAUUUCUAGAAUUUUUGUUUUUCUUUAAUAGAUUUGCCACCUACAUUGGCAUUUUUUCCCACUGCAAUCGAUUAUAAACUACAGUUUUGCAACCUUUCAGUGACAUGAACAUCUAACCAUAUUCAAGUUUGCCCUCAUCUCAAUAUCCAGAUAUCUCCACCUCAUCGACUCAAUAGUUAACCAUAUUCAAGUUUGCCCCUUUGAAACCAUCUGCUUGGAUUUUAUCGAUUCCAUUACCUAAAAAUAUGGUACAAUUUCAGUACGCCAGUACAUAUUAUGCAAAUGAAACACAAUUAAAAUCAGCAUUGUGAACUUUAUUGUUUGCCCAUUUUUUUGAUAAAUUACCCAUUUUAUGAUUCUACUGGGCCCUUUUCGCCUUUGCCCUACAAUUAUUCCUCCUCUUCGCUCUUUUGUUUCAUUGUUUGUUCUGCUUUGCACUUCUAUUCAUUGCAUUCUUCGUCGGUGAUUGUGCUCGUCCAGUUCGUCGGCCAUGUGUUCUAUCAUUUUCGUCAGAAAUCCUUUCUUAAGCCCUCCACUUUUCUCCUUUUUUGUUACCUUCGCACUUCGUUUUUAUUGUUCAUGUUCUCUGUCGUCGAGAUCUACUGUCUCAGGUUUAUUCUGGCUUUCAUAGUAAAUAAAUUGCUCUUCUUCCCCUCAUUUCUUGCUGGACGCAUAUUAUGCUUUUCCACUUUGCGACAACACUGUUUCCCUUAUUUGUGUUCGAGUAAAGUUCAGACUUUAUCCUCAGAGGUAAUUGUUACUUGCCUUAGCUUGCACUCUAUACACAUAAAGCGCUACUGUGCUGUUGCAUCAACUGUUUCGUUCCAUAGUUUUUGUUUUAUCCCACUUGGUUUAUGUCUUAUGUGCGCAUCAAACACUUCAAGCUAACAAUUACGCUUUCUAGUUUUGUAGACAUUAAAACAAAUGUUUCACUCCAAUGUAGGCCAAACAUAUUUAAGCGGUAUCGCAACAUGUGCAUGGUACUUUAAUGCAGACAUUUCUAAGGCACAUAUGUAGUAUAACAUGUACGGGAAAAUAGAUAAACAAAACACUAUCCAUUCUUGUAAUUACAUUUCCCCUUAAACCUGUUCUCCUUACAUGUCAUGUUGACAAUCAUCUACAUUAUCUAGCUGUCUGGUAGUAGCAUUUUUGUAAAACUAACAUACAAAUCUAGCAUUAACUUUUGCCCCAAAUUUCUAAAAUCUAUUAUGAACUACAAACAAGUUCCAAGUAUUCCUUUUCACAUGAAUAUGAGCACACUUUUUAAGCCAUCCAAUAACAUUUAAUCAACAUGUAUCGUCUACAUUAUCUAGCUGUCUGGUAGAAGCAUUUUUGUAAAAUUAACAUACCAAUCUAGCAUUAACUUUUUUCCCCAAAUUUCUGAAACAUAUUAUGAACUACAAAUAAGUUCCAAGUAUUCCUUUGCACAUGAAUAUGAGCACCCUUUUUUAAGCCAUCCAAUAACAUUUAAGCAACAUGUAUGCUUAAAUUCCACAAUACUGACCAAUUACACAAAUGUUUGCUACUAUUUCAAUUUUUGUUGUCACAUCAUUUAAAGGUUACAAAAUAUUGAACUUUAGUUGCUACGACCUACAAUACUUGAAGAAGAGAUCCAGGUUUCCCAGACACCUACUUUCGAGGACAAAACCAUCAAUGAAUUGGUUGAAAUUGAUCCAGAUAUAUUCCAUGUAAUCACUUUAACUUCCUAUUUUGUUGAACUCAUUCAUUACAUCAACUACAACUCCAUCUUAUUUAUAGUAAACUUUUUUCGCGAAAUGCAGCCACAAGGUUAUAGAUGUACUAAUCGCUAUAUCACGCCUCACACAGGAAGGUAGAUGGUGGUUCCCAUCUUGCACUAAAUGCAACAAGUCUUCAAUUCAGACCUCUACUAAAUAUCGCUGCAUACGUGUGAUUGGACAGAAACUAAAUUUAGGUAACCUUUCACACAAACAAUUACUUUGUCGUUAUUCGUCUGAGAUAAAACACUUCCUCUUACUUAUCAAAUCACUGCCACACAACAUUAACAGUUCAUAAUUCAAAGAUACAAACUCGGCUUCAUUGCUACUGAUGGAACAUUCGAAGCAGAAUUCUUUUGUUUUGACAAUAUAGCUAAACAAAUAGUAGAAAAACCUUGUGAAACCCUUGUUAGUAUCCUUCUCUAGAUUUAGUUGCCAUUGUCUCUCUCAGAUUCACCUUUGCAGAUACCAUUAAUAUGUUCGCGUUCUCCGUCACAAAUCGAGUCUUUUUUGUUCUCUCCGUGUUAACAAAUCAUGGAAGGAAAAGGUCAGCACCAUGUACCAUACAAAACUAUCAACAACAAGAAUUAGUGACACAAGAUGACAUAUUAGCCUCACAACCACAUAAAACUCUCCAACAACAUCGUUUGCAAAGCUAUCCACUUUUGGUGACCAUAAAAAUGUGGUGAGAAUUUUUUAGUGCAAACUACAACUAUUUCACAUGAACUUAUAUAUGUGCAUAGACUAAUGAAAUCUAUUUGACAGGCAUGUCACAGCCUUGCAUAUUCUAAUGCACUACAUGAUAUAGAGGUAAGUUUUUCUACCAUCACGUUUAGGCUCCAUAUGUACCCAAAAAUGACAUAAUUGUCUACCUCAAUUAUUUUGUGAUGGGAGAGAGUAUAUCUAUUCAUAAUUUGAAGACAGUGAUUUUUUUCCAUACAUAUCUAUGCAGGCAUAAAAUUACACACAAAAGAAAAAGAAUACUAUCUAUGCAAGAUGGACUCGAAAAUCCUUUCAACAUGUGGAUCAAUCUAAUUAUUUUAGAUUUUUUCUAAAUUUGCCUUUCAAUGGCUGAAGUCCCAUUUUGAUGCAAAUGAAAAAGCGAACAUCCUGUAGACUGCUGUUGCUGUGCAUCUCAACUGUUUUGGUCUUCCAAUCUUUUUGGAAGUAUUAUUAUUUUUACUUUCACUUACUCUUAUAAUUGCAUCAUGUUACACGAUGUUGACGUCAAUAUGGAUAUACACCCAAACAAUCUAAAUUCAAGGUCUUGUCAAAGCAAACUAAGGUUCUUUUUUUAAUACAAAGUCGUAUGGAUUCUGUUAGAUCUUGUAUUUUUUCCUACUAAUGUCAAUAUCAACCCGCAAGCGUCUCUUAAGUCACUCUUUUUAGGAUCAUUAUUUCACAUACUUUAAACCACAUAUGAAAUUUUGUUAGGCACACUAUUUGACAAUUCUUAUCCACUUACAGAAUGUUGACUAGCUUUCAGAACACCUUAACAAAAAAGAUCUUUUCUAAAUUUGCCUUUCAAUGGCCAAAAUCCCAUUUUUAUGCAAAUGAGAAAUGAACAGCCUACAAACUAUUUUUGUUGUGCAUCUCCACUGUUUUGGGCUUCCAAUCUUUUCUUGAGUAUUUUUUUACUUUCAAUUACCCCCUCUUAUAGUUUCAUCAUUAAAAAGUAUUGUUUUUUACUUUCAAUUACUCCCUCUUAUAAUUUCAUCGUGUUACACAAUGUUGAUGUCGAUAUAGAUAUACACCCAGACCAUCUAAAUGCGAGUUCUUAUCAAAGCAAACUUAGGUUCCUUUUUUUGAUACAAAGUCGUCUGGUUUCUCUUAAACCUAUCUAGUAUUUUGUUUCCUACUAAUGUCAAUACCGACCUGCAAGCCUCUCCUACCUCACUCUUUUCGGGAUCACUAUUUCACAUACUUUAAACCACAUAUGAAAUUAUGUUAUACAUUAGGCACACUAUUUGACGAUUCUUAUCCACUUACUUACAGGAUGUUGACUAGCUUUCAGACCACCUUGACAAAAAAAUCUGGCAUCCCCACCUAAGAAGUAUGUUUAAAAAAAAGAGGAGAGCAAAUGCAACCCGAGCAACAAGUUGCUUCCUUUUUUACACUAUGUACCAUAGUCCUUUCUAAGUUCUAACAUUGCAGAACACAUACAUGAUCAAAACUAGCAGGCUUCAAAAACAUCAAAAAGAUUUUACAGGCCCUGAAAGCGAUGUCCGGUAGAUCAACGUCAUUCUCAUCAAGGCGCGACAUAAUUUUACACCUCUUCUCUACACACAACUUCUAAUCAAUAUAAUUUGUGCAUUGUUCUUCACUCUCCUUUAUAACCUUUGCGCAAAAAUAGAAUAGCUCACAAACUCUUCAACGACAACUGAUCUGUCCUUUUUUCUGUACAGAUAAUUGCUUUGCGUAUCUACAACGACCAUCACUACUUUUGAAGCGCAAACGCUUUUAUGUACAUAUAACCAAACCGAUGAAACUUCUCUAGCUUAGUAUUUGUUUAUGCGAUCCUCAGCUCUGCUUUCUGUACCUAUGACGAUCAUCGUCACUUUUGCAAAGCAAAUGCUUUUGUGUACAUAUUACCAAGUUGAUGAAACCUUGCCAGUUUAGCGUCUGUUUAUUAUGAUCUUUAGCUCUUGGAACACACUGCUGAAAUACAAUGUAAUAUGUAUAGUCCUCUCAGUCUACUCUAGACUUGCUGUAACCGCUAUAAUUAUUAUCUUAGUACAACAAUUUAUGUAAGCACUGGGACCAGUUUAAAUUUGCUCUUAAACUGAUGACAGCAUGUGCUAUAUAACAAGUUCUGAGUGUACAUUAUCCCAAUGAAAUUGUGUCAUUAUCCUAACAAAAUUGAUCAUAAAAAUAGUUCAUAUUGCUGCAGGUACGCGCGCAUGGGCGCGCACGAUACACUAGUUGAUUAUACUUAAAAAUGUACAUCCCAAAUGUCGCUUAGUCCAAACCGUGUAUAUUUCACCCAAACCAACUCGAGUUUGUAUGUGUAUUUGCCUACUCGAGUUUGUAUGUGUAUUUGCCUUCGUAUUUUCGAGAAUGAAAUAAAAUUAAGUGGGAAAAUCCCAUUUUUCUUUAUCCUCCACCGCCGUAUUUUCUUUUUGCUCCCCGAAGCUGCAACCAUCGUUUCCUCCUCUCCUGAAGCACGACAGCCAGUCCAGCCACCAUUUGGGUGCUCAUCUCCCUCUGCUCGGCACCUAGCCCCAGCUCGCCCGAGCUCCCUGCGCCGACCUCAUCUUCCCCAUGGCGCGUCACCUUCUAGUCCUCUCCUUCCCACGGCACAGCAGCGCCCCUGCAGCUCCCCUUCUCCAGAUCCAUGGCACCCAACACCUUGAGCGCCCCUGCCGCUGCUCCUCCACCGGGAUCUCCUCCUCCACUAGGCGUCCAGGCUUGUCCCACCGUGGCUGCCCCUCCUCCAUCUCCUCCCUCCCCACCAGGUUACCCAGAUUCCAUGGCCGCCGCCGCCCCAGCCAUCUCCCUGGUGGCCGACCUCGCCCCUGCCCCAGCCACAGCUCCCCCUUCGGCCCUGCUGCUGCAAGCACUCAGCCUCUCCCAUGGCACACGGUACUCGUCCAGCCCCUUUCUACUGGUGGCUGAGCCAUCUCUCUGGUGCUCGAUGAAAUGACCAUGAGGAGUUUUGUGUUGUGUGCAGCCCCAUCUGCAACACCGUCGACCCCCGACGAGGUCCUUUCUCGCCUUGUCGUUUUAGUACUCGGCGUCGAUUAAGUAGAUGCUAACCGUGUGUAUAUUCGUGUGUUCUUGUGAGGAGAAAUCCCAUGAUUUGGGGGAAGACGAAGUCCAAGCACAACCCCCGCCAAUCGCUCGAUGAAAAAUCUAAACCAAAACCCUCAGCGUUUUCAAGGGUUCCGGAGGGAUUUUAUGUUGGUAAGGUAAUUUGUGUCCUAAUUAGUUCACUCAGUUAUUGAGUUGAAGAGAUUGUUAGUUGUAUGUGUCGAUGAUGCUAUUUUGAUUAGCAGGUGUUGUGCGGUGUGAUCUCCAAUUCCCUAUUGCUGUUUUCUUACUCCAUCAUGACCUUAGGGAAGGAUGUUUUCCUCUAAAUUACUCGUAAUAAUUAUGCUUGGUGUAUGUGUUGUUUUAGCUACUUGAUGAAAUGUUUUAGUUGUGUGCGAUAAUAUGGUUGCCGUUCGAGUGGAAAGUAGAUGUGUUGUAUGACCUGAGUUGGAGUUGAGGCAAGUAUGUGUGUCUCGUAUUACGAAACUAAUUAGAGAUAUGCAUGAUGUUUGUAGAUGGAUUAUGUGUAGAGUGUUUUAGUACAAGUAUUUUUUUUAGGUAUAGUUGAACCAGUUAUUGUAUAUGAAUUGUGCGAUAUCAAGGUAGUUCUAAUGUUCUUUUAACAUCUUGCUAAUAAGGUGUUAGAGUAUUCUAAAUGCCAAACAUAGGAUAAUUUUACAAGCCAAAUAGAAGUUAAAUUGAAGGUAUUGCUGUUUAGGGCUGUAGGUAUAGUUUUAGUUAUGCAGCUAGUCCAAUAAAGUAGAUCAUGUUUUCUGUAGAAGCGUUAUAUAUAAAACUUGUAGAUAAUCUUUUUAUCUUACUUGUGUAAAAAUUUCAUGACCAUAGGUGUAGUAGUUUAGGAGUUAUGAUUUUUCCAAGUCCAGUCUCAGAAUCUGUCCAAAUUCUGUACAGGUUUCGAAAAUUGGAUUGCUUGGCUAAGCUAAACUGAGAAUCAGCCCUUAGUAAUUAUAGAAGAAUUUUAGUACUUUUCUUAAGCUUUCCAACAAAUUUUGGAGCACCCUUUUUGGUGGUCUAGAUAUCAAGUUACAGCUGUUUGAACUAUAGAGUCUGAAUUUGUCCAAAUUUGGACAGCGAAGUCUGUUUGUAGUAACUGACUUUGAUAUGUAUUGAAUUAACCUGAGAUGUUUAUAAAUGAAUUGUAGACAAUUCUAUUAACUUUCUAAAAAGUCUAGGAUCACCUGAUUUGGAUUUCGGAAACUCCAGUUCUGGACUUUUGAAGUAAGUAGUCGAAUUCUGUCCAAAUCUGGACAUAAUUUAUGUUUAGCGCUGUUUGACCUUUGUAAAGGUCGAAUUUUGUUGUGAUGGUAAUACAAAAGUUAUAGAGGACUUUAUAAGCUUUCCAAAAAGUUCUAGUUUACUAUUAUUGGAUACAUAUUUUAUGAAUUGUGAGCUAAACAGAUAGUUGCUGACUUGCUGUUCUGCUGUCCAAACACAUGUCUACUGUCUGAAAAUAGCUCAUUUUGUAGUUACAUUUGCAUUAGGCUUUGAUGAUUGCUGUACAAGGAUGAUAUGGCCUCCCGCCCAAAGCUGUCUGGUAUUCAGAAGCAGGUUUUGGCGCUGUAUAGGGGAUUCCUUCGGACAGCACGCCUUAAGGCCCCUGAAGAACGCCGCAGGAUCGAGUCUGUUAUCUUGGCAGAGUUCCGUGACAACGCAAGGAGUGUUGACCUUAGGAACUUUGUACACAUAGAGUACUUGUUGAGGAGAGGGAAGAAGCAUCUUGAGCAGCUCAAGAAUCCUGAUAUUACUGGACUCGCUACCCUUGUAGUAAAGAAAUGAGGUACGUAGUUUUCAAAAACACUUAUUUGACUGUGCAUGGUCUUCGAAACAAGUUUUAGUUUUUAAGUUUGACCAAAUCUUGUCAUAAACAUCAAGUUUUUUUUUUAAACAACGGAAGUCGAUUAGUAUUUAAAAUCAGCAAGUAUCAUCCAUUAGUAUUUUAGGUCUUUAGAUUUAAAAAUUGUGGACUUGUCAAAACUCUAUGUUAUUUGAUAAGGCUCUACUUGUUAAAUUAAGUGGUGUGGUGCUUGAUUUAGUCGAUGUGCUAUGCCCGAUAAUCUAGAUUAGUAACUCUAAAAUCUAGUUAAAGUAUUUCUAUUCGUCACUUUAAGUUAUAGGUAUCCAUGGUUGUUGUGUCUAAGUAUCCGAUUUCUGAGCUCUGCCCCUGCUGUUUAGGAUAGCAUAUGGAGUUCUUUAUGUUCCACAAGCACAAUUGAUCUUAUGGAAUGGAAAUAGUAGAACAUUACCUGGUGAGAGCACACAAAUACCUUAUACAAAGCAGGUAUUGAGUCAAAUUGUUGUGUACCCAUUUGUGGUCUGGAUACACUGGUUUGGUGAAAAUGAAAUAUGCCCAAAGCAACAAAACCCAGUUCACAUGAACUGCUAUCCUGUAUUUACGAAUCUUGACUAGUCUAGUAAUAUAUGUAUGUGGAAAUAUGAAGGUUUCUUUAUUUCUCUUCUUAAACAGCAAGAGAAGAAGGAAGACUAGUCAGACAAAAUAGAAGACGAGAAGAACUGAUGUAGCCAUGUUCAUGCUUCCAUGUAAUAGUUCAUUAUUCCAUACAUAUUUCUGUCUAUCCAGAAUCUACUAUUGAAAUACAUAUCUAGCAUAGCUUGCUCAGCUCCUAUAUGUUGUUUCAACGUUGAUUUAAAAGAAGAGCUGGUAGUUGUGGGCUUUUGAACAAUAGCUGGAGUGAUAUGAAAUAUUAGUGAUGUAGUUGUGGGCUUUUAAACUGCUUCAAGCUGGAGUGAUGUCGCUGUGGUGCUUUUGUGACUGAUCAUCUCUAGAGCUUUUGUGAAUGAUCUAGCUAGCUAUCUGUAAAUGAUCUAGUUGUGAAUGAUAUUAUAAUUGUGAUGCUUUUGUGAAUAUAUAAUUGUGGUGCUUUUGUGUUUAUGUGAUGGAUCUAUGACUGUGGUAUACUGAUUAACUGUGUAUGUCUUUAUGAUUUGUGUAUAAAAAUCUGUGAUUUGUGGUGCUUAAUUAAAUGUAUAUUUUUAUUAAUAACAACUGUAAAAGGGCGACUUUUUGUUGGUUGCUAAAUGUAUAGUAUGACGACUUACAGUUGGUUGCUAAAUCUAUACUACAGCAACCCACGGUUGGUCGCUAAAUAUACAAUAUUAGCAAUAGACGUCGGUCGCUAAAAAGAUGUCGGUCGCUAAAGCCUUUAGCGACGGCACUUACAGCGACCAUCCUUAUGGGUCGCUAAAAGUUUUUAGCGACCAACCGUAGGUCGCUGAAGGCCGUUUUAGCAACCAACCGUAGGUCGCUGUAAGUGAACCGUCGUGUAGUGGCUCUAGAGUGUACCUUUUUCUUCUUGCCGUCCUUAGCCAUGAGACACUUGUGGCCGAUGUUGGGGAAGAGGAGGCCCUUGUUGACGGCAAUGUUGGCGGCGUCCUCGUUGGAGGAGGAGUCGGUGGAGCUCUCGUCGGAGUCCUAUUCCCGACAUAUGUGUGCAUCGCUGCCCUUCUUCUUGUAGUAUCUCUUCUUCUCCUUCUUCUUCCCCUUCUUGUCUUCGUCCCUGUCACUUUCACUAGAAAUUGGACAUUUAGCUAUGAAAUGAUCGGACUUACCACAACGGUAACACACCCUCUUGCAGCGGGACUUGUAGUCUUUCCCCCCUCCUUUGUUUGAGGAUUUGACGGAAGCUCUUGAUGAUGAGUACCAUCUCCUCAUUGUCGAGCUUGGAGGCGCCGAUUGAAAGUCUACUUGGUGUAGACUCCUCCUUCUUUUCUUCUGUCGCUUUGAAUGCGACGGGUUGCACCUCGGGUGUAGAGGUGGCACCUUGCUCCAAGUUGACAAUGUGUUUGGAGUCUUUGAUCAUUAGUUCAAAACUCACAAACUUGCCAAUAACCUCCUCGGGAGACAUUAGUUUAUAUCUAGGAUCCCCACGUAUUAAUUGAACUUGAGUAGGAUUGUGAAAUACGAGGGAUAUAAGAAUAACCUUGACCAUCUCAUGGUCAUCACAUUUGGUGCUCCCGAGGUUGCACACUUGGUUCACCAUGGUCUUGAGCCGAUUGUACAUCGCUUGCGGCUCUUCUCCUUUGUUGAGGACGAAUCGACCGAGUUCUCCUUCGAUCAUCUCGCGCUUGGUGAUCUUGGUCACCUCGCCCCCUUCAUGCGCGGUUUUGAGGAUGUCCCAAAUUUCUUUGGCACUCUUUAACCCUUGCACCUUAUUAUACUCCUCUCGACACAAGGAGGCGAUGAGUAUAGACGUGGCUUGGGAGUUAAAGUGCCUAAUUUGGGCGGCCUCGUCCGAGUCGUAGUACUUGUCCCCCACCUUUGGUACAUGCGCUCCAAACUCAACAAUAUCCCAAAUGCUUUCAUGGAGUGAGGUUAGAUGGUGCCUCACUUUAUUACUCCACAUACAAUAAUCUUCACCAUCAAAAUAUGAUGGUUUGCCUAGGGGUACAUAAAGUAAUGGAGCACGCUUUGAAAUACGAGGAUAACAUAGGGGCAUCUUUCUAUACUUCUUGCGCUCAUGGUGCUUAGAAGUAAUGGACAAUUCGGAGCUUGAUGUGGAGGGUGACGAAGAGUCGGUCUCGUAGUAGACCACCUUCUUCAUCAUCUUCUUCUUGUCACCUCUCCGAUGCGACUUGAUGGAGGAAGAGGAUUCCUCCUUGUGUUUGUUGCCGGACUCCCUUGAGAGAGUCCUCCCCAAGCUUGCGGCCUUUUUCGCUGGUCAUGAUCUCCCUCUUGGCGUGAUCUUCAGACAUCACUUCGAGUUGGUUAGACUCUUAAUGAAGCACUGGCUCCGAUACCAAUUGAAAAGUCGCCUAGAGGGGGGUUGAAUAGGCGAAACCUGAAAUUUAUAAACUUAAACACACACUAAGGUCGGGGGUUAGCGUUAGAAUUAAAUUCAAGUCCAAAAGAAUAUCUCUCUUGCUAGGAGUUGCUCAAGGAUUGCGGAUGACGUAUGGGAGCCAACUCAAAUUCACACUAGCAAGGAAAUGUUAGAGAGACGAAAACAAAUCAAACAAGAAUCAAGGCGAGUGAACACGAUGAUUUGUUUUACCGAGGUUCGGUUCCAAAGAACCUAGUCCCCAUUGAGGAGGUCACAAAGACCGGGUCUAUUUCAACCCUUUCCCUCUCUCAAACGGUCACUUAGACCGAGUGAGCCUUUUCCUUAAUCUCUCAGGUCACUUAAACCCCGCAAGGACCACCACACACUUUGGUGUCUCUUGCUUCGAUUACAAGUCACUUAAGAAAUAGACGGGAAAAGAAAAAUGCCAAACCAAGCAACAAGAGCAACAAAGAACACAUGAUAUCCUCUCACAAGCCCUAAUGCACUAGAAUUGAUUUUGGGGCUUUGAGUGGAUUGAUUGCUUUGAUUGUGUCUUGGAGUGUUGGGCUUUGCUCUUGCAAUGAAUGAGAGUUCAGAAAUGCUUGGAUGGUUAUGAAUGAGGUGGUUGGGGGGGGUAUUUAUAGCCCCCAACCACUUCCAUAGCUGUUGGUGAAGGCUGCUGGCGAUGGGCGCACCGGACAGUCCGGUGCGCCACCGGACAACCAUUGUGCAUUAUCCGGUGCGUGCCACGUCAGUGCAACCGUUAGGGUUCGAAGCUGGUCGACCGUUGGAGUCUUUGUUGUCUUGCUGCACCGGACAGUCCAGUGCCACAUCGGACAGUCUGGUGCUCUCUGACUUCUGCGCUCUGACUUCUGACAUCCACUGUUCAUCGCGACAGAGUCGACCGUUGGCGCAGAGAGUCAUUGCUCCGCUGGUACACCGGACAGUCCGGUGAAUUAUAGCGGAGCGCGCCCUGGAAUUCCUGAGAGUGGCUGGUUCAUCUGCUGUAUGGCCUGGUGCACCGGACACUGUCCGGUGCGCCAUUUUUCAGCACACUCAAGUCCUUUUGCUCCAAUAAAUUGUGUCCCUAACUUAAUUUCUUUCUUGGUUUGUGUUGAACCUUAUGCACCUGUAAUACAUGAAUUCUUGACAAACUAGUUAGUCCAUGUGUUUGUGUUGUUCGUCAACCACCAAAAUUAAUUAUAGGAAAUGGUUAACCCUAUUUCCCUUUCACAACUCAACUGUCAGAUGAGUACUCCAUUACAGCACUUACGUACACGAGUUCUAUGAGAGCAGACCUCCAAAAUGAAUAUCUGCUAAGUGUUUAUCUACUUAGAUGAAGGACGACAAUCACUUUCUUGGGAAAUAUUAGCGACACAACUCCUUACAUCCUCCGCUUCUUCCUAGUGUUUUUUGUUGUGAUUGAGUCGACACAGCAACAACACUGCACUAUUACAACCAGUACGACUAUAUCAACUAGCAAUGUCUUCCUUAUAUGUUACUAUUUAUUUUGCUAAUAUUCAUUAUGUUUAAAUCACAUGUGCACCUUUCUAUUGACAUCAAAAAAUUAGUGGGGAUCGAGUGAUUCUUUAAACCGAUUAUUACACAAGUUAACCACACUAAAAUUAACAUUGGUGAAUCGUGCCAUGAUUUUUUUCUAGUGCAAAAUAGCCAAACCAAGCAAAACAUAUGUGGCUAUCGUUACACAUGUGUAAAGGUAUUGCAUCACACCAUUGUCACCCAUGUAUUUGGACAAUACCGAGAGGAAAAACCACUUAUUUAUUGUAUUUUAUCAAGUUUAUCUUGCUUACGUAUAAAUUAUAACCCAACAAAGUAAUCACUAAAUGUCAAAACCAACUAGAUACCAUGUCAUCUCUACCUUAUCUUACUAAUAUUCUUUUUGCAAAAUCGAAAAUUAAUCUUGCACAAGCACAAGGACUGAGAUGUGUAUAAAUAUCUCUUAGAUUAGUAGAUAAUAUAUCGCACAUAUUAUUGAGACCAACUAGCAACAUAGAAAGCACAAUAUUGUACCAAUAAUGGCAGCCAAAAUAUUUUGCCUCAUUAUGCUCCUUGGUCUUUCUGCAAGUGCUGCUACGGCGAGCAUUUUCCCGCAAUGCUCACAAGCUCCUAUAGCUUCCCUUCUUCCCCCAUACCUCUCACCAGCGAUGUCUUCAGUAUGUGAAAAUCCAAUUCUUCUACCCUACAGGAUCCAACAGGCAAUCGCAGCAGGCAUCUUACCUUUAUCACCCUUGUUCCUCCAACAAUCAUCAGCCCUAUUACAGCAGUUACCUUUGGUGCAUUUAUUGGCACAAAACAUCAGGGCACAACAACUACAACAACUCGUGCUAGCAAACCUUGCUGCCUACUCUCAGCAACAGCAGUUACCUUUGGUGCAUUUGUUGGCACAAAACAUCAGGGCACAACAACUACAACAACUCGUGCUAGCAAACCUUGCUGCCUACUCUCAGCAACAACAGUUUCUGCCAUUCAACCAACUAGCUGCAUUGAACUCUGCUGCUUAUUUGCAGCAACAACAACUACUACCAUUCAGCCAGCUAGCUGCUGCCUACCCCCGGCAAUUUCUUCCAUUCAACCAACUGGCAGCAUUGAACUCUCAUGCUUAUGUACAACAACAACAACUACUACCAUUCAGCCAGCUAGCUGCUGUGAGCCCUGCUGCCUUCUUGACACAGCAACAUUUGUUGCCGUUCUACCUGCACACUGCGCCUAACGUUGGCACCCUCUUACAACUGCAACAAUUGCUGCCAUUCGACCAACUUGCUUUGACAAACCCAGCAGUGUUCUACCAACAACCCAUCAUUGGUGGUGCCCUCUUUUAGAUUGCUUAUGAGUUAUAGUUCAAUAAUAAAGUUUUUUUUGCUGAUAUUUGUGGCUUCCCAGAAAUAAGAAAGUACAUUUCUAGAUUCUUAUGUGCUUCUAGUCUCCAAAUGUGGUUGAUAGUUAUUUUGCUCUAAGAUCGGCAGUAAUGAGGUAUAAAUACUUGUUGUCGUGUGCUACUCGGUUAAUUGAGCAUUAACACACAUAAACAUUACAAGGAUGGUAUAAUCUCCUAAAAUGUGUACAUUGUUAGGUGUAACCCUAUAGCCAUGCAGAAUGUGCUAUGUUAGGCAUGCCGAUGGAAACGUGUGACACAUACGUUUUGUUAACCUAUUGAUAUUAUAUGUGCCUUUUAUAUUACCAUAUUUUAUUAAAAUACUAAUAUUUAUUACUAGUAAGAUAUAACAUUCUAUCUAGCUUAAAAACUAACCAUAAAUAUUCCAUCAUAACUAGAUUUACCAAACUAAUAUACUAAAUAUACAUAAUAAAUACAAAAUUAACAAUACAAUAUCAAUAUUUAUGAGCUUAAUAAAUUUAAACAUUAUGGUUGGCCGACGAUAAUCAUACUGACUUUCCGUAAUUGCUUGAUUGUAAAUAUACUUAGACUAAUGCCUCUUUGUUCUACAUGGCAAAUAGGGACCACUCUAGGAGACUAGGAUGUUGCUUGAGACGAAGAUGUUAUCAUUGGUGUAGACUAAUUUCUAUCAGCCGCUGACUUCACUAUUGUAACCAUUAUCUCUUGGGUAAAUCAUAUACGAUUAUCUAGCCAAAGGCCCAGAUGAUAAAAACAAUUUUUAAUUGCUAUUUCAGGACAAAUGAAUUAGCAUGGUUCGAAGGAUUGCGACCUUCCCCCCAUGACUUUUAUCGUAUUGUGUUAGUCUAAUCGACAAAACCAAGAUUAGAUAUCAUCGAAGAAGUUGAUAAGCGAAUCUGUGACCACUAUCAGAAUCAGCUGCUUUGCCGAGUGUCUAAAACACUCGACAAAGCCUGAAAAACACUCGGCAAAGGAUUUGCCGAGUGUAACACUCAGCAAAGAAAGCUCGGCGAAGUAUACAUCGGCAACGACUUCUUUGCCGAGUACUUUUUAUCGGGCACUUGGCAAAGAAGCGUCAUUGUCACGACGAUAGGUAAUGCCGACGGAGUCUGUGACGAGUGUCACAGAGUGACGCUCAGCAAAGGCUCACUCUUUGCUGAGUGACCACUGUACAGACACUCGGCAAAGAAGCCCCCGUGGGUCCCUUUAUCAGGGCCUUUGCCGAGCGUAUUAGGUGGCACUCGGCAAAGGCUCCAUCUUUGGUGACUGCCCGCCAGACUAGCAAUCGACAAAGGGAUCAACAGCGGAUCCCUUUGUCAGUUCUUUUGUCGAGUGCUCUAGGAGGCACUCAAUAAAGCUUGUGUUGGGGGCCUUCUUCUUCCGAAGGUCCUCAAAAACGUGACUAACCAUAGGUUUUCAGUAUGACAUAGACUAUUAUAGGAAGCUUUGGCUUUGGGAUGAAGGCGUGUGAUAUGAGGAUACAGCCCAAAGGCAACAUGGAUGGACGUCGAAGCUAUGGCUAAAGGAGUUUCGGCUUGGCAUGUUAGCGAAGAUGAAGGACGAAACCGACCUAAGGGAGAAAAGACUAGUUAGUCCUUGAUAGUUUGCAUUAUGAUUAAGAGCAGAUAUCAGGGGCAUGCAUGUAAUCUUAUCCGGGCUGCGUCCCGUGCCUAUGAAUAGAUGAAUAGUAACACCGUACUGUUCACGCUGGAUUAUAAUCGCUCCUACGUCACUCUCGCGUCUUCACCUUUUGGUAAGCUGAAGGUAUCAAUGUAAUACAAAUAUUGAUGAUGUUUAUUCAUGUUUAUGAAAUGAGAAUAUAAAUAGCUUGCUGAUUCGUAAUCAUUAUUUAUAUUCUUUUGUAUUUCAUGUACCCUUAUUUAGAUGUGUUCACUGAGAUGAUGAAGGUAUGCCCUUCAUGACCUUCGUUCGGAAACCAUUAUAUCCAAAAGGAGAUAAUGCUUCGAAGGACGAAGGUCUCUAAUUAUUGACAAUCAUGUUGUCUUGUUCUUGAUGUAUAGCAUUUGGGAACAAGGACCAACAUUGGCGCCCACCUCCCGUGAACUCAAUCGACCACCUUCGGCAAGCAUCGACUUUCGUAAUGCCGCCGAAGAAGACAAUAGUGCCAGGGGCUGCCCUGCAGCCACUGGACACUAAUCAGGAAACGCUGCGAGAAGCUAGGAUCUAGAAGAGGAAGGCUACUAGCCCAACACCUCAGGAGGAGGAGCUAGAUCAGGAGAUCAGAGAUUUGGAGGCUAUCACCAGCAGGUACAAAGAAAAAGGGAAAAGAUGCUUCAGCUCGUCGAACUUCAGAGAAAGAUCGACAAAGCUGCUGAAGAAAUGCGUCACCUUACCCAGGAUGACCAAGACCGAAGGCCCCAACAUAGGGAGCUUCAUCAAGAAAGCCCAAUUAAUGACGAUGAGUGGUAUGGUGACUUUCAUCGUGGCAAUUUUGCUUUUGAUGAUGCUUCUCCCUUGGCAGCAGAAUUGCAGGCUACCCCGUGGCCGCCAUCAUACAAGCCACCUCAGCUCCCCAUGUAUGACGAGCACUCAGACCCGAAGCAACCAUAUCCUCAUAUGGGGGCAAUACUGCGGUCAUGGCAAAGUCCUUCGUCAUGGCAGUUAGAAGCGUGGCUCAAACAUGGUGCUCUUCUCUUCGGCCAGGGACAAUUACGUCGUGGCAAAAGCUAAAAUACAUACUGGUCACUAGCUUCUAGGGUUUCCAAUCGAAACCAGUUACUGUCCAAACUCUGUUCCAGUGCACACAGGACCAAGAAGAAUACCUCCAAGCGUAUGUCCGAAGGUUCCUGCGAUUGAGAGUUCAGGCGCCUACAGUGCCCAAUGAGAUUGUCAUUGAGGCCAUGAUCAAGGGGUUCAGACCAGGACCAACGGCGCAAUACUUUGCAAGGAAGCCACCACAAACCCUAGAGAAGCCGACGAUGAUUUUCGGCAAAGAAGGCAAGAAGCCUACAGAUACUCUGAGAUGGCCAGGGGCUUCGGAGGAAGAUUUCACCCUAGGCAUGUCAGGUCAAUCCAUAAUACCAGCUCAAGUGACGACAAGGGAAACCAUACCCAAAGGCAGCAACACAGCUCUCAGUCGUCAGGAGCACAACAAAGCUCUUUGAGGCCACCGGCUCCAAGAGGUAGAGGGGGGAGAAGCUUCGGAGGAAGAUAUGGAGAUCAGCCCAGUAAACAGUUUUGUUUGUUCUGCGGUGAAGAUAAGGGGCAUACCACAAGAACGUGCCAAGUUAUGAUUCAGAAGCAGAAAGAAAUUGCUGAAGCUGAAGCACGUUCGAAUCAGCCGAAGCAGGUUCUGCAUACUGCUUCGUGCUACUCUCCCUACGUCCCGGAGUAUGUAGACAAUCAACAGCCUACGACCUUGGUCGCUUCGGCAAGCCAUUCUCAAGCUUCCUGGGCCCAGUUGCCACCACCACCACCGCUAGCACAUGCUCUGGUCCGCAAUCAAUAGCCAGAAGGGCACCACCAUGCUUAGUAAUAGCGCGACCUUCGGGAGGAGUCCGAAGCUCGCACAGUCAACAACAUUGUGCCUAAGUCGAAGCACAUCUAUUAAAGGUGCCACGGUGAUUCAAUUAAAGAAUAUCUUACCCUAAUGUAUCUUAGUUUUUCCGCCAUUUUAUUUUCUUGCAUGAAAAACAAUUCACGAAGGAUUAAUUUCCAAUUUGAUGUAAUAAUACCGUGGUCGCACCAUCGAGUGUGGAGCGCAUCGCCUUAACAAUACUUCCGAAGCUACAAAGACGUUCCUAAGGGAGCGCGGAGUAAGUUCUGAAGCUACAAAGUUGUUCAUAAGGGAGCGCAGAGUAAGUUCCGAAGCUCAAAAGUCGUUCUUAAGUGAAUGCAGAGCCAAGAUGCCACCAAAAUAAAAGGUGAAGAAGCUCAAAAGUCAUUCCUAAGGGGAUGCAGAGCUUAAAUGCCACCGAAAUAGAAGGUGAAGAAGUUCCAAAGUCGUUCCUAAGGGGAUGCAGAGCUUAGCUCCAAAGAUGUUCCUAAGGGGAUGCAGAGCUGAAAUAUAACCUAAGUAAAAAGUGAAGAGACUCAAAAGUCGUUCCUAAGGGGAUGCAGAGUCUGGAUGCAUUUUCGAGUGGGUGUGUUUCUUCGGCAUAAACAUCAUGCUGUAUCAUAUCAUCACAUCAUUUCUCAUAGCAUUACAUCAUACAUCACAUCACAUCAGCAACAGAACUGUGGAGAAGCAAAGAUGCUUCUUUCAAAAUAUUUGAUGAAUGGAACAAUGGGCUGAAGCAGAAAGUGUACCUUCAACAGCUAUAAUUUUACAUACCAAGAAAAAUCUUCGUCGACAAACAAUAUUAUAUAACAGCUACGACAUAAGAAGGGGUGAUUUUUUAUUUGUGAAGCAUGAAAAGAAGGGAAGGUGUUUUUUCACCAAAGGCUAAAAAACAGGUAAGUACAUACAUUUCAUGCAUCACAAAGAAAUAUAUUACAUUAAUAUACAAACAAAUGUUCGAUGUUCGACUCAUACACGAAUAUUACAUUUCUUAGUACACAAGAAUUUAGUCUUCUUUCAAUAUUUUCUCGGUAGCUUCAUGUAGGAGUUUGUUGACAGCUUCAUCAACGGCUUCUUCGGCAAUCCUUAUCGUUUCUAAUGCCCCCCUCAUGGCCGGAUCGGCCUCGGGAUCAUAUGGCUCAGGCGGUGGUGAAAAAUCAGCUGUAAUAAAGAACAAGUUGUUAAUAUCAAAGCCAGAAACAAAUACUGAAGCUAAAAUUCAGUAAUAAUACCUAUACGCCUUGCGCGCUCAGCAACCUCUUGGCUCGCUUAGCUUAUUCUCGAGCAUCAUGGGAUUCUUUUUCAUUUGUCUUUAUAGCUUCAUCGGCUAUCUCACGGCCACCUUUCAUCCAAACAUUGGAAUAAAACUUCUCGCCCAUCAAAGUAGCUUCGGCCGAAGGCUCCUUCAUGUCGUCUAUGGAGAAGACGGCUUCCGCCUGGGCUGCAGUUUUAACAUGUUCACAGCCAGUUUUCUCCAAAACUGCUGCAACCCCUCGGGCACCGGCGAAGGCACAAAAAUCCUCGCGUUCGCUAAGUAUUUCCUCAAAAGCUUCAACUUCUUCGCAAAUCCAUUGAACGACUCCUUUUGGAUCGCCUCGAAUAAAUUUUUGCUCCGAUGAGUAUGCACCCACCUUUGCAAAACUGUCUUUCAGUUUCUUUGCAUAGUCCAUGGAUACUUCGUAGCAUUUCUCUCUGGAACCCCGAAGUUCUUCAACAUUCUUCUCAAGCCUGGAGCUUGUCCAUUCACUUAUAUCUUACUUUGCCUUAGCAAGUUCAAUAUUUUCGCUCAUUUCGGCAAGUUUUUUGUGAAGGUCUUCGACUUCGGCUUGGUGAGCUUCGGAUUGUGCAUUAAGUUUUGCUUCGUUGCUCUUCAGUUUAUCCACCAAGGAAAGCAGUAUUUUAUCUUUUUCAAGCGCCUCGUUCCUUAAUGUAAUAACUUAUGACCGAAGGUUCCCAAGGGCUAUUUGGCAGCUUUCAUCUUCUGCAUUCUUUUGUGCCCUUAAAGCCUUGCUUAGGAUUAAUGCCUACAAAAAAUGAAGGAUCAGCACACAACAAUAAGAAAAGAUACAAAAAGUAAUCUGCUUAUAAGCUAAAAUGUCCUCACCAUCAGACUGUUAUAAGCAAGGAUGUCUGCAAGGUCAUCUUUCGACAUUGCAGACAACCCAAGCUCUAGCUUCGGGAAACCUAUAUUUUUUGCCAUCUCCCGACAAACAAAUAUUUUCUUGUUGUCUGGAAGGCAAUACAAAAAAUCAUCUUCGUCAGUGCCAUUAAACAUGAGGGAUCCUGGGGGAUACUUCAGAUCCUUAGCAAAUUGCCUAGCUUCGGCAACCUGCUCCUCUGAUAGUUUUUCCCUACCGCGUGACACACUAUAAAUUCCGAUCCCUCAGUAGAAGCUUCAACGGCAAGGAAUUCAGAUUCUUUGCUGGUUCUCUCUUUUCCUAACGGUAACGGAGCUUUUUCAGCAUCCAAAGGUCCUUUUUCAGCAUCCUUUUCAAUAAGCUCUGCAGGCCCUAUUUCUGCGGGAACUGAGGGCCCAGCUUCAGCUUCAACCCAAGUUAUGAUAGCUUCGGCAGUUUCCUUUGUACUUUUCUUACCCAUGCUAGGUACUUCUGUAGAGGCAGGAGUUAGUACUUUUGUCGAUUCCAUGACAGCAUCCAGUACACUAGCCAUUCUCCUCCUUUUUGGAGUUAUCAAAGUAGUUUUUUGAAUCUUCGGCAAUUCUGCCUCUGGCCGUGAAAAAGUUUUUGGCUGCUCCGCUGCUAUCUUCAGAAUUGGCUCUUCGGCUGAUCCCAAUAUGGCUUCGGCAGUAGCGAGAUGAUUUUGCUCAGCUGCAGAAGAAGACCCUUCAACAGGCUUUGACACUUUGGCCGUCUCAGAGUGCCUGGGCCGGUGUGUCAAGACUUUGCCAUUUUUCCCUUCGGCGUGGCAGAGAUUGCCGAAGCAGUAGCCUUCCUUUUCUUUCCCUGCUUUCGCGAGGGAUAACAAUAGUCUGGGUACACAAAACCAAUUACAUCAAAAACCCUAUUUAAUCUCUUCUUGCCUCGUCCUCCGAAGGCCAAUGUCAUGGCAUCGUCUUCGGCCCUUGUGUAGGCCCCAAGCAAUUCGUCACUAGUAGCCUCAAUGCAAUCCAACCAGUCAUCGUUCGGCUCAUCGAACUGAUCUCUGUAUCUGAAGGUGUAUUUCAGAUAAACUAAACUAACUUGACUGGACCCGGCCGCAGCUUCCUUCGACAUCUCCCAGCCACUUCCAAGAGGCCACACUCUGUAAGCAAUAUGCUCCUAGACUAAGUCCCUAGUGCCAAUAUAAGUACAUAAAGUGUUAAAGUCCGUAUGGCAUGCUUGAAUAUCAUGUCCAUGGACAGUGGUUGGCCUCCUAAUGCCGAAGCGAGACCAGAUAGGGCAUUGAAUGAUCCCCUUUAUAUCUUCUCUUUCAACUAAGUUGUUCUUCACAUAAAACCACUCUUGCAUCCAGGCUCCUGGCCACCUCUUCCAAAAUGUUGGGACGGGAUAGCUCACACCAGAGCGAGGCAUGAAGCCGUAACAACGAAAAUUAUUAUGAUAUUGUUCUAUGCCAGUAGCCUUUGUCUCAUAGGACAGGUCAUGCAUGUUGCAGAAGCAUUUUGCAUUCGGCUCUAAACCCUGGCCCAAAUGAAAACUCCCAUUCUGAUGAUAUCUUCGGGGGUAAUUUGAUGAAGGUAAAUUUCAAAAGUCUUCAAAACUUCAACUAAAAAUUUGUUCAGGGAGAAUCGAAGCCCUGCUUUCAUAGAACUCCUGUAGACAACAACUUCGUCUGCUUCGGGCAUAGGGGCACUGCUAUCUCCUCUGGCCCUCAUGAUAGAAAUAUCGCGGAAGUAUCUUCCUUUCAUUGCAUCAAUCUGACUCUGUUUGAUGGUUGAUUUAGCAAAGAUGGUAUGACUCGGUCGCCAGGGCUGAUCUUCGACAUCUUCGUUUCCACUUUCUAAGUCAAAACUUUCACUAUCGCUGGAAUCUUCAGACAACCCAACCAACAUCUCAUUGGUGAUCUUCUUCAUAUUUGUCUUCUCCAUAGCUUCAUAAAACCCGGCCAAUGCAGGGUCAGCAAUCUUCUUCUCUUUAGCCAUUUAGACAACGAUUGCACGAUUGUCGAAGCUUAAAACUCAAUCAAAACUCGACAGAGCAAGAGAAUUCAGAAUGUCUAAAAUAGCGCAAGCAACUGAAAUAGCACAGCAAAUGCUGCCAAUGCGAGUUUCUAUUUAUAUGCCUCACGAUUUGGUGGGCCAUACAUGUCAGUGGCUUUCGCUAUUCUAGCGAAGGGAAGGUGUUUUUUCGGAUCUUCGGUUAAAGGCCUUCGUUCACGUCACAGUCUAAAUUUGUUACAAAGAAACAAAUUAAUACUACGAGGGGCUACUGUUGGGGGCCUUCCUUUUCCGAAGGUCCUCAAAAACGUGGCUAACCAUAUGUUUUCAGUAUGACAUAGACUAUUAUAGGAAGCUUCGGCUUUGGGAUGAAGGCGUGUGAUAUGAGGAUACAACCCGAAUGCAACAUGGAUGGACGUCGAAGCUAUGGCUAAAGGAGCUUCAGCUUGGCAUGUUAGCGAAGAUGAAGGACGAAACCGACCUAAGGGAGAAAAGACUACUUAGUCCUUGAUAGUUUGCAUUAUGAUUAAGAGUAGAUGUCAGGGGCAUGAAUGUAAUCUUAUCCGGGCUAUGUCCCGUGCCUAUAAAUAGAUGAGAAGUAACACCGUACUGUUCACGCUGGAUUGUAAUCGCUCCUACAUCACUCUCGCAUCUUCACCUUUUGGCAAGCCGAAGGUAUCAAUGUAAUACAAAUAUUGAUUAUGUUUAUUCAUGCUUAUGAAAUGAGAAUAUAAAUAGCUUGCUGAUUCAUAACCAUUAUUUAUAUUCUUUUGUAUUUCAUGUACCCUUAUUUAUAUGUGUUCACUGAGAUGAUGAAGGUAUGCCCUUCAUGACCUUCGUCCGGAAACCAUUAUAUCCAAAAGGAGAUAAUGCUUCGAAGGACGAAGGUCUCUAAUUAUUGACAAUCGUGUUGUCUUGUUCUUGAUGUAUAGCAUUUGGGAAUAAGGACCAAUAGCUUGCUUCUUUGCCGAGUGCCAAGGCCACAGCACUCGGCAAAGAGUCUUUACCGGUGCGCAGGUGUGCCUUCUUUGCCGAGUGCUAUGACAUUGACACUCGGCAAAGUAUCUCUUUGUCGAGUGUAACACUCGACAAAGUGACCAGAUUAUCCCUUUUUAUUUGUUUUUGCUAUUCCAUCCAAACAAAUAAAAGAUAUAUCGCAUAAUCAUCACAUAUACAUCAUAGAUAUCACAUAAUCAUCGCAUACAUAAUAGAGACUGCAUAUUUCACAAAAAACACAAAUCUCACAAGUUUUUCUCAAACAUGUCCAUGUUCAUACCAAGAUUCACUAACAUAAGUAUCACACAACUCUAAAACAUAAGUUUUUCACAAACAUAAGUUUAGGACAAGUUUAUCACACAAGCUAAGAGAAGAUCAUGAGCGAGGUGGGCGGCUGGACUGGUGCGGCGACGGGCUGGGCGAUCCACGAGGGUUGUUGGAUGCCGCCCUAGAUUGUCCCUGCACAGAGAAGAGAUUGCCUGUGUUAUACUAGAUAAAUAUACAUCAUGCAGGACUAGAAUUUUGAUACUCAUAGGAGUAUGGAACUGAGCAGGGUCAACUGGAGGGAACAACGGAGGUGGUGGAGCAAAACCCUGUGCGGUGCCAAGGCUCUGCAUGUACUGGAACAUCUCUGCCAUCCUCUGUUGAUUUUCCAUGUGGGCCUCCCGCUCCGCCAUCAUCCUCGCCUCCAUAUCCUACCGUUCCCUCCUCUCUUCUUCUAGCUAGGCAUAUAAUAUUUCAACCCAGUGUUAUAAUAACUCAAAGAGAAGGUAUAUAACUCAAGGAAAGACGAGUUACAGAAGCACUAACCUGGAGUUGUUGUAUCUCAUGAUGUGAGUUGUCCUGUCGAGGUCGUAUGGCUGGGCUUGAGCUCGUGGUCCUUGCUCGCACCUGAGACAGAGUGGGAGUGGACAACGAGUCGAUUGUCCCGUCGGCAAUCCAGUACCUCCCAUGCCUCUUGCCUCCUCUGACCCUCAUGAGAACAUCUCCGUCGAUUUCCUUGGUCCUCGGAUCGUAAUCUGGCCCAUGGACCUCAUGUGACAUGGCAGUGUACUCACUUAGGCGGUUGUAGACGGCGGAGUUGCUAUAUGCCUCGGGCCCGUCAUCCGGGUUGUAGGUGACAUCGGACGUCGCCUUUCCCUUGUGGGCCAUAGCAUAAACCGAGAAGAUGGAGCAUGGCUGGCCACCAUGUAACACCAAAUGCAAUAAAAUCAAUGAGAUAGUUAGAAAUAAUAUCUAAACCAGUGCUAUAUACCUAAAUAAAAAGAGGGCGUACCCAUGCUUCUACAUAUUUCCAGAGGUUGCGACUGCCUUGGUGGUGGGAGGGACCUUACAUCAUCAAAUGUCGUUCCAUGCUAGCGUUGUGCGCCUCGUCCCACUUAGGCGAGCACCACCUAUCCACCAUCUGCUCCUAGCACUGAGGAUGCGCGGCGCACCAAUAAGGAAUCAUCUACAAACUAAAACAAGUACAUUGCAUAUCAGAAGAUAAAAUUAAGCAAUUUUUUUCACGAAUAUUAAAGUGAUGUAUUUACCUGCAAGUAUUGGUCCCUAGUCAACGACAUGGUUCGGGCCUCUUGUUUGGUCACCUUCUCUCUAAGGACGGAGCCAUGGUAGAUGAUGAUGACCUAGAUUCGUGCAUCGUAGUGCAUGUCCACGACGAGCUUCUUACAGCUUGUGGUGGCCACCACAUUUGCCCUGGCCUCGUAUCCAGCCUCGCAUCUGAAGAAAUCCUACAUACAAAGGCGAUAUAUCCAUACAUUAUUUCAAGUAUGUGCAACAAAUGCGACAUAUUUUACAAUAUAGUAAGACUUACUCAUAGCUUUUGCUUCACCCGCUCUGCCAUGUUGUUAAAUUCCCUAUCGUCCUAGUCUACUGCAUCAGGGGUGACGACGUAGUGGUCGAAGGUGUAGGCAGUAGGUUGGGCCCACCACUCCAGCGUACUCAACCAGUCCAGGGAAGUGUUCCCUACACAUAAGGCCAAGGAUGCCAUUGGGUUGUGGUCGUGACUCCCUGCAUUCUCCACAACCUUUCAAGACCUGUCCAAGUGAUAAAUAAAAAGUAUUAGUUUAUAUUAUGAAUUUGAACACAUAAUAUGAACAAACAGUGAGAACAUAAAAUUACAUGUCUCUCCCCAUCCUUCUGAAUCAGCGACCGCCUAUCUCGAAGUAUGGGACGCUGAGGGAGACUCGUGGGACCUCGCUGGUAGACGUUCCUCGAAUCUGAAGCACCAGAACCUGAGGCGUCUUGCUGAGCGUCGUCGUCGUCCUACUGUGUCGCAUCGAUAACGACCUGCUGCUGGACGUCGUCAUCCUGUUGUGCCUUCUUCGCCUUCCUACGGGUGCUCCUCCUCCCCCUCCUUGUCCUCAUCCCACCGCCCACCAUAUUUGUCCAACAACCUGUAAUUAAGGGUAAGCAAAUAAGCACAUAUAAAAAAGUUUAUUUACAAAUAGGCGUGAAAUAAAAAAAAUAGCAUUACAUCGUUUAAAAAAAUCUUCAUAUGUGUCGGGGUUAGCCAGAUCAUAAGUGUCAUCAUCACAAUCAACCAUUUCAUAGUCAACACCAUCUGAAGGCGCAAGUUCUUCAUUAAUGUCAUUGCCUUCAAGUAAUUCUAAGUCAUUCUCAUUUUGCACCUCAUCAACAACCAUUUCAAUAUCUACUUCCAUUCCGAUAGCUUCGGUUAAGUCUAUCUCAAAUCACCCUUCUAGCCCAUAUUCUUGGAAGAACUCUCCAUCAUAUGUAUCCGGGUCUAAGUUAUAAUCUUCAUCAUUUGGAACAGGUAAUUUACCGUGCAGUGAUACCUUAUACACAACAUCCCAACCCAUCCAUGCCUCAUAUAGGAGAUGAAGAAUCAAAUGCUGCAUUGGAUUGAAGAAGUCGAGUGGAAAUAUCUUCUCAAGCUUACACAAAAACACGGGUGUCAAUCUUUCCAAGUCUGCAAUCACGGACCAAGAUAACUCUUUCACACAAAGCUGGCAGAAUAAAUAGCUGAACUUUGUAAGCGCUAGCCAUACAUGCUCAGGGACAUAGCCUCGAACCAUCGUCGGAAGAAUCUGUUCAAUCCAUAAGUGGAAGUCAUGACUCUUCAUCCCUAAGACUCACAGAGUAGAUAAGUUCACCCCCCUACUUAGGUUAGCUGCAUACCCAUCAGGAAACAUCAACAUCUUGAUCCACUAAAGUACUUCCUUCCUCUGGGCCCUACUUAGGACGAAAUCGGCCUUAGACCUUCUCCAUGUCUUUCCACCACUAGGCGGCUUCAUUUCUUGGUUUGGUCUAUCACAUAACGCUGUCAGAUCCACUCUUGUCUUUACAUUAUCCUUUGACUUAUCAGGAAUGUCCAUAAUUGUUGCCCAAAGUGCCUCGGCGACAUUCUUUUCAGUGUACAUCAAGUCAAUGUUGUGUGGAAGGAGUGGGUCAUCAUAAUAGGGGAGCCGAGUCAAGCCCGACUUAUGUGUCCACAUAUGCUGCUCACCAUAUCCCACAAAUACACCUUCUGGAUUGGCCACGAGCCCAUCUAUUUGUUGACGAAUUUCGGCACCAGUCAUCAUUGCAGGUGGUUGGUCUGUCACUACAACACCUUUCGUAAAGUUAUUGAUGUCUAGGCGGAAUGGAUGGUUAGGAGGGAGAAAUUGUUGAUGUUUAUCGAACAACGAAUAUUUGCCACCCUUUUUCAACCAAAUGAACUUAAGAGCUUCCUUACAAACUAGGCAUGGGAACUUACUGUGAACACAAUAGACACAGAAUAGCCCAUACGCCGGUAAGUCAUGCAUGGCGUACUAGUACCAAACAUGCAUUUUGAAGUUUUUCUUCGUAGCUCGGUUAUACGUCCAUACCCCUUCCUCCCAAGCAUGUACGAUUCAUCAAUCAAAGGCUCCAUGUACACGCCCAUUUUAUUCCCCGGGUGUCCGAGAAUUAUCAACGACACAAAUAUGUUCUGCCUUUAAAAGCAUACACCGGGGGGAGAUUGAUUGGGAUAACAAACACGGGCCAACAUGUGUAUGGGGCAGCGCUCAUUCCAUAGGGAUUGAACCCAUCUGUGGCCAGCGCAACACGUACAUUAUGAGCCUCUUCAGCUUUCUCGCGGUAAAUGGCAUCAAAGUGUUUCCAUGCUUCACCAUCGGAUGUGUGCACCAUCUUAUCAUGAUUGUAUCGUUUGCCAUUUUUGUGCCAUGUCAUCUGUUUCGCGGAUUCCUCAGUCAUGUAUAGACGCUGGAUCCUCGGUGUGAACGGAAGGUGGUGUAGGAUUGUCACGGGGAUGUCGAGCUGCCUAUCAUGUCCAUCACCAAAGUCUACCUCCAUGAACCUAGACGAUUUACACUUCGGACAGUACUUUGCUUCCGUGUAUUCUUUCCUAAAUAGCACGCAGUCCUUCGGACAAGCAUGUAUCUGCUCAUAUGUCAUCUUGAGUGCACGGAGGAGUUUCUGUGUGUUGGGGACCUUCGGCAUCCGAAGGUCCUCAAAAACGGGAUUUAACAGUAUUUCUGGAAGUAUAAUGUGUGAGCAGGUACCUUCAGACUCAAGUCGGUAUCACGGCAGGAGAAGACCCGGAUAAUACGAAGGUCUUGAUACAACGCCGAAGAUGUUAGCAGGAAAGCUUCGGCAUGGUUGCAGAAAAUGAAACCGACUUAAAGAUGAAAAGGCUAUUCAGACCUCGAUAGAUUACUAUAGAAUUAUUAUCAAAUGUAAAGGGCAUGAAUGUAAUUUUGUAUGGGCUGUGUCCCGUGCCUAUAAAUAGGUGAACAGAACCCCCGUACUGUUCACGCUGACUUGGCAUUCGCUUUUUGCGUCACGCUUGUACUGUCAUCUCCUUCCGAUUGAAGGUACACUUGUAAUUCAACGAUAUUUCUGUUUAUGUCUGAUAAUAAUAUAUAAUUGUUCAUAUUGUCUUUUAUGUUCUUUACAUUUCAUUCUUCGUCAUUGCUUAAUGAAUUUAUGAAGGUACGUCCUUCAUAACCUUCGUCCGUAAACCAUUAUAUCCUAAGGGAAAUAAUGUUUCGGAGGGCGAAGGACUUUAACGAUUAACAUUUUCUAUGUUGCCUUGUUCUUAACUCAUAGCACUUGAGAACAAGUCCCCAACAUUGGCGCCCACCUCCGGUGAACUCACUUCCACUCUUUGAAGUUUUUUGAACACCUUCGGCGAUCAUAAAUCUUCGUUAUGGCGCCGAAGAAAGCUUCAGCGACUGGGGCUGCAGCUCUGCAACCACUGGACCACAAUCAGGAGACAGUUUCCCUGCGGGAGGCCCGAAGCCAGAAAAGGAAGGCUGUCAGUCCGACACCACCAGAGGACGAGAUAGAUCAAGAAAUCAGAGAUAUGGAGAUGCUUCAUCAACAAGUACAGAGGAAGAAAGAAAAGAUGGCCAGGCUAGCUGAACUGCAGAGGCAGAUAGACGAAGCCUCUGAAGAAGUUCGUCAUCUUGCUCAGGAUGAGCAACACCGAAGGCCUCAGCACCAAGACCUUCAUCAGGAGGGUUUUCCCAACGAAGAUGACUGGUAUGACAAUUUCCAUCAUGGGAAUUUUGUUUUUGAUGAUGCUUCUCCUCUGUCCGCUGAGCUGCAGGCUACACCUUGGCCUCCGUCCUACAAGCCGCCUCAGCUUCCCGUAUUCGAUGGUCACUCAGACCCGAAGCAGUUUUUGAUGAGCUACGAAGCAACAGUAUCUUCGUAUGGUGGCAAUGCUUCAGUCAUGGCCAAAUCUUUCGUUAUGGCUGUCAGAAGUGUUGCUCAAACCUGGUAUUCCUCCCUUCGACCAGGAACGAUCACUUCAUGGCAGAAGCUGAAGGACUUGUUGUUAACUAGCUUUCAAGGAUUUCAGACGAAGCCGGUCACUGCUCAGGCUCUGUUCCAGUGCACCCAGGAUCACGAAGAAUACCUUCAGGCGUAUGUCCGAAGGUUCUUGCGUUUGAGGGCACAGGCACCAACGGUGCCCAAUGAAAUUGUCAUCGAGGCCAUGAUCAAGGGGCUUCGGCCAGGACCGUCAGCUCAGUACUUCGCCAGGAAGCCUCCUCAAACUUUGGAGAAGCUGCUCCAGAAGAUGGACGAGUACAUUCGGGCCGAUAAUGAUUUUCGCCAAAGAAGGGAGGAGGCUUUCAGGUUUUCUGAAAUGACCAGGGGCUUCGGAGGGAGGUUCUACCCGAGGCACGUGAGAUCAAUUCAUAACUCUACACAAAAAUGAUGAUAGAGGAAGCCAACAGCAAAGGCCACAAUGCUCCUCACAGGCUUCGGGGCAACAGCAAAGCUCCUUCCGACCACCAGCUCCAAGAGGCAGAGGCGCCAGGGGCUUUGGAGGAAGAUUUGGAGAUCAACCGAGAAGAAUCUUUUGCUUAUUCUGCGGUGAGAACAAAGGCCAUACUACCAGGAUGUGCCAUGUUACUAUUCAGAAGCAAAAGGAAAUAGCUGAAGCCGCAGCACAACAAGCUCAGCCGAAGCAGGUCAUGCAUACAACUUCGUAUCAUUCGCCCUACAUCCCAGAAUAUGUGGGCAACCAUCCUGCAGUUUCUGUUGCUUCGGCAAGUCAGCCUCAAGCUUCCUGGCAACAGCCUCCGCCUCCACCUCCGUUGCAACAAGGCCAGCAACCAGAAGGGAGCCAGUAUGCUCCACACCAGAGGGACUUCAGAGAGCAGUCCGAAGCUCGUACAGUCAAUAGCACUGUGCCAGAGUCAAAGCACAUCUAUUGACGAAUAUCCUACCUUAAUAGCAAUCUUUUUCAUUCAGUUUUAUUUUCUGUAAUAAAGGACAUUGUUUAGGUUUCAUGUAAUUAGUUUCGUUGAUUCCUACAAGAAAAAUAUGUUUUCCUCACAGGCUUAAAUUGAUUGAAGUUCAAAGACUUGUGAUAAAAAAAAGGACCUUCGAACUAUCGAAAAUUCUUCGAAGCAACAAAAAGUCGUUCUAAGGAACGCAGAGUAAGUUUGCCGAAGUCACAAAAAGUCGUUCCAAAGGGAGCGCAGUGUAAGUUUUCUGCUCCAAAGUCGUUCCAAAGGGAAUGCAGAGCAUACAGCGAAAAGUCAACGCUGAUACCGCCUAAGUAAAAGGCGAAGCGCGAAAAGUCAACGCGAAUACCGCUGAAAGUAAAAGGCGAAGAAGCUCCUAAGGGAGGCUUACAGCGAAAAAUAAACGCUGAUUCCGCUGAAGUAAAAGGCGAAGAAGCUCCUAAGGGAGGCUUAUAAAAGAUGUGUUUUAUUGCAGGGAUGCGUAUGUAUCUUCGGAAUAAACGUCAUCUCACAUAACAUAACAUCAUCGCAUCAUUUCGCAUAGCAUAAGCAUCAUACAUCAUUUUGCACAUGGCACAAGAGGUGGACACAUUAUUAAUCUACAGAAGAACGCUUUGAAAAAAGGGAGAAAUCAAAGUCACAAAAAGAUACAUCAUUGAUCUUCGGAAGUGUAUCUUCGGAAGUGUAGCUUCGGAAAAUAUCUUCACGAAGCCUGGAUAUUAAUCAUCAGAACAUUGGAUAUUGUUGUGACAAAGAAAAAUUCUUCUUCACGAAGCAUGAAAAGAAGGGAAGGUGUUUUUUCGUCAAAGACUCAAAAGUGGUACGUGUAAAGUUUCAUGCAUCGUAAAGAAUUGACUAACAAAAAUAGGUAUAUUACAUUUGGGGUUACAAAAUGUUACAGUAUAUUACAUUUCAGAAAGUUUUCACAAAAAUACUUAAUCUUCUCUCAAAACGACUUCUGCAGCCUCGUUCAGGAGCCGAUUGACGACUUCGUCCAUAAUAUCUUCAGCCAUCUUUUUAAUUUCGUCGUCUCCUUUCGGCUGAGGGCCCGAAGACGCUUUAGCACGAUCUGAAGUAAGACAGCAUGCGGCUACAUUGCUAUUACAAAUCGCAAACAAAUCUUAAAGCCUAAGAUUACAACACGAUAAAAACUAUUAGUUAAUACCUAAUUGACCUUCGGCCUCUGCGCUCUUUUCAGCAGCCUCAGCCACUUCUCUAGCAUCGUGAAUGCCCUUUUCACUUCUUCGAAUAAUUUCUCCGGCCAUUUCUCAGCCACCAUUAUCCCAGAUAUCGGUAAAACAUUUUCCACCAAUUAUACUAGCUUCGGCCGAAGGAUCUCUUGCAUCUUCAAAGGGCAAAGCAGCUUCGGAUUGUGCUAAAAUUUUUACAUGUUCGCAGCCCUUCUUCUCUAAGAUGGUGGCAAUCCCUCUGGCACCAGAGAAGGCACAUAUAUCUCCUCGGCUAUUUAAAAUUUCUUCGAAGGCUUCAGCUUCGUGGUCGAUCCAUUCGAUGACACCUUCGGGAUUGCUUCUCGAAAAGUUUUCCUCACUUGAGAAUGCGCCGACCUUGGCGAAGCUAGCCUUUAGCUUCUUAACACAAUCUAUAGAUUUAUUAUAGCAUCUCUUUUUGGACGAACGAAGCUCUUCAACAGUCACUUCUAGGUGAUCUGCCCAUUGAUCGCUGAGUUCACGCUUUGUUUCUUCAAGUAUGCGUUCUUCCUUGGCUCUGGCCAGUUGUUUCCGAAGAUCUUCAAUUUCGCGCUUCUGAGCUUCAGCUUGACCUUUAAAAGCAGCUUCGUCUUCCUUUAUUUUAUUUAUCAAUGAGUAUAAUAUUUUAUCUUUUUCGAGACCUUCGUUCCUCAGUUCAAUUACUUCGGAACGAAGGUUGCUCAGGGCUAUAGUACACCCUUCGUCUUCAGCAUCUUUCUGUGCCCUGAGGGCAUUGCUAAGUAUCAGGCCCUGCAAAGAGAAAUAUGUGUGCGUCAAUAGGUUUAAACAAACGAAAAAUACAAGGAUUUCAUUUCUCGCACCUUUAAGCUAUUGUAAGCCAGGCUGUCGGCCAGAUCGUUCUUCGACAGCACCGAGAGCCCGUCUUCUAAAGUUGGGAAUCCGAAGCUCUUGCUCAUCUCCCGACAGACAGAAAUUUCCUUGCUAUCGGGGAGACAAUACAAGAAGUCUUCUUCUCCACUGCCAUUGAAUAUUAACGCCCCCUUUGGAUAUUUCAGUUUUUGGGCGUAGUGCUGGGCCUCUUGCUCUUCUUUUUCUGAUAGUUUUUUCCCCGAAGCAUGGCGAACAAUAUAAUCACGAACUUUGGGGGAUGCUUCGGGGGCAAUGGCACCGGUUUCUUCAACAAAAGUUGGCUUUGUUAUUUUUUCUGCCUCACUUUCCAAGGAUUUUAUCUUUGCAGGCUCUGAGGGCCCAGCUUCGGCUUUAGUCUCUUGCCCUGAAGCUUUAGAUCCAGAAAUUUCAGUUGUUUCAGGAAUGACAGCAGCCCUCUUCGGAGGUGUGCUUGAAGAUUUGAUCGUUUCCAGUACAUCUAGCACAUUAGCCAUUCUCUUUCUUUUCGGAGUCACUGCUGGCACUUUCACUAUCUCAAUGUUUGCUGCAGGACUCAAAACUUCUGAUGUUUUGGAUCCCUCAGUUGAUUCUUUUACCUUUUCCAUUUUUUCUGUGGACGGCGCUUCGGCUUUCUCUUUCGUUUCUGAUAACAAAAUUUUUGAUUGUUCCAAUUCUAUCUUUGUUGGCACUUCGGCCGUUUCUGCGACUUCUGGCAGCAAGGUUGGCUCGGUUGGUUUUUCAGCUUCGGUGGCCGAAGAAGUUUCUCCGGUAAACUCAGGCACCGAAGCUGGUUCAAUAUAGCGCGGCCGAUGCGUAAGGACCUUUAUCUUCUUUCUUUUCGGUUCUGGCUCGCUAGGAGCAGUUGCAGCUUCUUCUUUUGCAGAGGUUGUGUUUUUUCUCUUCUGCCUUCGAAUGGGAUAGCAAUAGUCAGGGUAGACAAACCCGAUUGCAUCAAAUACCCGAUUCAGCCUCUUCUUUUUUCGGCCUCCGAAGGCUGCUGACAUUGCAGUAUCUUCGGCCUUCGAAUAGGUCCCAAGCAGCUCAUCACUUAAAUUUUCAAUGCUUUUUAACCAGUCAUCAUCUGGUUCAACGAAUUUAUCUCCAAACUUAAAAGUGUACUUCAACCUGAUAAGUCCACCUUCGUCGGCCUCUUUUAUGGUUUCUUGUGGCAUUUCCCAUUUCUCCGCAAGUGGCCAUACCCUGAAGGCGAUAUGCUCUUGUACUAAGUCCCUCGUUCCAAUAAAAGAACAGAUAACACCGAAGGCCCUCUGGCAUUCUUCGGCAGCCUCACUCAUUUCAACCUUCGGCCUCCGAAGGCCGAAGCUUUGCCAAAUAGGGCGCAUAAUUAUACCUUUGAUAUCUUCUCGCGCUGUCAGAUCAUUCUUCACAUAAAACCAUUCUGUCAUCCAGUCGCCGGGCCAUCUCUUCCGAAAGGUCGGCACGGGACAGCUUGACCCGGACCGAGAAACGAAAUUGUAGCAGCCAAAAUUAUUGUGAUACUGUUCCUUACCCCAAGGUUUUGUUUCGUAUGAUAAUUCGUGUAUAUUGCAGAAACUUUUUGCAUCAGGCUUCAGACCUUGGCUUCUCACGGCCCACACGAAGAUAUUUAGCCUUAUAAUUGCCUCAGGGGUAAGUUGAUGGAGAUAGACUUCGAAUAUUUUCAGUACCUCCACAACGAAGCUGCUCAAGGGAAAUCGCAGUCCAGCUUUCAAAAAGCUUCGGUACACUACGACUUCAUUCUCUUCAGGGUGUGGGCAAGUUUUUUCCCCUUCGUCGGCCCUCACAAUGGACAAAUCCCGGAAAUACCUUCCUCUCAUGUUGACAAGAUGAUUCUCUUUGAUAGUUGAUUUACCAUAAACUGAAUGGCUUGGUCGCCAGGGACGAUCUUCGGAGUCCUCACCACCACUGUCCACAUCAUAGCUGUCACUGUCACCAGUAUCUUCAGACAAACCUUCCAGAAUCUCCUUGGUAAUUUUUUCUGUAUUGGUCUUUGACAUCGCUAUAAGAAACCCCAAGUUUUUCUCUUCGUCAAGGCUCAGCUUCAUCUCAGCAACAGUCUUCUUAUCUUCAGACAUCUUCGGAGACGCUAAAAAACUAUUUUCAAAGCCGAAGCUUCAAAACUAAAAGCUUAGCAAAUCGCAGUGCACAAGAGCUAAAAAUUGAGUGAGCGGGAGUAGUUGGCCAGAAAGCGUGUCAAAUGAGUUUGCGGUAUGGCCGUAUUUAUACGCCAAGAGCGUUGAAAAUUCAAAGACCCCGCUUGUCAGUGAAUGUUGCUAUUCUAGCAAAGGGAAGGUGUUUUUUCGGACCUUCGGCGUAAAGCCUUCGUCCAUGUCGCAAUCUAAAUUCGUUAUUUUAAAACAAAUUAAUAUUGCGAGGGGCUACUGUUGGGGACCUUCGGCAUCCGAAGGUCCUCAAAAACGGGAUUUAACAGUAUUUCUGGAAGUAUAAUGUGUGAGCAGGUACCUUCGGACUCAAGUCGGUAUCACGGCAGGAGAAGACCCGGAUAAUACGAAGGUCUUGAUACAACGCCGAAGAUGUUAGCAGGAAAGCUUCGGCAUGGUUGCAGAAAAUAAAACCGACUUAAAGAUGAAAAGGCUAUUCAGACCUCGAUAGAUUAUAUAGAAUUAUUAUCAAAUGUAAAGGGCAUGAAUGUAAUUUUGUAUGGGCUGUGUCCCGUGCCUAUAAAUAGGUGAACAGAACCCCCGUACUGUUCACGCUGACUUGGCAUUCGCUUUUUGCGUCACGCUUGUACUGUCAUCUCCUUCCGAUUGAAGGUACACUUGUAAUUCAACGAUAUUUCUAUUUAUGUCUGAUAAUAAUAUAUAAUUGUUCAUAUUGUCUUUUAUAUUCUUUACAUUUCAUUCUUCGUCAUUGCUUAAUGAAUUUAUGAAGGUACGUCCUUCAUAACCUUCGUCCGUAAACCAUUAUAUCCUAAGGGAAAUAAUGUUUCGGAGGGCGAAGGACUUUAACGAUUAACAUUUUCUAUGUUGCCUUGUUCUUAACUCAUAGCACUUGAGAACAAGUCCCCAACACUGUGCCUCAUACAUGCUCUUUGGUAGAACGUGAUCCUCCGGAAGCAGGCUACCAAUAACUGUCAACAAGCAAUCGAAUGCGUCUUGACUCAUGUUAUACUGCGACUUGAACGCUAUUACAUGCCCAAUGGCAUCCAGUUGAGAAACCUUUGUCUGGCUGUGAAGGGGCUUCUGUGCCACGUCAAACAUGUCGUAGAACGCCUUUGCAAUCGGCUCUAGCUCGUCCUCCAUACAUCCUCCGACGAACUAUGCCUCAUGAUAGUCGUUCAACAUAUCUGCUACCCCCGCAUCAGCAUCAUAAUCCUCGACGUGUUGUCUCUGAAAGGGAAAUAAGCUUACACCUUUUCCUAAAUGAUUUUGGUGGUUGAAUUGCCCAACACAAAUAAUUGGACUAACUAGUUUGCUCUAGGUUAUAAGUUCUAUAGGUGCCAAAGGUUCAACACAUACCAAUAAAAAGUCCAAGAAAGGGUUCAAAUAAAAAGAGCAAAAGACAACCGAAGGCUGCCCUGGUCUGGCGCACUGGACUGUCCGAUGUGCCACCGGACAGUGUCCGGUGCACCAGAGAGAUUCACUCCAAACUUGCCACCUUCGGGAAUUUGGGAAGCCACUCCGCUAUAAUUCACCGGACUGUCCGGUGUGCCAAGCGGAGCAACGGUCGCCAACGCAAUGGUCGAGUUCAACGGUCGGCUGACAACGCUACAGUGCGCGGACUACGCGCGUAGAAGUCAGAGAAGGCGCAGAUGGCGCACCGGACAGUGAAGAGGACCUGUCUGGUGCACCAUCGGACUGUCCGGUGGCCCACAUGUCAGAAACUCCAACGGUCGAACCCUAACGGUUGGGUGACGUGGCUGGCGCACCGGACAGUGUCCGGUGGCGCACCGGACUGUCCGGUGCGCCCAUCGACAGCAGAGUUCCCCAACGACCACUUUGGUGGUUGGGGCUAUAAAUACCCCCCAACCACCACACUUCGAUGCAUCCAAGUUUUCAGCCAUCAAACCUCAUACAAGAGCUCUAGACUUCAUUCCAAGACACAAACAAAGAGAUCAAAUCCUCUCCCAAGUCUGGAAUCACUCCAAACAAAUUAGUGACUAGAGAGAGAGAGACUUUUGUGUUCUUUUAAGCUCUUGUGCUUGGAUCGCUUUUCUUCUUCCUCCUUUCUUGUUCUCAACUCAAUUGUAAUCAAAGCAAGAGACACCAAGUUGUGGUGGUCCUUGUAGUGGACUAAGUGUCCCGUUUGAUUGAAGAGAAAAGCUCACUCGGUCUAGGUGACCGUUUGAGAGAGGGAAAGGGUUGAAAGAGACCCGAUCUUUGUGACCACCUCAACGGGGAGUAGGUUUGCAAGAACCGAACCUCGGUAAAACAAAUCACCGUGUUCAUCUGUUUUAUUUCUUUGUUGAUUUGUUUUCCCUUUCUUUCGGACUUGAUUAUAUUUCUAACGCUAACCCUUGCUUGUAGUUGUGCUUAAACUUUAUAAAUUUCAGAUUUGCCUAUUCACCCCCCUCUAGGCGACUUUCAAUUGGUAUCAGAGCCCGGUACUUCAUUAGAGCCUAACCACUCGAUGUCAUGUCGGGAGCUCACGCCAAGAAGGAGAUGGUGACCGGCGAGAAGCCCGCCACAAGCCACGGGAAGGCUCCAUCGGGAGAGUCCGGCAACAAAAGGGAGGAAUCACCUCCCCACGUCAAGUCGCACCGGAGUGGUGACCAGAAGAAGAAAAUGAAGAAAGUGUUCUACUGUGAGACCGAUUCUUCGUCGCCAUCCACCUCCACGUCCGACGCGCCGUCCGUCACUUCUAAGCGCCAUGAGCGCAAGAAGUUUAGUAAGAUCUCCUUACGCUAUCCUCGUAUUUCCAAAUGCACUCCUUUACUUUCCGUCCCACUAGGCAAACCACCGGUUUUUGACGGUGAACAUUAUUGUAUGUGGAGUGAUAAAAUGAGGCACCAUCUAACCUCACUCCACGCUAGUAUUUGGGACAUUGUUGAGUUUGGUGCGCAGGAACCAUCCGUGGGGGAUGAAGGCUAUGAUUCGGAUGAGGUAGCCCAAAUCCAGCACUUCAACUCCCAAGCCACCACUAUACUCCUCGCCUCUCUAAGUCGAGAGGAGUAUAAUAAGGUGCAAGGGUUGAAGAGCGCCAAAGAGAUUUGGGACGUACUAAAGACCACACACGAAGGAGACGAGGUGACCAAGAUCACCAAGAGCGAAACGAUCGAGGGGGAGCUCGGUCGCUUCAUGCUUCAUCAAGGGGAGGAGCCACAAGCAAUGUACAACCGGCUCUAGACCUUGGUGAACCAAGUGCGCAACCUCAGGAGCACCAAAUGGGAUGACCAUGAAAUGGUCAAGGUUAUUCUAAGAUCACUUAUAUUUCUUAAUCCUACACAAGUUCAAUUAAUUCGUGGUGAUCCUAGAUACAAGAUAAUGUCUCCCGAGGAGGUUAUAGGAAAAUUUGUGAGCUUUGAAUUGAUGAUCAAAGGCUCCAAGAAAAUCAUCGAGCAAGGCGCCUCCUCCACACCCGAAAUGCAACUCGUCGCAUUCAAGGCAACAGAGGAGAAGAAAGAAGAGUCUACUUCAAGUAGACUUCCCAUCGACGCCUCCAAGCUCGACAACGAGGAAAUGGCGCUCAUCAUCAGGAGCUUUCGCCAAAUCCUCAAGCAAAGGAGGGGGAAGGACUACAAGCCCCGCUCCAAGAAAGUUUGCUACAAGUGUGGUAAGCCCGGACAUUUCAUUGCUAAAUGUCCAUUAUCAAGUGAUAGUGACAGGGGCGAUGACAAGAAGGGGAGAAGGAAGGAGAAGAAGAAAUAUUACAAGAAGAAGGGCGGCGAUGCCCAUGUAUGCCACGAGUGGGACUCCGAUGAGAGCUCCACCGACUCCUCCUCCGACGAGAACGCCGCAAACAUCGCCAUCAACAAGGGUCUUCUCCUUCCCAACGUCGAUCACAAGUGCCUCAUGGCAAAGGACGACAAAAAGAAGAAGGUAAAAUCUAGAGCUUCCACUAAAUAUGCAACAUCUAGUGAUGAGGCUAGCUCUAGUGAUGAUGAGGAUGAUUUGAUCACCCUUUUUGCCAACUUAAACAUUCAACAAAAAGACAAAUUGAAUGAAUCGAUUAGUGUUAUUCAUGAGAAGGAUGAACUCUUGGAUAGCCAAGAGGACUUCCUUAUUAAAGAAAAUAAGAAGCAUGUUAAAGUUAAAAAUGCUUAUGCUCAGGAGAUAGAAAAAUGUGAAAAAUUAACUAGUGAUCUAAGCACUUGCCAUGACACUAUUUUCAACCUUAGAUUUGAAAAUGACAAAUUGAUUGCUAAGGUUGAGAAAUUAAAUGUUAGUGAUGAUUCUCUUGUCAACCUUAGAAAUGAUAAUGCUAAUUUGAUUGCUAAGGUUGACAAAUUGAAUGCAUCUCUCUCUAGCCUUAAAAUUGAGAAUGAAAAAUUAAUUGCUAAGGCUAAAGAUUUAAAUGUUUGCAAUGUUUCUAUUUCCAAUCUUAGAGAUGAGAACACUAUUUUACAUGCUAAGAUUGUUGAAUUAAAUACUUGCAAACCCUCAACAUCUACCGUUGAACAUGUUACUAUUUGCACUAGAUGUAGAGAUGUUAAUAUUGAUGCUAUUCAUGAUCACAUUGCUAUGAUUAAACAACAAAAUGAUCAUAUAGCAAAAUUAGAUGCUAAAAUUGCCGAGCAUGAAUUAGAGAAUGAAAAAUUUAAAUUUGCUCGUAAUAUGCUUUAUGGUGGGAGACGCCCUGGCAUUAAGGAUGGCAUUGGCUUCCAACAGGGAGGCGAUGUCAAACUCAAUGCCCCUAAGAAAUUGUCCAACUUUGUUAAGGGCAAGGCUCCCAUGGUUUAGGAUAACGAGGGUUACAUUUUAUACCCUGACGGUUAUCCCGAACAUAAAAUUAGGAGAAUUCACUCUAGGAAGUCUCACUCUGGCUCUCAUCAUGCUUUUAUGAAUAAGAGUGAGGCAUCUAGUUCUAGGAAAUCCACCCAUGCUAAAUUGCCUAAGAAGAAAACUCCUAUAGCAUCAAACGAACCUAAUUUUUCAUUUAAGACUUUUGAUGCUUCUUAUGUGCUCACUAACAAAUCAGGCAAAAUAGUUGCCAAAUAUGUUGGGGCUAAACACAAGGGAUCAAAGACUUGUGUUUGGGUACCCAAGGUGCUUGUUUCUAAUGUGAAAGGACCCAAGACCAUUUGGGUACCUAAGAACAAGGCCUAAACUUGUUUUGUAGGUUUAUGCAUGCGGGGGCUCAAGUUUGAUCAUCGAUAGCGGGUGCACAAACCACAUGACUGGGGAGAAAAUAAUGUUCUCCUCCUAUGAGAAAAAUCAUGAUCCCCAAAGAGCUAUCACAUUCGGGGAUGGAAAUCAAGGUUUGGUCAAAGGACUUGGUAAAAUUGCUAUAUCCCCUGACCAUUCUAUUUCCAAUGUUUUUCUUGUAGAUUCUUUAGAUUACAACUUGCUUUCUGUUUCUCAAUUAUGCAAAAUGGGUUACAACUGUCUUUUUACGGAUAUAGGUGUUACUGUCUUUAGAAGAAGUGAUGAUUCUGUAGCAUUUAAGGGAGUGUUAGAGGGUUAGCUAUACUUAGUUGAUUUUAAUAGAGCUGAACUCGACACUUGCUUAAUUGCUAAGACUAACAUGGGUUGGCUCUGGCAUCGCCGACUUGCCCACGUUUAAAUGAAGAAUCUCCACAAACUUCUAAAGGGAGAACACAUUUUGGGACUAACAAAUGUUCAUUUUGAGAAAGACAGGGUUUGUAGCGCAUGUCAAGCAGGGGAAGCAAGUUGGUGUUCAUCAUCCACACAAGAACAUAAUGACGACCGACAGACCGCUUGAGCUACUCCACAUGGACCUAUUCGGCCCGAUAGCUUAUAUAAGCAUCAACGGGAGUAAGUAUUGUCUUGUAAUUGUGGAUGAUUAUUCUCGCUUCACUUGGGUGUUAUUUUUGCAGGAAAAAUCUCAAACCCAAGAGACCUUAAAGGGAUUCUUGAGAUGGGCUCAAAAUGAGUUCGGCUUAAGGAUCAAAAAGAUAAGAAGCGACAACGGGACGGAGUUCAAGAACUCUCAAAUAGAAGGCUUCCUUGAGGAUGAGGGCAUCAAGCAUGAGUUCUCUUCUCCCUACACACCACAACAAAAUGGUGUAGUGGAGAGGAAGAAUAGAACUCUACUUGACAUGGCGAGGACCAUGCUUGAUGAGUACAAGACUUCGGACCGGUUUUGGGCGGAAGCAGUCAACACCGCUUGCUACGCCAUCAACCGUCUCUACCUUUGCCGAAUACUCAAGAAGACAUCGUAUGAACUACUCACCGGUAAAAAGCCCAAUGUUUCAUAUUUUAGAGUCUUUGGUAGCAAAUGCUUUAUUCUUGUUAAAAGAGGUAGAAAAUCUAAAUUUGCUCCUAAGGCUGUAGAAGGCUUUUUACUUGGUUAUGAUUCAAACACAAGGGCAUAUAGAGUCUUUAACAAGUCCUCUGGACUAGUUGAGGUUACUUGUGACAUUGUGUUUGAUGAGACUAACGGCUCUCAAGUAGAGCAAGUUGAUCUUGAUGAGCUAGAUGAUGAAGAGGCUCCAUGCGUCGCGCUAAGGAACAUGUCCAUUGGGGAUGUGUGUCCUAAGGAAUCCGAAGAGCCUCCACAAGCACAAGAUCAACCAUCUUCCUCCAUGCAAGCAUCUCCACCAACUCAAGAUGAGGAUCAAGCUCAAGAGGAUGAAAAUGAAGAUCAAGAAGAUGAGCCACCUCAAGAGGAGGGCAAUGAUCAAGGGGGAGAUGCCAAUGAUCAAGACAAGGAAGAUGACGACAGUCCAAGACCACCACACCCAAGAGUCCACCAAGCAAUACAAAGAGAUCACCCCGUGAACUCCAUCCUCGGCGAUAUUCAUAAGGGGGUAACCACUCGAUCUCGUGUUGCUCAUUUUUGUGAACAUUACACCUUUGUAUCUUCUAUUGAGCCAUAUAGGGUGGAAGACACAUUAAGGGAUUCAGAUUGGGUGUUGGCGAUGCAAGAGGAACUCAACAACUUCACGAGGAAUGAGGUAUGACAUUUAGUUCCACGCCCUAAUCAAAAUGUUGUAGGAACCAAGUGGGUCUUCCGCAACAAGCAAGAUGAGCAUGGUGUGGUGACAAGGAACAAAGCCCGACUUGUGGCCAAGGGAUAAUCACAAGUCGAAGGUUUGGAUUUCGGUGAAACCUAUGCACCCGUAGCUAGGCUUGAGUCAAUUUGUAUAUUACUUGCCUAUGCUACUUACCAUGGCUUCAAGCUUUAUCAAAUGGACGUGAAAAGUGCCUUCCUCAAUGGACCAAUCAAGGAAGAAGUCUAUGUUGAGCAACCUCCCGACUUUGAAGAUAGUGAGUACCCUAACCAUGUGUAUAAACUCUCUAAGGCGCUUUAUGGGCUCAAGCAAGCCCCAAGAUCAUGGUAUGAAUGCCUAAGAGAUUUUCUUAUCGCUAAUGGCUUCAAAGUCGGAAAAGCCGAUCCUACUCUCUUUACUAAAACAAUUGCAAAUGAUUUGUUUGUAUGCCAAAUUUAUGUUGAUGAUAUUAUAUUUGGGUCUACUAACAAAUCUACAUUUGAAGAGUUUAGUAGAUAAUGGUACAAAAAUUCGAGAUGUCUAUGAUGGGGGAGUUGAAGUAUUUCUUAGGAUUUCAAGUGAAGCAACUCCAAGAGGGCAUCUUCAUCAGUCAAACGAAGUACAUUCAAGACAUACUCACCAAGUUUGGGAUGAAGGAUGCCAAGCCUAUCAAGACACCCAUGGGAACCAAUGGGCAUCUUGACCUCGACACGAGAGGUAAAUCCAUAGAUCAAAAGGUAUACCGGUCGAUGAUAGGAUCUUUACUCUAUUUAUGUGCAUCUCGACCGGAUAUUAUGCUUUUCAUAUGCAUGUGUGCAAGAUUCCAAGCCGAUCCUAAGGAAGUUCACCUUAGGGUCGUGAAAUGAAUCUUGAGAUAUUUAGUUCAUACUCCUAAGUUUGGCCUUUGGUACCCCAGGGGAUCCACAUUUGAUUUAAUAGGAUAUUUAGAUGCUGAUUGGGCAGGGUGUAAAAUUGAUAGAAAGAGCACAUCAGGGACUUGUUAGUUCUUGGGAAGAUCCCUGGUGUCAUAGGCUUCAAAGAAGCAAAAUUUUGUAUCUCUUUCUACCACCGAAGCCGAGUACAUUACCGCAGGCCAUUGUUGCGCGCAAUUGCUUUGGAUGAGGCAAACCCUUAGGGACUAUGGUUACAAAUUAACCAAAGUUCCGCUCCUAUGUGAUAAUGAGAGUGCAAUCCACAUGGUGGAUAAUCCCGUUGAGCACAACCGCACUAAGCACAUAGCCAUUCGGUAUCACUUUUUGAGGGAUCACCAACAAAAGGGGGAUAUCGAGAUUGUUUAUAUUAACACCAAAGAACAAUUAGCCGAUAUCUUUACCAAUGUUGGGGACUUGUUCUCAAAUGCUAUGAGUUAAGAACAAGGCAACACAAGAAAUGUUAAACGUUAAUGCCCUUCGUCCUUCGAGACAUUAUUUCCCUUAGGAUAUAAUGAUCUUCAGACGAAGGUCAUGAAGGACAUACCUUCAUCAUUGCAAUAUACGAUAAUAAAAGGAGAAUCAUAUAGAAUGUAAGAGACAACAUGAAUAAGUAUGUAAUAUUAUCAGCACAUUUCUAUUUUAUUAUCAUGGACAAAUAGAAAUGAUAUCAAAUUACAAAUGUACCUUCAGCUUGAUGGAAGGUAAAAGUACAAGUGUGACGCACGAUCAAAUACAAGUCAGCGUGAACAGUACGGGAGCACUGUUCAUCUAUUUAUAGGCACGGGACACAGCCCAUGUAAAAUUACACCCAUGCCUUUUACAUUUGCUAAUGACUCUAUAGUGAUCCAUCGAGGUCUAAAUGACCUUUUCCCUUUUAAGUCGGUUCCCUUUUCCGCUGUUAUGCCAAAGCUCCCUUGCGCGUAGCUUCGGCGCUACGUCAACCUUCGUAUUCUUUGUGCUUCUCACACUGUGGUUCUGAUCCGAGUCCGAAGGUACCUGUUCAUGUAUCAUACUCCAGAAAUAAUGUUAAAUCAUGUUUUUGAAGACCUUCGGAAGACGAAGGCCCCCAACAGUAGCCCCUCGCAAUAUUAAUUUGUUAGAAUAACGAAUUCAAAUUGCGAUAUGGACGAAGGCCUUAAGCCAAAAUUCUGAAAAAACACCUUCCCUUUGCUAGAAUAGCAACAGUCGAUGACAGACGGGGCCCUCCAAUUUGGAACGCACUGGGCGUAUAAAUAGGAACUCACCCCGAGCACAUUUGGUACGCUAUCUGCCGCCUGCUUUGCUUGCUCAAUUUUUUAGCUCUUGCCUACCAACGCUUGCUUGGUUUUUUAGACUUUCUAAGCUUCGGCUUUAAGGACACAUUUUCGCCAUUUCCGAAGAGAAGAUGUCUCAAGACAAAAAAGUUGUUGCUGAGACGAAGCUGAGCGAAGAGGAGAAGCUCCAUGAGGAGAAGACUGCUGGAUUUGUUGAAUCAAUAGCAAAGAAAAAUACAGAAAAGAUUACUAAGGAGAUUCUAGAAGGCUUAUCUGAAGAUACUGAUGACAGCGACAGUUAUGAUGCGGAAAGCGGAGGCGAAGACUCCGAAGAUCGGCCCUGGCGACCAAGCAUGCAGUCUUCGGGAAAUCAACCAUCAAACAGAGUCAUCUUGAUAAUAUGAGAGGAAGGUAUUUUCGAUAUUAUUUUUUUGUUCUUAUAUUAACCCAUUCAUUCUUUUCAUAUAGGGUUUAAUACUUAGCAACGCCUUAAGGGCGCAAAAGAAUGUCGAAGACGAGAGUUGCACUAUUGCUCUCAACAACCUUCAAACAGAGGUUAUCAAGCUGAGGAACGAAGCUUUGGAAAAAGAAAAAAUUCUACUUACAUUGGUGGACAAAGUAAAGGGGGAUGAAGCUAACUUCAAGGCUCAAUCUGAAAUCCAAAGGAAUGAGAUUGAAAACCUUCAAAAACAACUGGCCGAAGCCAAAUUGAAAUGCGCUAUUGCCGAAGCUGACCGAGUUGCCAGUGAGUACUAGAAAAAUUAUCUUGAAAAACAGUUGCAGAGCUUCGCUCAUCAAAAGAAAGAUGUUUUGAAAAAUCUGUGGAAUGCGUGAAAAAGAUAAAAACUAGCUUUGCCAACGUUGGCGCAUAUUCAAGCGAAGAUAACUUCAUACGGGGCGACCCCGAAGGCGUAAUCGAGUGGAUCAGCGGUGAGGCCGAAGCCUUUGAAGAGAUUUUGAGUGACCGCGGGGACGUCUGUGCCUUCUCUGGUGCGAGAGGAAUUGCAGCUAUUUUGGAGAAAGCAGGGUGCGAACAUGUUAAAACUUUGGCCCAGGCCGAAGCUGCCUUCUCCACCGAUGAUAUAAAGGACCCCUCGGCCGAAGCAAACUCAAUAGGUGGAAAAAAUUUCACUGAUAUCUGGGAAAACGGUGGCCGAGGGAUGGCCCAUGAAAUUAUAAAGAAAAACGAAAAAGAUAUUCACGACACUCGAGAGUCAAUAAAAGAAGCUGAAAAGGCUGCGGAGCUUGAGAGACGAAUAUGUAUUACUUAAUGGUUUUUAACUUUGUUGUUUAUUUUUGUGACUUUGAACUGAUUUAUGUUUUCUACCUUAGCUGAACUAUCUCCUCCCCCAGCGCCCUUAGAGUCAUUGGCCGACCCAGAGGCAAAGGAAUCAACAGAACUUAUUAACAUGGCCGAAACUAUUGUAGACGAAGUCGUUACCCAACUGCUGACCGAAUUUGCACAUAAAGUUUUGAAGGAAGAAGAGUAGCUAUUGUAAAAACAUUGCUAGAAUAUUAAUGUAACAUUUGCCGGACUAUGCUUGUAAUAUUUGGUGCUCCUAGGUUUUGAAUGUAAUAUAUGAAUGGUUUUGUAAUUCAUUUCUUUGCGAUGCAUGAAACUUUUAUGUACAUACCGUUUUUGAGCCUUCGGCGAAAAAACACCUUCCCUUCUUUUCAUGUUCGUAAAGAAGAGCUUUUAUGCUUCGUAAAAAAUCCUCCAAUCGUCGCAAAAACAUUAAUGCUUCGUCAACAACAGAUUUUUCCUCCACAUCAGAGCUGAUGAAGCUGUAUUUCUUCAAAACUUAUUUUGUGCCUUAGCACAAUUUCACUUUUUUCGAAGCAUUCUUCGAAGGUCAACAUUGUAUCCCCUUCUUGUGCCAUUGAUGCAAUAUGAUGUAUGAUGUUAUGUUAUGUGAAAUGAUGUGAUGAUGUUAUGUUAUGCAAAAUGAUGUUUAUGCCGAAGACACACACUCACACCCCCAUAGUGGAAUACACAAUCUCUUUGCCGCUUAUUUUUCGGCUUCACCGCUUAUUUUUCGGUGUAUCAGCGCUGACUUUUCACUGUAAGUUCUGCAUUCCCUUAGGAACGUCUUUUGAACUUCUUCACCUUCUAUUUCGGCGGUAUUCGCGUUGACUUUUCGCGCUUCGCCUUAUAUUUCGGCGGUAUUUGGCUCUGCAUUCCCUUUGGAAUGACUUUUGAGCAGAAAACUUACACUGCGCUCCCUUAGGAACGACUUUUUGUAGCUUCGGCAAACUUACGCUGCGUUCCUUAGAACGACUUUUUUGUGGCUUCGGUGAUACUUGUAAUGUGAUUUUUAGCCCCGCGUUCCCUUAGGAACGACUUUUGUGCUUCAGUGACUUUUUGAACUUCGUGAGUCUGUGGAGAAGAUAUAUUUCACUAUGGCAAGAACGAAGUUAUUACAAGAAAUCAAGAGAGCUAGGUUUUCAAUAAUUGUUCCUUAUUAAAAAGGAAGUGAUAAUGAAUGUAAAAACUGCUUCAGGGGUAGGAUAUCUCUCAAUAGAUAUGCUUCGAUUCUAGCACAGUACUGUUGGCUGUGCGAGCUUCGGACUCCUCCCUGAAAUCUCGUUGCUGAUGGGUCUGUUGGCUCCCUUCUGGCUGCUGGCCUCGUGAAUAUGCAGGUUGUAGUGGUGGCAGAGGUGGAGGCUGUGGCCAAGAUGCAUGUGGCUGGCUAGCCGAAGCAACAGAAGCUGCAGGAUGGUUACCCACAUACUCUGGUAUGUAGGGUGAGUGAUACGAAGCAGUGUGCAUGACCUGCUUCGGCUGGUUCUGCUGAGCUGCGGCUUCUGCUAAUUCCUUUUGUUUCUGAAUGGUGACAUGGCACAUCCUUGUAGUAUGGCCCUUGUCCUCACCACAGAAUAAGCAAUUUUCCUAGGUUGAUCCCCAAACCUUCCUCCGAAGCCCCUGGCACCUCUGCCUCUUGGAGUUGGCGGCCGAAAAUAGGUUUGUUGCUGCCCCGAAACUUGCGAGGAAUAUUGUGGCUUCUGUUGCUGACUUCCUCUGUCGUCAUUCUGGGUGGAGUGGAUUGAUCUGACAUGCCUUGGGUGGAUUCUUCCUCCGAAGCCCCUGGUCAUCUCAGAGAACCUGUAGGCUUCCUCCCUUCUUUGGCGAAAGUCAUUGUCAGCCCGGAUGUAUUCAUCCAUCUUUUGAAGCAGCUUCUCCAAAGUCUGUGGAGGCUUUCUAGCAAAAUACUGGGCAGUAGGUCCUGGAUGAAGCCCCUUGAUCAUGGCCUCAAUGACAAUUUCAUUGGGCACAGUAGGCACUUGUGCUCUCAGACGCAAGAACCUUCAGACGUAUGCCUGGAGAUACUCCUCAUGAUCUUGCGUGCAUUGAAACAGAGCCUGAGCUGUGACUGGCUUCGUCUGAAAGCCCUGGAAACUUGUCACCAGCAUGUCCUUGAGCUUCUGCCAUGAAGUGAUGGUCCCUGGCCGAAGAGAAGAAUACCACGUUUGAGCCACAUUCUUAACUGCCAUGACGAAGGACUUGGCCAUGACAGCUGCAUUGCCUCCGUAUGAAGAUAUAGUUGCUUCAUAACUCAUCAAAAACUGCUUCGGGUCUGAAUGCCCAUCAUACAUUGGAAGCUGAGGUGGCUUGUAUGAUGGGGGCCACGGGAUAGCCUGCAGUUCUGCUGCCAAGGGAGAAGCAUCAUCAAAAGUAAAGGUAUCAUGAUUAAAAUCAUCAUACCAUCCAUCGUCGUUGAACAAGCCCUCUUGAUGAAGCUCCCUGUGUUGGGGCCUUCGAUCUUGCUCGUCUUGAGCAAGGUGGCGUACUUCUUCAGUGGCUUCGUCAAUCUGCCUUUGAAGGUCAGCUUGUCGGGCCAUCUUCUCCUUCUUCUUUUGCACUUGCUGAUGAAGCAUCUCCAUGUUUCUGAUUUCUUGGUCCAACUCGUCCACCUGGGGUGUUGGACUAGUGGCCUUCCUCUUCUGGCUUCGGGCCUCUCGAAGAGAAAGGGUCUCCUGAUUUGGGUCCAGUGGCUGCAGAGCGGCAGCCCCUAGCGCUGAAACUUUCUUCGGUGGCAUGACGAAGGUCAAUGCUUGCCGAAGGUGGUCGAAAAGAGUUCACCCCACGGUGGGCGCCAAUGUUGGGGACUUGUUCUCAAAUGCUAUGAGUUAGGAACAAGGCAACAUAAGAAAUGUUAAACGUUAAUGCCCUUCGUCCUUCGAGACAUUAUUUCCCUUAGGAUAUAAUGAUCUUCAGACGAAGGUCAUGAAGGACAUACCUUCAUCAUUGCAAUAUACGAUAAUAAAAGGAGAAUCAUAUAGAAUGUAAGAGACAACAUGAAUAAGUAUGUAAUAUUAUCAGCACAUUUCUAUUUUAUUAUCAUGGACAAAUAGAAAUGAUAUCAAAUUACAAAUGUACCUUCAGCUUGAUGGAAGGUAAAAGUACAAGUGUGACACACGAUCAAAUACAAGUCAGCGUGAACAGUACGGGAGCACUGUUCAUCUAUUUAUAGGCACGGGACACAGCCCAUGUAAAAUUACACCCAUGCCCUUUACAUUUGCUAAUGACUCUAUAGUGAUCCAUCGAGGUCUAAAUGGCCUUUUCCCUUUUAAGUCAGUUCCCUUUUCCGCUGUUAUGCCGAAGCUCCCUUGUGCGUAGCUUCAGCGCUACGUCAACCUUCGUAUUCUUUGUGCUUCUCACACUGUGGUUCUGAUCCGAGUCCGAAGGUACCUGUUCAUGUAUCAUACUCCAGAAACAUUGUUAAAUCAUGUUUUUGAGGACCUUCGGAAGACGAAGGCCCCCGACAACCAAGCCACUAGAUGAGAAAACUUUUACCAAUCUUAGGCAUGAGCUAAACAUUCUAGAUUCUAGGAAUUUUGAUUGAUAUUUUGCACACAUAGCUUAUUUCAAUACCUUUGAUCAUAUCUCUUUCAUGUGCUAUGACUAAUGUGGUUUUCAAGUAUAUUUCAUGCUAAGUCAUAGAUUGAAAGGAAAAUGGAGUCUUCGGCGAAGAAAAGGCUUCCACUCCAUCGAAUUAUUCAUCCUUCGCCGACACUCCACAUCGCUCUCCAAUUUGGUAUAAUCUUCACUCCUACAUUAUUUACCAAAGGGGGAGAAAGUUUGAAAAAGGGCUUAUAUUUUCACUCACAAGUAUCCGUUUUUGGCGAUUCAUGCCAAAGGGGGAGAAAGUAUUAGCCCAAAGCAAAAGGACCGCACCACCACCAAUUUCAAAAAUGAAGUCUUUUAAAUUUGUACUAAAAGAAGGUUUUUCAAUUGGUAUCUUAUUUUUGAUAGAAUUUUCAAAUUGGUAUAACCCAUUUCAAAAUUAAUAUCUAAAACUCUCUUGAACAAUAAGAGGAGAAUUUCAUUAAGGGGGAGUUUUGUUUAGUCAAAGGAAAAGCAUUUGAAACAGGGGGAGAAAAUUUCAAAUCUUAAAAAUGCUUCUCAAAAUCUUACUCAUUUACCUUUGACUACUUGCAAAAAGACUUUGAAAAGAAUUUCCAAAAGAGUUUGCAAAAACAAAACAAGUGCUGCAAGCGUGGUCCAAAAUGUUAAAAUAGAAGAAAGCAUCCAUGCAUAUCUUAUAAAAUGUAUAUUGGUUUAAUUCCAAGUAACCUUUGCACUUUCAUUAUGCAAACUAGUUCAAUUCUGCAAUUAUAUAUUUGCUUUGGUUUGUGUUGGCAUCAAUCAUCAAAAAGGGGGAGAUUGAAAGGGAAAUAGGCUUACACCUUUUCCUAAAUGGUUUUGGUGGUUGAAUUGCCCAACGCAAAUAAUUGGACUAACUAGUUUGCUCUAGAUUAUAAGUUCUACAUGUGCCAGAGGUUCAACACAAACCAAUAAAAAGUCCAAGAAAGGGUUCAAAUAAAAAGAGCAAAAGACAACCGAAUGCUGCCCUGGUCUGGCGCACCGGACAGUGUCCGGUGCACCAGGGAGAUUCACUCCAAACUUGCCACCUUUGGGAAUUUGGGAAGCCACUCCGCUAUAAUUCACCGGACUGUCCGGUGUAGCACCGGACUGUCCAGUGUGCCAAGCGGAGCAACGGUCGUUAGCGCAACGGUCGAGUUGAACGGUCGGCUCACAACGCUACAGUGCGCGUACUGCGCGCGCAGAAGUUAGAGCAGGUGCAGAUGGCGCAUCGGACAGUGAACAGGACCUGUCCGGUGCACCACCGGACUAUCCGGUGGCCCACAUGUCAGAAGCUCCAACGGUCGAACCCUAACGGUUGGGUGACGUGGCUGGCGCACCGGACAGUGGCCGGUGGCGCACCGGACUGUCCGGUGCGCCCAUCGACAGUAGAGUUCCCCAACGGCCACUUUGGUGGUUGGGGCUAUAAAUACCCCCCAACCACCACACUUCAAUGCAUCCAAGUUUUCAGCCAUCAAACCUCAUACAAGAGCUCUAUACUUCAUUCCAAGACACAAACAAAGAGAUCAAAUCCUCUCCCAAGUCCGGAAUCACUUCAAACAAAUUAGUGACUAGAGAGAGAGACUUUUGUGUUCUUUUGAGCUCUUGCGCUUGGAUCGCUUUUCUUCUUCCUCCUUUCUUGUUCUCAACUCAAUUGUAAUCAAAGCAAGAGACACCAAGUUGUGGUGGUCCUUGUAGUGGACUAAGUGUCCUGUUUGAUUGAAGAGAAAAGCUCACUCAGUCUAGGUGACCGUUUGAGAGAGGGAAAGGGUUGAAAGAGACCCGGUCUUUGUGACCACCUCAACGGGGAGUAGGUUUGCAAGAACCGAACCUCGGUAAAACAAAUCAUCGUGUUCAUUCGUUUUAUUUCUUUGUUGAUUUGUUUUCCCUCUCUUUCGGACUCGAUUAUAUUUUUAACGCUAACCCCGACUUGUUGUUGUGCUUAAACUUUAUAAAUUUCAGAUUUGCCUAUUCACCCCCCCUUUAGGUGACUUUUAGUCUCAACACCUCCUCUCUCGUACGAUGCGCUUUACCAUGGAAGAUCCACCGAGUAUAGUCUGGCGUAAAUCUGAUCUUCCAAAUAUGUUCUACCAUGGCCUUCUUUGAUUUUCUUUUCCGGUUGGCACAUUUGCUGCACGGGCAUGGGACUAGACUCGCUCCUUUAGCAGCUUUGCCAUAUGCCCGUUCCACAAAAGCAUCGGUCUUUCUAAUCCAUUCAGGGGUGACAUCAUUCCUACUUACACGGCAUGUGUACAUCCACUCACGGUCUUCCAUCCUCUAACAUAUGUAACCGAGUAUAGUUUAAUAUAAACAUGUAAUGCAUGUACGCUAUGUUCCUACCUUAUAAUAGGUGAGUAUAGUUCUUAAUCUCACUCGCGGUUGCGUAGACGAAGUUAGUUUCCAUGCUCUACUUCGAUCCAAGACAGAGUUCCGGCAGCACCUCCCCGUUGUUCUCCGGAUACACGCCCUAGCAGGUAGAAUGUACUGUCCGGAGAUCAACAUGGAGGUGAAACCGAAACUCUGUCUCGGACCGGAGUAGAGCAUGGAAACUAAUACCAGGGCGACGGUGGAGUAGGGAUAGCGGGGCUGUGGCGGGUCGGUGCAGUGGCGACGUGUCGCAGUGCAGGUUCUAGUGUGGCGGCAAGGAAUACCUCUGCAAAAAAAAAUUAACACAAGUUUAUCAACAAAAAAAUCGGCAGGACUUCCCCUGCACGAGGAGGUUGCAAAAAACCAGCAAAUAAAACUAACAGCACGAUGGCUGACAUCCACACAUAUACUAGCAAAAAAUAGACUUGCGUGUGUUAUUUACAAUUGUGUUAGUUACACACAAUCUAUUGAUGCCAUAUUUGUUGUGUACUAGCGAUUGGCAAGAAGAAUCAACUUUUAGGCACUAAAACAUCUAGUGGGUUCAAAUUAAAGAACUUCUUCUAUUAAUUACAGAACCACCCCAUCGGCCGACCAGGAUCCAAAUUAAAGAACUUCUUCUUCUAUUAAUUAUAGUAUAUUAUAAUUACCAAGUCUCUUCUUAUAUUUACAUGUUCAUUUGCUUGCUUCUUGCAUAACAUAACGGCGAUCGAUGAUGACCAUCGUUAGUUUUAGUCCUACGUGUAUUUGAUUCAAUCCCUCCAUGUUCAUAGUAUAAAUUCAACCAAACCUAAAUAAGUUUCAGUCAGCUUGAUCUUAAAAUUGCAUCAUACACACACAUACAUAGUCUUACUAGAAGUAAGCAAUUUCUUUUAAACUAAUUUCCAGCCAACAUUGAUGAAUGAACUAGAAUGUGGCUAUAACCGAGACCUGUGUGGGUGGUGCUGGAGAUGGGGACGUUGGGCCGAGGCUCACCGGCGUCGAGGCCUGUCCGAAGAUGGCCGACCGCCAGGCCGGGGACGGGGCUCGUUGGAGAUGGCCGGGUCGAGCGACGGUGGGGACGUCGGAGGCAGGGAGGAUGGCCGGCACGGUGUCCGGAGCCGGAGGGGAUGACCGGAGAGGAGGAUGGUCGGCGCUUGCUCCGAUGGCGUUGGCGGCGAGUGGCGUUGGCGGAGGGGACGACUGGUUAGGGCUAUGUACACAGACUUUGCCGAGUGCCAUAUCACGGGCACUCGGCAAAGAUUUUUUUUAAAUUUAAAAAUAAACUUUGCCGAGUGUCACAGAUCACUGACAGGCACUUGGCAAAGAUUGUUUUAAUUUUUUUAAAAAAACUUUACAGAGUGUCCCACGGCAGGCACUCGACAAAGAAUGCUUUACUGACUGCCUUAUUUUGACACUCGACAAAGAAUUCUUUGCCAAGUGCCCGAUAAAAAGCACUUGGCAAAGCACCGAGCACUCGGCAAAGAGCCGGAUUCCGGUGUGGUUGUUUCAUGGAAGUUGUAAGUAGACCAUCUUAACAAGGUCAACAAUAGAAGUACAACUCACAACAUUAGAUACUGCCAAAGUUAAUGUUGAGAGGCUUCGUGAACUCCUUAUGGAUUUACUAGUAGUUGAAAAACCAAUACUGGUUAUCUAUAUGAGCUAUAAUAAUUAAACAUUGGUAAUCAAAGUGAACAAUUCUUAGGUUAACAUGAAGACUACAAAGCAUGUCAAGAACGGUUGAAACUGUUAAAACACUAAGAAACUCUAGAUUAAUUGUGUUGGACUAUGUCCAUACUUCUAAGAAUUUGGUAUGCCAGUUUAUAGAAGAUUUGUCACAUAAUGUGAUAGAUGGUGCAUCGAGAAAGAUGGACUUGAGACCCACUUAAUGCCAUUCCAUAGUAGUAGCAUUUUCUAUGUGAUUGGAGAUCUCAUGAAGUAAAAUGGUGAAAUAAGCUAGAGAAUGACUGAUGGAGAGACUCCUUAAAUAAAAUCUAGGUAAUUUCAUAUGAACAUUUCUCCUUCGAUGUACGAUAGGCUAACUAAAAUCUUAAUAUGAUUUGAGUGACAUAUCUAAGCAGGGAUGUUAUCUUAUAGAACAUCCUAUAAGGAACACACCUAUAUGACUUUGACUACUAAUCACAGUCUAUGAUAUGUGGGAAAUAUUUUUUUACUCAUGAAAGGCCUCGAAGUUUGACUUAUAUGCUUCAAACCAAUGGAUAACUGAUUGAAUCUGUUUCAGACAGCAGCAUAGUUAACUUCAAAAUUCUAUAUCUCCCAAACUUCUCAACCAAAAAUUAUUAAAUUAUGCUGACAGUAAGAACUUUUAUCCCUCUACAAAAGUCUCCAUAGUUGGAAGAGCCAAUUCGGCCAUUUACUAGAUGAAACCUACCAGUUAACAGACCCGCUCAUUUUUGUCAGGCAAACAAGAACCCUUAUAUAUCAAAGAGUAGUGGAUUUGAAUUUGUCUAAUAUGAAGUUUAUGGGCUUGGAUCAUUUAAAGUAUUUUAUAAUUCUGAAAGACAAGAUUAAACUAACUAUGUAUGAUCCUUUAGCACCGUACAGAUGGUCGAUGGGACAGUUACAUGGUUUAUAUAGAUGGACCUAUCUAUAUUCCUUCAGUGGUUGAGAACAAGGUAAAGGUGUGUCACACUCACGCGUGCGCCGCCUCCGCCGAGACGAGGCAUGGCGUUGCAGGGUGAGGCAUGGCAUGGUGCAGCACGAUCGCAGUCAUGGUCGUGGCACAGUGUAGCACUGUUGUGGAUAGAUAGAUAAACUAUUGUUGUAGUUAGAGUGCAUGAGUUUUUGAAUGCAACACUAGAAUUUUCACAAUUUAACUUAAUUAAGAAGUUAUAUCUUGAUGACACAGAGUUACCUGACCAUUGAUCUCACAUGCCCUUUUAGCUCUCUCGUACUCUAGACUUACCCUGACUAUUUAGGUCUCCUGACUCGCCAAUAUAAACACCAUCCUAUCAUUUGCUGUCGAAUACUUCUGUGUCACAACUCAACUGUCAGAUGAGUACUCCAUUACAGCACUGAGCAGGCCUCCGAAAUGAAUAUCUACUCAGAUGAAGGACGACAAUCGUGUUCUAGGGAAAUAUCAGCGACACAACUCCUUACUUCCUCCGCUUCUUCCUAGUGUUUUUUGUUGUGAUUGAGUCGACAUAGCAACAACACUGCACUAUUACAACCAGUACGACUAUAUCAACUAGCAAUGUCUUCCUUAUAUGUUACUAUUUAUUUUGCUCAUAUUCAUUAUGUUUAAAUCACAUAGGCGCCUUUAUGUUGGCAUCAAAAAAUCAGUAUCAACUUUAUAGAUUAAAAUGAAACUAAAAGUACCUAAAUUUCUAUCGGUGGGGAUCGAGUGAUUCUUUAAACCGAUUAUUACACAAGUUAACCACACUAAAAUUAACAAUGGUGAAUCGUGCCAUGAUUUUUUUCUAGUGGAAAAUAGCCAAACCAAGCAACACAUAUGUGGCUAUCGUUACACAUGUGUAAAGGUAUUGCAUCACACCAUUGUCACCCAUGUAUGUGGACAAUACCGAGAGGAAAAACCACUUAUUUAUUGUAUUUUAUCAAGUUUGUCUUGCUUACGUAUAAAUUAUAACCCAACAAAGUAAUCACUAAAUGUCAAAACCAACUAGAUACCAUGUCAUCUCUACCUUAUCUUACUAAUAUUCUUUUUGCAAAAUCCAAAAUUAAUCUUGCACAAGCACAAGGACUGAGAUGUGUAUAAAUAUCUCUUAAAUUAGUAGCUAAUAUAUCGCACAUAUUAUUGAGACCAACUAGCAACAUAGAAAGCACAAUAGUGUACCAACAAUGGCAGCCAAAAUAUUUUGCCUCCUUAUGCUCCUUGGUCUUUCUGCAAGUGCUGCUACGGCGACCAUUUUCCCGCAAUGCUCGCAAGCUCCUAUAGCUUCCCUUCUUCCCCCGUACCUCUCACCAGCGGUGUCUUCGGUAUGUGAAAACCCAAUUCUUCAACCCUACAGGAUCCAACAGGCAAUCGCAGCUGGCAUCUUACCUUUAUCACCCUUGUUCCUCCAACAAUCAUCAGCCCUAUUACAACAGUUACCUUUGGUGCAUUUAUUGGCACAAAACAUCAGGGCACAACAACUACAACAACUUGUGCUAGCAAACCUUGCUGCCUACUCUCAGCAACAGCAGUUUCUUCCAUUCAACCAACUAGGUUCAUUGAACUCUGCUUCUUAUUUGCAACAACAACAACUACCAUUCAGCCAGCUACCUGCUGCCUACCCCCAGCAAUUUCUUCCAUUCAACCAACUAGCAGCAUUGAACUCUCCUGCUUAUUUACAGCAGCAACAACUACUACCAUUCAGCCAGCUAGCUGGUGUGAGCCCUGCUACCUUCUUGACACAACCACAGUUGUUGCCGUUCUACCAGCACGUUGCGCCUAACGCUGGCACCCUCUUACAACUGCAACAAUUGCUGCCAUUCAACCAACUUGCUUUGACAAACCCAGCAGUGUUCUACCAACAACCCAUCAUUGGUGGUGCCCUCUUUUAGAUUUCUUAUGAGUUAUAGUUCAAUAAUAAAGUUUUUUAUCUGAUGUUUGUGGCUUCCCAGAAAUAAGAAAGUACAUUUCUAGAUUCUUAUGUGCUUCUAGUCUUCAAAUGUGGUUGAUAGUUAUUGUUGGGGACUUGUUCUCAAAUGCUAAGAGUUAAGAACAAGGCAACAUAAAAAUGUUAAAUGCUAAAGUCCUUCGUCCUUCGAAGCAUUAUUUCCCUUAGGAUAUAAUGAAUUUCGGACGAAGGCUAUGAAGGACAUACCUUCAUAAGCACAACGAAUGAUGAAGAAGAAUUCAUAUAAAUUAUGAGAUAUAACAUAAACAUUUAAACAUUAUUAUUAACUCAUUUCUAUUGACUUGUCAGGGAAAAAUAGAAAUGAUAAUAAAUUACAAAUAUACCUUCGGCUUGAGAGAAGGUAAAGGUACAAGCGUGAGGCAAAAGCAAAUGCCAAGUCAGCGUGAACAGUACGGGAACACUGUUCAUCUAUUUAUAGGCACGGGACGCAGCCCAUGCAAAAUUACAUCCAGGCCCUUUGCUUUUGACAAUAACUCUAUAGUAAUCUAUCUGGGUCUAGAUAGUCUUUUCCUCUUUAAGUCGGUUUCCUCUUUUCUGCCAUCAUACCGAAGCUCCCUUGCGCACAGCUUCGGCUCUGCUCCAUCCUUCGUAUUGUUUCCGUGCUUCUUCAUACCGUGGGCUCUUGUUCGAAGAUCCCUAUCCACACAUUAUACUCCAGAGGCAUUGUUAAAUCAUGUUUUUGAGGACCUUCGGAAGUCGAAGGCCCCCAACAGUAGCCCCUCGCAAUAUUAAUUUAUUAGAAUGAUAAAUUUAGAUCGCGACAUGGACGAAGGCCUUAAGCCGAAGGUCCGAAAAAACACCUUCCCUUUGCUAGAAUAGCAACAAUCAAUGACAAGCGGGGCCCUUUCCCUUGCAACACACUAGGCGUAUAAAUAAGAGCAUACCGCGAGCGGAUUUGGCACGCUUUUUGCCAUCUGCUCUUGCUCACCCAACUUUUAGCCCUUGCACACCAACACCUGCUUGGCCUUUUUUUAAAAAAAUUUAAGCUUCGGUUUCGAGAGCACUUUCUCAGCAUUUUCGAAGAUGUCUGAAGAUAAGAAAGUUGUCGCUGAGUCGAAGCUGAGACUUUCUGAGGAGAUGAAUCUCGGCUUUCUUGAAUCAAUAGCGAAGACAAAUACAGAGAAGAUUACUAGGGAGAUUUUAGAAGGUUUAUCUGAAGACACUGGUGACAGUGACAGUUAUGAUGUGGAAAGUGGUGGUGAAGAUUCCGAAGAUCGACCCUGGUGACCAAGCCAUGCAGUUUUUGGAAAAUCAAGCAUUAAACUAAGCCAUCUUGUUAAUAUGAGGGGCAGAUAUUUUCGGGAUUUAUCUAUUGUGAGGGCUGAUGAAGGAGAAAAAACUUGUCCUACUCCUGAGGAAAAUGAAGUCGUGAUAUUCCGAAGCUUCUUCAAGGCUGGGCUUCGGUUUCCUUUAAGCGGUUUCGUGGUUGAAGUUUUGAAGAUUUUUGAAAUCUACCUCCAUCAAAUUACUCCUGAAGCAAUCAUAAGGAUGGGAAUCUUCGUAUGGGCUGUGAAGAGCCAAGGUUUGGAGCCGAAUGCAAAAAGUUUCUGCAAUAUGCAUGAGCUAUUAUACGAGACGAAACCUUGGGGUAAAGAGAAAUAUCAUAACAAUUUUGGCUGCUACAGCUUCGGCGCCCGCUCUGGGUCAAGCUGUCCCGUGCCAACUUUUUGGAAGAGAUGGCCCGGGGACUCGAUGAAGGAAUGGUGUUAUGUAAAAAACGACUUGAAAACGCGAGAAGGUAUUAAAGAUAUCAUCAUGCGCCCCAUCUGGCAGCGUUUCGGCCUUCGGAAACCGAAGGUGGAUAUUGACGAAGCAACCGAAGAAUGCCAGAGGGCCUUCGGCGUAGUUUGCUCUUUCAUCGGGACAAGGGAUUUGAUCCAGGAACAUAUUUCCUUCAGAGUAUGGCCACUUGUAGAAAAGUGGGAAAUGCCGAAGGAAACCAUCAGCAAACCUGAUGAAGUGGACUAGUUAGGUUAAAAUAUACCUUCAGAUAUGGAGAUAAGUUUGUGGAGCCAGAUGAUGACUGGCUGAAAUGUAUUGAGGCCACAAGCGAUGAACUGCUUGGGCCAUAUUCGAAGACAGAAGAUACUGCACUGUCCGCGGCCUUCGGAGGUCGGAAGAAGAGACUCAACCGAGUGUUUGAUGCCAUUGGGUUCGUCUAUCCUGACUACCGUUACCCAACACAGGGUCAGAAAGGGAAAGAUACGACUUCUGUGAAGAAAGUUGCUUCAGCCGCUCCUAGUGAGCCGGCGCCGAAGAGGAAAAAGAUGAAGGUUCUUACGCACCGGCCACGCUAUAUUGAACCGGCCACAGUGCCUGAGUUUGUCGGUGAGACCUCUUCGGCCACCGAAGCCAAGGAGCCGACUCUCCUGCCGAAUAUUGAAGAGCCGGCCAAAAUGCCGGCAAUGGAAAAAAUAGAAGAACCGAGGGCUGAAGAGACAAAGACAUCGGAAAAGAAUGGUUAACGUGCUAAUGCCGAAUAUUGAAGUCCUUCAGCAAGAAUCGAGGUGCUAAUGCCAAUGCCGAUGGCACAAAAAGACCUUACGACAACCCCCAAGAGGAAAAGAAUGGUUAACGUGCUAGAUGUACUGGAAACGAUAAAAUCUUCAAGCUCUACUCCGAAGAUAGCUACUGAAGUUCCAAAGACACAAACUGAGGCCAAAGCUGCCAAAAGUCAAGCGGAAACUGAAACUGGGCUUUCAGAGCCUACCAAGAGGGAAUUCUUGGAAAUUGAAAAAGAAACGGAAAAAGAAUCUGCAGAAGAAACUUUUUCUGAGAAAAUCGUCACACAUAUUCCCGAAGCAUCUUCUGAAGCUUCUGACUAUGUAUUACGUCAUGCUUCGGGUAAAAAUCUGAGCGAAAAAGAAAAAAGAGAAGCUCAAUUCUAUGCGCAAAAAUUGAAAUAUCCAAAAGGGGCGCUGAUAUUCAACGGCAGCGGAGAAGAAGACUUCUUGUAUUGUCUCCCUCAUAGCAAGGAGAUUUCUGUCUGUCGGGAGAUGAGCAAAAGCUUCGGAUUCCCAACAUUAGAAGACGGGCUCUUGGUGUUGUCAAAGGACGAGCUAGCCGACAGCUUAGCGUAUAAUAGUUUAAAGGUGAAGAAAAUGAGAUCUUUGUAUUAUUUCUUGAAACCAAAAUUUUUCAUUUGCUUAAACUUAUUAACGCAUUUUUUUACAGGGUCUUAUACUUAGCAAUGCCCUCAGGGCACAAAAGAAUGACGAAGACGAAGGGUGCGCCAUAGCCCUGAGCAACCUUCGUUCCGAAGUAAUUGAUCUAAGGAACGAAGGUCUCGAAAAAGAUAAAAUAUUACAUUCGUUGGUGAAUAAAAUAAAAGAAGAUGAAGCUACUUUCAAAGCUCAAGCUGAGGCUCAGAAGCACGAAAUUGAGAAUCUUCGGAAACAACUAGCCAGAGCUACAGAAGAAUACACAAUUGAAGAAACAAAACGAGAAAUUAGUGAACAAUGGGCAAAUCAUUUAGAAAAAAACGUUGAAGAGCUUCGUGCGUCCAAGAAAAGGUGUUAUGAAAAAUCUAUAGAAUGUGUUAAGAAAAUAAGAACCAGCUUCACCAACGUUGGCGCGUUUUCAAGUGAAGAAAAUUUCAUGAGGGGUGACCCCGAAAGCCCAAUUGGAUGGAUCAGCCACGAAGCUGAAGCUUUUGAAUAGCCGUGGAGACAUAUGUGCCUUCUCGGGUGCCAGGGGGAUUGCCGCUGUUUUGGAGAAGAAAGGUUGCGAUCACGUGAAAUCCCUGGCACAGACCGAAGCCGUUUUAUCCUCUGAAGACAUAAAAGACCCUUCGGCCGAGGCGAGUUUGGUUGGUGGGAAAUUUUUCACCGACAUCUGGGAAAACGGUGGCCGGGAGAUGGCUCAAGAAAUUAUACGGAGAAGCGAGAAUGGUAUACAUGACGCUAGAAAAGUAGCAGAGGCCGCUGAGAAAAGUGUGGAUCUCGAAGGGCGAAUAGGUAUUAACUAGUAAUUUUUGGCUUUUUGUUGUAACCUUUUGAUUUUGAACUUGUUUACACUUUGUAACAUGGUCGCACCUUCUCCUCCCUCAGAGCCUGCCGAGCCAUCGACAGACCCCCACGUAAAGGGGGAUGACGAGAUUAGAAGAAUGGCUGAAGCUAUCAUGGACAAAGUUGUUGAUCAAUUACUAAACGAAGCUGCAGAAAUAGUUCUAAGGGAAGAUUAGAUGUUAUUGUAAAAACAUUUGGAAUGUAAUAUUUGUUGAACAAUAUGUGUAAUAUUUUGUAACUUUGAAUGUAAUAUAUAAUCUAUUUGUGGUUCAAUUCUUUACGAUGCAUGAAACUUUACAUACAUACCGUUUUUGAGCCUUCGGCGAAAAAACACCUUCCCUUCUUUUCAUGCUUCGUAAAUAAUAUCCGUAUAUCAUAAAAACAUCCAAUUUUCGUAAAAUCAGUAACCAAUAGAUCUUUUUAUUUCAUAAAAACAUCCAAUCUUCGUAAAAUCAGUAACCAAUCUUCGUAAAGGCAUGCUUCUUCAAUAAUUAUUUUUGUGCCUUGGCACUGUUUCUUCGAAACAAUCUCCGAAUAUCAACAUUGAAACCCCCUUCUUGCGUCAUUGAUGCAAUAUGAUGUAUGAUGUUAUGCUAUGCAAAUGAUGUGAUGAUGUGAUGUUAUGCAAAAUGAUAUUUGCCGAAGAUCAACGUUUAUUUUUCACUGCAAGCCUCCCUUAGGAGCUUCUUCGCCUUUUACUUCAGCGGAAUCAGCAUUUAUUUUUCGCUGUAAGCCUCCCUUAGGAGCUUCUUCGCCUUUUACUUUCAGCGGAAUCAGCGUUUAUUUUUUGCUGUAAGCCUCCCUUAGGAGCUUCUUCGCCUUUUACUUUCAGCGGAAUCAGCGUUUAUUUUUCGCUGUAAGCUCUGCAUUCCCUUCGGAACGACUUUUGAGCAGAAAACUUACGCUGCGCUCCCUUAGGAACGACUUUUUGUUAUUUCGGAGAUUCUCCUUGUAACCAUAAAUUCUUAUGCUUCGGCAACUCUGUUAUUUUGUGGAGAAGGUAUAUUUUUACUGUGGCGAAAACGAAGCUAUUACAAGAAAUUGAAAACGACAAAAAGCACUUAGGCUUUCAAUAAUUGUUCCUUAUUAAAAAGAAAAUGAUACUGAAUGUAAAAACUACUGCCGAGGUAGGAUAUUUGUUAGUAAAUAUGCUUCGAUUCUGGCACAGUACUAUUGACUGUGCGAGCUUCGGACUCUUCUCUAAAGUCCCGUUGAAGGUGGAUAUGCUGACUCCCUUCUGGCUGCUGGCUUUGUUGCAUUGGUGGUGGAGGUGGAGGCUGCUGCCAAGAUGCCUGAGGUUGGCUUGCCGAAGCAACAGAAGCUGCAGGGUGGUUGCCUACAUACUCUGGAAUGUAAGGCGAAUGGUAUGAAGCAGUGUGCAUAACUUGCUUCGGCUGGCUCUGUUGGGCUGCAGCUUCUGCUAUCUCCUUUUGUUUCUGGAUGGUAACAUGGCACAUCCUGGUGGUAUGGCCCUUGUCCUCUCCACAGAAUAGGCAAUAGAUCUUCCUGGGCUGAUCCCCAAAUCUUCCUCCGAAGCCCCUGGCACCUCUACCCCUUGGAGCUGGAGGCCGAGGAUAGCUCUGCUGCUGCCCCGAAGCCUGGGAGGAAUAUUGCGGCCUCUGCUGCUGGCUUCCCCUGUCAUCAUUCUGAGUGUUAUGAAUCGAUCUGACAUGUCUAGGGUGAACUCUCCCUCCGAAGCCACUGGCUAUUUUGGAGAACCUGUAAGCUUCCUCCCUUCUCUAUCGGAAGUCGUUGUCAGCGCGGAUGUAUUCGUCCAUCUUCUGAAGCAGUUUCUCCAGAGUCUGAGGGGGCUUCCUGGCAAAGUACUGGGCUGAAGGUCCUGGCCGAAGCCCCUUAAUCAUGGCCUCAAUGACAAUUUCAUUGGGCACUGUUGGUGCUUGUGCCCUCAGGCGUAAGAACCUUCGGACAUACGCCUGAAGAUAUUCUCCGUGGUCUUGGGUGCACUGGAAUAAGUCUUGAGCGGUGACCGGCUUCGUUUGAAACCCUUAGAAACUGGUGAUCAGCAUAUCCUUCAGCUUCUGCCAUGAUGUGAUUGUUCCUGGCCGAAGGGAGGAGUACCAGGUUUGUGCAACAUUCUUGACGGCCAUGACGAAAGACUUCGCCAUGACUGCAAUAUUGCCACCAUAGGAAGAUAUCGUUGCUUCGUAGCUCAUCAGAAACUGCUUCAGAUCUGAGUGUCCGUUGUACAUGGGGAGUUGAGGUGGCUUGUAAGACGGAGGCCAAGGUGUAGCCUGCAGUUCUGGUGAUAGAGGAGAAGCAUCGUCAAAAGCAAAAUUUCCAUGAUGGAAAUCCUCAUACCAGUCAUCCUCGUUGACGAAGCCCUCUUGGUGGAGCUCUCUGUACUGGGGCCUCCGGUUCUAUUCAUCUUGCGUAAGAUGACGAACCUCUUUAGAGGCUUUGUCUAUCUGCCUUUGUAGGUCAGCUAGCCGGGCCAUCUUUUCUUUCUUCUUUUGCACUUGUUGAUGCAGCAUUUCCAUGUUCCUGAUUUCUUGGUCCAAAUCGUCCUCCUGAGGCGUUGGACUGGUGGCCUUCCUCUUCUGGCUUCGGGCUUCCCGAAGAGAGAGAGUCUCCUGGUUCGUGUCCAGCGGCUGCAGAGCCGCAGCCCCUGUUGCUGAAGCUUUCUUUGGCGGCAUGACAAAGGUCGAUGCUUGCCGAAGGUGUUCGAAACUCAAAAAGUGGAAGUGAGUUCACCGGAGGUGGGCACUAAUGUUGGGGACUUGUUCUCAAAUGCUAAGAGUUAAGAACAAGGAAACAUAAAAAUGUUAAAUGCUAAAGUCCUUAGUCCUUCGAAGCAUUAUUUCCCUUAGGAUAUAAUGAAUUUCGGACGAAGGUUAUGAAGGACAUACCUUCAUAAGCACAACGAAUGAUGAAGAAGAAUUCAUAUAAAUUAUGAGAUAUAACAUAAACAUUUAAACAUUAUUAUUAACUCAUUUCUAUUGACUUGUCAGGGAAAAAUAGAAAUGAUAAUAAAUUACAAAUAUACCUUCGGCUUGAGAGAAGGUAAAGGUACAAGCGUGAGGCAAAAGCAAAUGCCAAGUCAGCGUGAAUAGUACGGGAACACUGUUCAUCUAUUUAUAGGCACGGGACGCAGCCCAUGCAAAAUUACAUCCAGGCCCUUUGCUUUUGACAAUAACUCUAUAGUAAUCUAUCUGGGUCUAGAUAGUCUUUUCCUCUUUAAGUCGGUUUCCUCUUUUCUGCCAUCAUGCCGAAGCUCCCUUGCGCACAACUUCUGCUCUGCUCCAUCCUUCGUAUUGUUUCCGUGCUUCUUCAUACCAUGGGCUCUUGUUCGAAGAUCCCUGUCCACACAUUAUACUCCAGAGGCAUUGCUAAAUCAUGUUUUUGAGGACCUUCGGAAGCCGAAGGCCCCCAACAGUUAUUUUGCUCUAAGAUCGGCAGUAAUGAAGUAUAAAUCAUCGUUGUGGUGUGCUACUCGGUUAAUUGAGCAUUAACACACACAAACAUGACGAGGAUGGUAUAAUCUCCAAAAAUGUGUACUUUGUUAGGUGGGACCCUAUAGCCUUGCAGAAUGUGCUAUGUUAGGCAUGCCUGGAAACGUGUGACGCAUACGUUUUGUGAACCUGUUCAUAUUAUAUGUGCUUUUAUAUUAUCGUAUUUUAUUAAAAUACUAAUAUUUAUUACUAGUAAGAUAUAACAUUCUAUCUAGCUUAAAAACUAACCAUAAAUAUUCCAUAAUAACUAGAUUUACCAAACUAAUAUACUAAAUAUACAUAAUAAAUACAAAAUUAACAAGACAAUAAUCAAUAUUUAUGAGCUUAAUAUAUUUAGACAUUAUGGUUGGUCGACGAUAAUCAUGCUAACUUUCCGUAAUUGCUUGAUUGUAAAUAUGCUUAGAAUAAUGCCUCUUUGUUCUACAUGGCAAAUAGGGACCAUUAUGGUGUAACACCCUGGGAUCCACAAACACCCUGAAAUGCUACUAAACUACACAACUAACCUUCAUAUAUUAAAUUUCGACAGCAUCUCCUUUGAAAAUUUGUAUAAACGUGGAAGCAACAGAGUAUAAACAGAUAUGAUGAUAAGGAAACAUAAUAGACAUUAAUAAUCUGCUAGAAAUGGGAAGAUAACCAUAACGACAUAAACUGAAUUAACUAGUGUGCACGGCAUGUUAAAAACAAACAUCGUUGACAAGAAGUUUCUAAUUAAAUCAUGGCUGUGCCUAGGCAGCGUUAUUAUAUGAGUGAAGGUGGACGUGAUGCUACUUCCCUCAUUCCCAACAUGAAUCAAGUACCUGUAUUGAGUAAUGCAAGAGUGAGAUGAAAACAUCUCAGCAAGUAAAUUGUUUUGACGAGAUAUUUAAACCAAAAAAAUUUGAUUUAAUCAACAUUUUAAAGGGAUCACAAUUGAGAUCAGACAUACUUGUAGAUAUAAAACUCAAUAGUCCCAAAAUAACCAAUGCCAUCUCAUUUCCACAAACAACCACAAUAGGUUGUAUAACACUUCCCUGCGUCAUCAAUACCUGCAAAUAUCACUUCAAUGUAUGCAUAGGAAUGCAAUGUUUAAGUCCUCUGCAUUCAUACUUCUUAGAGUAUAAAACCACACCAUCUGCAAAUAUCACUUCAAUGAAUGCAUAUGAAUGCAAUGCAUAUGUCCUCUGCCUUCAUACCUCUAAGGGUAUGAAGACGCAUCGUACCCCUCCUCGGGCAACGUACGAUGCUAAGUUGUACCGGUACGGUCGGACCAUAGGUCACGACAAAACUUCAGAUGCAAGUGAAUCAUGACAUGUAUAUGGCAUGCUGCAUUUAUCAAUAUACUACACUUCCUUCACAUACAAUACAAACCUCAAAUAAUACUUCGUUUACCUUCAGAUACAAUACAAACCUCAAAUAAUACUUCAUUCACCUUCAGGGGUGUUUAUUAAUCUCGUGGGUCAUACUCAAAUCAUCAUCAUCAUCAAUGAUGUUUAAGCAUCAGUAUAAUACAAUCAAGUAAAGCAUCACCAUAGAGUUCAAUUAUGAAAGAAUUCGAUGAUUCUGAAUAUUAGAGUGUAUGCGAUGAAACAACAAAGUCAAAACGGUAGCAACCACCGCUACAUUCACUUGCCUUCAUCGAAGAAGAAAAAGGUACUAGGCAUGAUUCGGAGUGUAGACACCUGCUGUGGGGCUUAAAACUUAGUACAAAUAUUCCACAAACAUUUGCCAACAACUAACAAAUCGCUCCUACACUUGUAACCAAGACCCGGUGGAAUGACUCCCACCCUGAACCACAUGUCAAACAGCAGGAGUGCUGUUUGUUAAUUUUGUAUCUUUAAAAUUAUAACAGUGGUGAUAUCAAACAAAUACUCUAGAAGUUUCUACACAAAAUACUCUACAACUUCGGUAUUCAAUGGAUAAUUAAAUUUUGCCAUCUAUAAGUUCUAAAACAUCUGACAAGAUAACUGACAGAAUCUGUUUCAGACAGCAGCAUAGUUAACUUCAAAAUUCGAUAUCUCCCAAACUCCUCAACCAAAAUUUAUGAAAUUAUGUUGACAGUAAGAACUUUUAUCCCUCUACAAAAGUCUCCAUAGUUGGAAGAGCCAAUUCGGCCAUUUACUAGAUGAAACCUACCAUUUAACAGACCCGCUCAUUUUUGUCAGGCAAACAAGAACCCUUAUAUAUCAAAGAGUAGUGGAUUUGAAUUUGUCUAAUAUGAAGUUUAUGGGCUUGGAUCAUUUAAAGUAUUUUAUAAUUCUGAAAGACAAGAUUAAACUAACUAUGUAUGAUCCUUUAGCACCGUACAGAUGGUCGAUGGGACAGUUACAUGGUUUAUAUAGAUGGACAUAUCUAUAUUCCUUCAGUGGUUGAGAAAAAGGUAAAGGUGUGUCACACUCACGCGUGCACUGCCUCCGCCGAGACGAGGCAUGGCGUUGCAAGGUGAGGCAUGGCAUGGUGCAGCACGAUCGUAUACAUGGUCGUGGCACAGUGUAGCACUGUUGUGGAUAGAUAGAUAAACUUUUGUUGUAGUUAGAGUGCAUGAGUUUUUGAAUGCAACACAAGAAUUUUCACAAUUUAACUUAAUUAAGAAGUUAUAUCUUGAUGACACAGAGUUACCUGACCAUUGAUCUCACAUGCCCUUUUAGCUCUCUCGUUCUCUAGACUCACCCUGACUAUUUAGGUCUCCUGACUCGCCAAUAUAAACACCAUCCUAUCAUUUGCUCUCGAAUACUUCUGUGUCACAACUCAACUGUCAGAUGAGUACUCCAUUACAGCACUGAGCAGGCCUCCGAAAUGAAUAUCUACUCAGAUGAAGGACGACAAUCGUGUUCUAGGGAAAUAUCAGCGACACAACUCCUUACUUCCUCCGCUUCUUCCUAGUGUUUUUUGUUGUGAUUGAGUCGACAUAGCAACAACACUGCACUAUUACAACCAGUACGACUAUAUCAACUAGCAAUGUCUUCCUUAUAUGUUACUAUUUAUUUUGCUCAUAUUCAUUAUGUUUAAAUCACAUAGGCGCCUUUAUGUUGGCAUCAAAAAAUCAGUAUCAACUUUAUAGAUUAAAAUGAAACUAAAAGUACCUAAAUUUCUAUCGGUGGGGAUCGAGUGAUUCUUUAAACCGAUUAUUACACAAGUUAACCACACUAAAAUUAACAAUGGUGAAUCGUGCCAUGAUUUUUUUCUAGUGGAAAAUAGCCAAACCAAGCAACACAUAUGUGGCUAUCGUUACACAUGUGUAAAGGUAUUGCAUCACACCAUUGUCACCCAUGUAUUUGGACAAUACCGAGAGGAAAAACCACUUAUUUAUUGUAUUAUAUCAAGUUUGUCUUGCUUACGUAUAAAUUAUAACCCAACAAAGUAAUCACUAAAUGUCAAAACCAACUAGAUACCAUGUCAUCUCUACCUUAUCUUACUAAUAUUCUUUUUGCAAAAUCCAAAAUUAAUCUUGCACAAGCACAAGGACUGAGAUGUGUAUAAAUAUCUCUUAAAUUAGUAGCUAAUAUAUCGCACAUAUUAUUGAGACCAACUAGCAACAUAGAAAGCACAAUAGUGUACCAACAAUGGCAGCCAAAAUAUUUUGCCUCCUUAUGCUCCUUGGUCUUUCUGCAAGUGCUGCUACGGCGACCAUUUUCCCGCAAUGCUCGCAAGCUCCUAUAGCUUCCCUUCUUCCCCCGUACCUCUCACCAGCGGUGUCUUCGGUAUGUGAAAACCCAAUUCUUCAACCCUACAGGAUCCAACAGGCAAUCACAGCUGGCAUCUUACCUUUAUCACCCUUGUUCCUCCAACAAUCAUCAGCCCUAUUACAUCAGUUACCUUUGGUGCAUUUAUUGGCACAAAACAUCAGGGCACAACAACUACAACAACUUGUGCUAGCAAACCUUGCUGCCUACUCUCAGCAACAGCAGUUUCUUCCAUUCAACCAACUAGCUGCAUUGAACUCUGCUUCUUAUUUGCAACAACAACAACUACCAUUCAGCCAGCUACCUGCUGCCUACCCCCAGCAAUUUCUUCCAUUCAACCAACUGGCAGCAUUGAACUCUCCUGCUUAUUUACAGCAGCAACAACUACUACCAUUCAGCCAGCUAGCUGGUGUGAGCCCUGCUACCUUCUUGAUACAACCACAGUUGUUGCCGUUCUACCAGCACGCUGCGCCUAACGCUGGCACCCUCUUACAACUGCAACAAUUGCUGCCAUUCAACCAACUUGCUUUGACAAACCCAGCAGCGUUCUACCAACAACCCAUCAUUGGUGGUGCCCUCUUUUAGAUUUCUUAUGAGUUAUAGUUCAAUAAUAAAGUUUUUUGUCUGAUGUUUGUGGCUUCCCAGAAAUAAGAAAGUACAUUUCUAGAUUCUUAUGUGCUUCUAGUCUCCAAAUGUGGUUGAUAGUUAUUUUGCUCUAAGAUCGACAGUAAUGAAGUAUAAAUCAUCGUUGUGGUGUGCUACUCGGUUAAUUGAGCAUUAACACACACAAACAUGACGAGGAUGGUAUAAUCUCCAAAAAUAUGUACUUUGUUAGGUGGGACCCUAUAGCCUUGCAUAAUGUGCUAUGUUAGGCAUGCCUGGAAACGUGUGACGCAUAUGUUUUGUGAACCUGUUGAUAUUAUAUGUGCUUUUAUAUUACCAUAUUUUAUUAAAAUACUAAUAUUUAUUACUAGUAAGAUAUAACAUUCUAUCUAGCUUAAAAACUAACCAUAAAUAUUCCAUAAUAACUAGAUUUACCAAACUAAUAUACUAAAUAUACAUAAUAAAUACAAAAUUAACAAGACAAUAAUCAAUAUUUAUGAGCUUAAUAUAUUUAGACAUUAUGGUUGGUCGACCAUAAUCAUGCUAACUUUUCGUACUUGCUUGAUUGUAAAUAUGCUUAGAAUAAUGCCUCUUUGUUCUACAUGGCAAAUAGGGACCAUUAUGGUGUAACACCCUGGGAACCACAAACACCCCGAAAUGCUACUAAACUACACAACUAACCUUCAUAUAUAAAAUUUCGACAGCAUCUCCUUUGAAAAUUUGCAUAAACGUGGAAGCAACAGAGUAUAAACAGAUAUCAUGAUAAGGAAACAUACUAGACAUUAAUAAUCUGCUAGAAAUGGGAAGAUAACCAUAACGACAUAAACUGAAUUAACUAGUGUGCACAACUUGUUUAAAACAAACAUCAUUGACAAGAAGUUUCUAAUUAAAUCAUGGCUGUGCCUGGGUAGCGUUAUUAUGAGAGUGAAGGUGGACGUGAUGCUACUUCCCUCAUUCCCAACAUGAAUCAAGUACCUGCAUUGAGUAAUGCAAGAGUGAGAUGAAAACAUCUCAGCAAGUAAAUUGUUUUGACGAGAUAUUUAAAGCAAAAAAAUUUGAUUUACUCAACAUUUUAAAGGGAUCACAAUUGAGAUCAGAAAUACUUGUAGAUAUAGAACUCAAUAGUCCCAAAAUAACCAGUGCCAUCUCAUUUCCUCAAACAACCACAAUAGGUUGUAUAACACUUCCCUGCGUCAUCAAUACCUGCAAAUAUCACUUCAAUGUAUGCAUAGGAAUGCAAUGUUUAAGUCCUCUGCAUUCAUACUUCUUAGAGUAUAAAACCACACCAUCUGCAAAUAUCACUUCAAUGAAUGCAUAUGAAUGCAAUGCAUAUGUCCUCUGCCUUCAUACCUCUAAGGGUAUGAAGCCGAAUCGUACCCCUCCUCGGGCAACGUACGAUGCUAAGUUGUACCGUUACGGUCGGACCAUAGGUCACGACAAAACUUCAUAUGCAAGUGAAUCAUGACAUGUAUAUGGCUUGCUGCAUUUAUCAAUAUACUUCACUUCCUUCAUAUACAAUACAAACCUCAAAUAAUACUUCGUUUACCUUCAGAUACAAUACAAACCUCAAAUAAUACUUCAUUCACCUUCAGGGGUGUUUAUUAAUCUCGUGGGUCAUACUCGAAUCAUCAUCAUCAUCAAUGAUGAUUAAGCAUCAGUAUAAUACAAUCAAGUAAAGCAUCACCAUAGAGUUCAAUUAUGAAAGAAUUCGAUGAUUCUGAAUAUUAGAGUGUAUGCGAUGAAACAACAACGUCAAAACGGUAGCAACCACCGCUACAUUCACUUGCCUUCAUCGAAGAAGAAAAACAUACUAGGCAUGAUUCAGAGUGUAGACACCUGCUGUGGGGCUUAAAACUUAGUACAAAUAUUCCACAAACAUUUGCCAACAAUUAACAAAUCGCUCCUACACUUGAAACCAAGACCCGGUGGAAUGACUCCCACCCUGAACCACAUGCCAAACAAUAGUAGUGUUGUUUGUUAAUUUUGUAUCUUUAAAAUUAUAACAGUGGUGAUAUCAAACAAAUACUCCAGAAGUUUCUACACAAAAUACUCUACAACUUUGGUAUUCAAUGGAUAAUUAAAUUUUGCCAUCUAUAAGUUCUAAAACAUCUGAUAAGAUAACUGACUGAAUUUGUUUCAGACAACAGCAUAGUUAACUUCAAAAUUCGAUAUCUCCCAAACUCCUCAACCAAAAAUUAUGAAAUUAUUCUGACAGUAAGAACUUUUUUCCCUCUACAAAAGUAUCUAUAGUUGGAAGAGCCAAUUCGGCCAUUUACUAGAUGAAACCUACCAGUUAACAGACCCGCUCAUUUUUGUCAGGCAAACAAGAACCCUUAUAUAUCAAAGAGUAGUGGAUUUGAAUUUGUCUAAUAUGAAGUUUAUGGGCUUGGAUCAUUUAAAGUAUUUUAUAAUUCUGAAAGACAAGAUUAAACUAACUAUGUAUGAUCCUUUAGCACUGUACAGAUGGUCGAUGGGACAGUUACAUGGUUUAUAUAGAUGGACCUAUCUAUAUUCCUUCAGUGGUUGAGAAAAAGGUAAAGGUGUGUCACACUCACGUGUGCGCCGCCUCUACCGAGAUGAGGCAUGGCGUUGCAAGGUGAGGCAUGGCAUGGUGCAGCACGAUCGUAUACAUGGUCGUGGCACAGUGUAGCACUGUUGUGGAUAGAUAGAUAAACUUUUGUUGUAGUUAGAGUGCAUGAGUUUUUGAAUGCAACACAAGAAUUUUCACAAUUUAACUUAAUUAAGAAGUUAUAUCUUGAUGACACAGAGUUACCUGACCAUUGAUCUCACAUGCCCUUUUAGCUCUCUCGUUCUCUAGACUCACCCUGACUAUUUAGGUCUCCUGACUCGCCAAUAUAAACACCAUCCUAUCAUUUGCUCUCGAAUACUUCUGUGUCACAACUCAACUGUCAGAUGAGUACUCCAUUACAGCACUGAGCAGGCCUCCGAAAUGAAUAUCUACUCAGAUGAAGGACGACAAUCGUGUUCUAGGGAAAUAUCGGUGACACAACUCCUUACUUCCUCCGCUUCUUCCUAGUGUUUUUUGUUGUGAUUGAGUCGACACAGCAACAACACUGCACUAUUACAACCAGUACGACUAUAUUAACUAGCAAUGUCUUCCUUAUAUGUUACUAUUUAUUUUGCUCAUAUUCAUUAUGUUUAAAUCACAUAGGCACCUUUUUGUUGGCAUCAAAAAAUUAGUAUCAACUUUCUAGAUUAAAGUGAAACUAAAAGUACCUAAAUUUCUAUCGGUGGGGAUCGAGUGAUUCUUUAAACCAAUUAUUACGCAAGUUAACCACACUAAAAUUAACAUUGGUGAACCGUGCCAUGAUUUUUUCUAAUGGAAAAUAGCCAAACCAAGCAACACAUAUGUGGCUAUCGUUACACAUGUGUAAAGGUAUUGCAUCACACCAUUGUCACCCAUGUAUUUGGACAAUACCGAGAGGAAAAACCACUUAUUUAUUGUAUUUUAUCAAGUUUGUCUUGCUUACGUAUAAAUUAUAACCCAACAAAGUAAUCACUAAAUGUCAAAACCAACUAGAUACCAUGUCAUCUCUACCUUAUCUUACUAAUAUUCUUUUUGCAAAAUCCAAAAUUAAUCUUGCACAAGCACAAGGACUGAGAUGUGUAUAAAUAUCUCUUAAAUUAGUAGCUAAUAUAUCACACAUAUUAUUGAGACCAACUAGCAACAUAGAAAGCACAAUAGUGUACCAACAAUGGCAGCUAAAAUAUUUUGCCUCCUUAUGCUCCUUGGUCUUUCUGCAAGUGCUGCUACGGCGACCAUUUUCCCACAAUGCUCACAAGCUCCUAUAGCUUCCCUUCUUCCCCCGUACCUCUCACCAACGGUGUCUUCGGUAUGUGAAAACCCAAUUCUUCAACCCUACAGGAUCCAACAGGCAAUCGCAGCUGGCAUCUUACCUUUAUCACCCUUGUUCCUCCAACAAUCAUCAGCCCUAUUACAGCAGUUACCUUUGGUGCAUUUAUUGGCACAAAACAUCAGGGCACAACAACUACAACAACUUGUGCUAGCAAACCUUGCUGCCUACUCUCAGCAACAGCAGUUUCUUCCAUUCAACCAACUAGCUGCAUUGAACUCUGCUUCUUAUUUGCAACAACAACAACUACCAUUCAGCCAGCUAUCUGCUGCCUACCCCCAGCAAUUUCUUCCAUUCAACCAACUGACAGCAUUGAACUCUCCUGCUUAUUUACAGCAGCAACAACUACUACCAUUCAGCCAGCUAGCUGGUGUGAGCCCUGCUACCUUCUUGACACAACCACAGUUGUUGCCGUUCUACCAGCACGCUGCGCCUAACGCUGGCACCCUCUUACAACUGCAACAAUUGCUGCCAUUCAACCAACUUGCUUUGACAAACCCAGCAGCAUUCUACCAACAACCCAUCAUUGGUGGUGCCCUCUUUUAGAUUUCUUAUGAGUUAUAGUUCAAUAAUAAAGUUUUUUGUCUGAUGUUUGUGGCUUCCCAGAAAUAAGAAAGUACAUUUCUAGAUUCUUAUGUGCUUCUAGUCUCCAAAUGUGGUUGAUAGUUAUUUUGCUCUAAGAUCAACAGUAAUGAAGUAUAAAUCAUCGUUGUGGUGUGCUACUCGGUUAAUUGAGCAUUAACACACACAAACAUGACGAGGAUGGUAUAAUCUCCAAAAAUGUGUACUUUGUUAGGUGGGACCCUAUAGCCUUGAUUAAUGUGCUAUGUUAGGCAUGCCUGGAAACGUGUGACGCAUAUGUUUUGUGAACCUGUUGAUAUUAUAUGUGCUUUUAUAUUACCAUAUUUUAUUAAAAUACUAAUAUUUAUUACUAGUAAGAUAUAACAUUCUAUCUAGCUUAAAAACUAACCAUAAAUAUUCCAUAAUAACUAGAUUUACCAAACUAAUAUACUAAAUAUACAUAAUAAAUACAAAAUUAACAAGACAAUAAUCAAUAUUUAUGAGCUUAAUAUAUUUAGACAUUAUGGUUGGUCGACGAUAAUCAUGCUAACUUUUCGUAAUUGCUUGAUUGUAAAUAUGCUUAGAAUAAUGCCUCUUUGUUCUACAUGGCAAAUAGGGACCAUUAUGGUGUAACACCCUGGGAACCACAAACACCCCGAAAUGCUACUAAACUACACAACUAACCUUCAUAUAUAAAAUUUCGACAGCAUCUCCUUUGAAAAUUUGCAUAGACGUGGAAGCAACAGAGUAUAAACAGAUAUCAUGAUAAGAAAACAUACUAGACAUUAAUAAUCUGCUAGAAAUGGGAAGAUAACCAUAACGACAUAAACUGAAUUAACUAGUGUGCACAACUUGUUAAAAACAAACAUCGUUGACAAGAAGUUUCUAAUUAAAUCAUGGUUGUGCCUGGGCAGCGUUAUUAUGAGAGUGAAGGUGGACGUGAUGCUACUUCCCUCAUUCCCAACAUGAAUCAAGUACCUGCAUUGAGCAAUGCAAGAGUGAGAUGAAAACAUCUCAGCAAGUAAAUUGUUUUGACGAGAUAUUUAAACCAAAAAAAUUUGAUUUACUCAACAUUUUAAAGGGAUCACAAUUGAGAUCAGAAAUACUUGUAGAUAUAGAACUCAAUAGUCCCAAAAUAACCAGUGCCAUCUCAUUUCCUCAAACAACCACAAUAGGUUGUAUAACACUUCCCUGCGUCAUCAAUACCUGCAAAUAUCACUUCAAUGUAUGCAUAGGAAUGCAAUGUUUAAGUCCUCUGCAUUCAUACUUCUUAGAGUAUAAAACCACACCAUCUGCAAAUAUCACUUCAAUGAAUGCAUAUGAAUGCAAUGCAUAUGUCCUCUGCCUUCAUACCUCUAAGGGUAUGAAGCCGAAUCGUACCCCUCCUCGGGCAACGUACGAUGCUAAGUUGUACCGGUACGGUCGGACCAUAGGUCACGACAAAACUUCAUAUGCAAGUGAAUCAUGACAUGUAUAUGGCUUGCUGCAUUUAUCAAUAUACUUCACUUCCUUCAUAUACAAUACAAACCUCAAAUAAUACUUCGUUUACCUUCAGAUACAAUACAAACCUCAAAUAAUACUUCAUUCACCUUCAGGGGUGUUUAUUAAUCUCGUGGGUCAUACUCGAAUCAUCAUCAUCAUCAAUGAUGAUUAAGCAUCAGUAUAAUACAAUCAAGUAAAGCAUCACCAUAGAGUUCAAUUAUGAAAGAAUUCGAUGAUUCUGAAUAUUAGAGUGUAUGCGAUGAAACAACAACGUCAAAACGGUAGCAACCACCGCUACAUUCAUUUGCCUUCAUCGAAGAAGAAAAAUGUACUAGGCAUGAUUCAGAGUGUAGACACCUGCUGUGGGGCUUAAAACUUAGUACAAAUAUUCCACAAACAUUUGCCAACAAUUAACAAAUCGCUCCUACACUUGAAACCAAGACCCGGUGGAAUGACUCCCACCCUGAACCACAUGCCAAACAAUAGUAGUGCUGUUUGUUAAUUUUGUAUCUUUAAAAUUAUAACAGUGGUGAUAUCAAACAAAUACUCUAGAAGUUUCUACACAAAAUACUCUACAACUUCGGUAUUCAAUGGAUAAUUAAAUUUUGCCAUCUAUAAGUUCUAAAACAUCUGAUAAGAUAACUGACUGAAUUUGUUUCAGACAGCAGCAUAGUUAACUUCAAAAUUCGAUAUCUCCCAAACUCCUCAACCAAAAAUUAUGAAAUUAUGCUGACAGUAAGAACUUUUUGUCCCUCUACAAAAGUAUCUAUAGUUGGAAGAGCCAAUUCGGCCAUUUACUAGAUGAAACCUACCAGUUAACAGACCCGCUCAUUUUUGUCAGGCAAACAAGAACCCUUAUAUAUCAAAGAGUAGUGGAUUUGAAUUUGUCUAAUAUGAAGUUUAUGGGCUUGGAUCAUUUAAAGUAUUUUAUAAUUCUGAAAGACAAGAUUAAACUAACUAUGUAUGAUCCUUUAGCACCGUACAGAUGGUCGAUGGGACAGUUACAUGGUUUAUAUAGAUGGACCUAUCUAUAUUCCUUCAGUGGUUGAGAAAAAGGUAAAGGUGUGUCACACUCACGUGUGCGCCGCCUCUGCCGAGAUGAGGCAUGGCGUUGCAAGGUGAGGCAUGGCAUGGUGCAGCACGAUCGCAGUCAUGGUCGUGGCACAGUGUAGCACUGUUGUGGAUAGAUAGAUAAACUAUUGUUGUAGUUAGAGUGCAUGAGUUUUUGAAUGCAACACUAGGAUUUUCACAAUUUAACUUAAUUAAGAAGUUAUAUCUUGAUGACACAGAGUUACCUGACCAUUGAUCUCACAUGCCCUUUUAGCUCUCUUGUUCUCUAGACUCACCCUGACUAUUGAGGUCUCUUGACUCGCCAAUAUAAACACCAUCCUAUCAUUUGCUCUCGAAUACUUUUGUGUCACAACUCAACUGUCAGAUGAGUACUCCAUUACAGCACUGAGCAGGCCUCCGAAAUGAAUAUCUACUCAGAUGAAGGACGACAAUCGUGUUCUAGGGAAAUAUCAGUGACACAACUCCUUACUUCCUCUGCUUCUUCCUAGUGUUUUUUGUUGUGAUUGAGUCGACACAGCAACAACACUGCACUAUUACAACCAGUACGACUAUAUUAACUAGCAAUGUCUUCCUUAUAUGUUACUAUUUAUUUUGCUCAUAUUCAUUAUGUUUAAAUCACAUAGGCACCUUUUUGUUGGCAUCAAAAAAUUAGUAUCAACUUUCUAGAUUAAAGUGAAACUAAAAGUACCUAAAUUUCUAUCGGUGGGGAUCGAGUGAUUCUUUAAACCGAUUAUUACACAAGUGAACCACACUAAAAUUAACAUUGGUGAAUCGUGCCAUGAUUUUUUCUAGUGGAAAAUAGCCAAACCAAGCAACACAUAUGUGGCUAUCGUUACACAUGUGUAAAGGUAUUGCAUCACACCAUUGUCACCCAUGUAUUUGGACAAUACCGAGAGGAAAAACCACUUAUUUAUUGUAUUUUAUCAAGUUUGUCUUGCUUACGUAUAAAUUAUAACCCAACAAAGUAAUCACUAAAUGUCAAAACCAACUAGAUACCAUGUCAUCUCUACCUUAUCUUACUAAUAUUCUUUUUGCAAAAUCCAAAAUUAAUCUUGCACAAGCACAAGGACUGAGAUGUGUAUAAAUAUCUCUUAAAUUAGUAGCUAAUAUAUCACACAUAUUAUUGAGACCAACUAGCAACAUAGAAAGCACAAUAGUGUACCAACAAUGGCAGCCAAAAUAUUUUGCCUCCUUAUGCUCCUUGGUCUUUCUGCAAGUGCUGCUACGGCGACCAUUUUCCCACAAUGCUCACAAGCUCCUAUAGCUUCCCUUCUUCCCCCGUACCUCUCACCAGCGGUGUCUUCGGUAUGUGAAAACCCAAUUCUUCAACCCUAUAGGAUCCAACAGGCAAUCGCAGCUGGCAUCUUACCUUUAUCACCCUUGUUCCUCCAACAAUCAUCAGCCCUAUUACAGCAGUUACCUUUGGUGCAUUUAUUGGCACAAAACAUCAGGGCACAACAACUACAACAACUUGUGCUAGCAAACCUUGCUGCCUACUCUCAGCAACAACAGUUUCUUCCAUUCAACCAACUAGCUGCAUUGAACUCUGCUUCUUAUUUGCAACAACAACAACUACCAUUCAGCCAGCUAUCUGCUGCCUACCCCCAGCAAUUUCUUCCAUUCAACCAACUGACAGCUUUGAACUCUCCUGCUUAUUUACAGCAGCAACAACUACUACCAUUCAGCCAGCUAGCUGGUGUGAGCCCUGCUACCUUCUUGACACAACCACAAUUGUUGCCGUUCUACCAGCACGCUGCGCCUAACGCUGGCACCCUCUUACAACUGCAACAAUUGCUGCCAUUCAACCAACUUGCUUUGACAAACCCAACAGCAUUCUACCAACAACCCAUCAUUGGUGGUGCCCUCUUUUAGAUUUCUUAUGAGUUAUAGUUCAAUAAUAAAGUUUUUUGUCUGAUGUUUGUGGCUUCCCAGAAAUAAGAAAGUACAUUUCUAGAUUCUUAUGUGCUUCUAGUCUCCAAAUGUGGUUGAUAGUUAUUUUGCUCUAAGAUUAGCAGUAAUGAAGUAUAAAUCAUCGUUGUGGUGUGCUACUCGGUUAAUUGAGCAUUAACACACACAAACAUGACGAGGAUGGUAUAAUCUCCAAAAAUGUGUACUUUGUUAGGUGGGACCCUAUAGCCUUGCAGAAUGUGCUACGUUAGGCAUGCCAAUGGAAACGUGUGACACAUACGUUUUGUGAAUCUGUUGAUAUUAUAUGUGCUUUUAUAUUACCAUAUUUUAUUAAAAUACUAAUAUUUAUUACUAGUAAGAUAUAACAUUCUAUCUAGCUUAAAAACUAACCAUAAAUAUUCCAUAAUAACUAGAUUUACCAAACUAAUAUACUAAAUAUACAUAAUAAAUAUAAAAUUAACAAGACAAUAAUUAAUAUUUAUGAGCUUAAUUUAUUUAGACAUUAUGGUUGGUCGACGAUAAUCAUGCUAACUUUCCGUAAUUGCUUGAUUGUAAAUAUGCUUAGAAUAAUGCCUCUUUGUUCUACAUGGCAAAUAGGGACCAUUAUGGUGUAACACCCCGGGAUCCACAAACACCCCGAAAUGCUACUAAACUACACAACUAACCUUCAUAUAUAAAAUUUCGACAGCAUCUCCUUUGAAAAUUUGCAUAAACGUGGAAGCAACAGAGUAUAAACAGAUAUCAUGAUAAGGAAACAUACUAGACAUUAAUAAUCUGCUAGAAAUGGGAAGAUAACCAUAACGACAUAAACUGAAUUAACUAGUGUGCACAACUUGUUAAAAACAAACAUCGUUGACAAGAAGUUUCUAAUUAAAUCAUGGUUGUGCCUGGGCAGCGUUAUUAUGAGAGUGAAGGUGGACGUGAUGCUACUUCCCUCAUUCCCAACAUGAAUCAAGUACCUGCAUUGAGUAAUGCAAGAGUGAGAUGAAAACAUCUCAGCAAGUAAAUUGUUUUGACGAGAUAUUUAAACCAAAAAAAUUGAUUUAAUCAACAUUUUAAAGGGAUCACAAUUGAGAUCAGAAAUACUUGUAGAUAUAGAACUCAAUAGUCCCAAAAUAACCAAUGCCAUCUCAUUUCCUCAAACAACCACAAUAGGUUGUAUAACACUUCCCUGCGUCAUCAAUACCUGCAAAUAUCACUUCAAUGUAUGCAUAGGAAUGCAAUGUUUAAGUCCUCUGCAUUCAUACUUCUUAGAGUAUAAAACCACACCAUCUGCAAAUAUCACUUCAAUGAAUGCAUAUGAAUGCAAUGCAUAUGUCCUCUGCCUUCAUACCUCUAAGGGUAUGAAGCCGCAUCGUACCCCUCCUCGGGCAACGUACGAUGCUAAGUUGUACCGGUACGGUCGGACCAUAGGUCACGACAAAACUUCAGAUGCAAGUGAAUCAUGACAUGUAUAUGGCAUGCUGCAUUUAUCAAUAUACUUCACUUCCUUCAUAUACAAUACAAACCUAAAAUAAUACUUCGUUUACCUUCAGAUACAAUACAAACCUCAAAUAAUACUUCAUUCACCUUCAGGGGUGUUUAUUAAUCUCGUGGGUCAUACUCAAAUCAUCAUCAUCAUCAAUGAUGUUUAAGCAUCAGUAUAAUACAAUCAAGUAAAGCAUCACCAUAGAGUUCAAUUAUGAAAGAAUUCGAUGAUUCUGAAUAUUAGAGUGUAUGCGAUGAAACAACAAAGUCAAAACGGUAGCAACCACCUCUACAUUCACUUGCCUUCAUCGAAGAAGAAAAAGGUACUAGGCAUGAUUCGGAGUGUAGACACCUGCUGUGGGGCUUAAAACUUAGUACAAAUAUUCCAUAAACAUUUGCCAACAAUUAACAAAUCGCUCCUACACUUGAAACCAAGACCCGGUGGAAUGACUCCCACCCUGAACCACAUGCCAAACAACAAUAGUGUUGUUUGUUAAUUUCUAUCUUUAAAAUUAUAACAGUGGUGAUAUCAAACAAAUACUCUAUACGUUUCUACACAAAAUACUCUACAACUUCGGUAUUCAAUGGAUAAUUAAAUUUUGCCAUCUAUAAGUUCUAAAACAUCUGACAAGAUAACUGACUGAAUCUGUUUCAGACAACAGCAUAGUUAACUUCAAAAUUCGAUAUCUCCCUAACUCCUCAACAAAAAAUUAUGAAAUUAUGCUGACAGUAAGAACUUUUAUCCCUCUACAAAAGUCUCCAUAGUUGAAAGAGCCAAUUCGGCCAUUUACUAGAUGAAACCUACCAGUUAACGGACCCGCUCAUUUUUGUCAAGCAAACAAGAACCCUUAUAUAUCAAAGAGUAGUGGAUUUGAAUUUGUCUAAUAUGAAGUUUACGGGCUUGGCUCAUUUAAAGUAUUUAAUAAUUCUGAAAGACAAGAUUAAACUAACUAUGUAUGAUCCUUUAGCACCGUACAGAUGGUCGAUGGGACAGUUACAUGGUUUAUAUAGAUGGACCUAUCUAUAUUCCUUCAGUGGUUGAGAAAAAAGUAAAGGUGUGUCACACUCACGUGUGCGCCGCCUCCGCCGAGACGAGGCAUGGCGUUGCAAGGUGAGGCAUGGCAUGGUGUAGCACGAUAGCAGUCAUGGUCGUGGCACAGUGUAGCACUGUUGUGGAUAGAUAGGUAAACUAUUGUUGUAGUUAGAGUGCAUGAGUUUUUGAAUGCAACACUAGAAUUUUCACAAUUUAACUUAAUUAAGAAGUUAUAUCUUGAUGACACAGAGUUACCUGACCAUUGAUCUCACAUGCCCUUUUAGCUCUCUCGUUCUCUAGACUCACCCUGACUAUUUAAGUCUCUUGACUCGCCAAUAUAAACACCAUCCUAUCAUUUGCUCUAGAAUACUUCUGUGUCACAACUCAACUGUCAGAUGAGUACUCCAUUACAGCACUUACGUACACGAGUUCUAUGAGAGCAGGCCUCCAAAAUGAAUAUCUACUUAGAUGAAGGACGACAAUCGUGUUCUAGGGAAAUAUCAGCGACACAACUCCUUACUUCCUUCGCUUCUUCCUAGUGUUUUUUGUUGUGAUUGAGUCGACACAGCAACAACACUGCACUAUUACAACCAGUACGACUAUAUCAACUAGCAAUGUCUUCCUUAUAUGUUACUAUUUAUUUUGCACAUAUUCAUUAUGUUUAAAUCACAUAGGCACCUUUCUAUUGGCAUCAAAAAAUUAGUAUCAACUUUCUAGAUUAAAAUGAAACUAAAAGUACAUAAAUUUCUAUCGGUGGGGAUCGAGUGAUUCUUUAAACCGAUUAUUACACAAGUUAACCACACUAAAAUUAACAUUGGUGAAUCGUGCCAUGAUUUUUUUUCUAGUGGAAAAUAGCCAAACCAAGCAACACAUAUGUGGCUAUCGUUACACAUGUGUAAAGGUAUUGCAUCACACUAUUGUCACCCAUGUAUUUGGACAAUACCGAGAGGAAAAACCACUUAUUUAUUGUAUUUUAUCAAGUUUGUCUUGCUUACGUAUAAAAUUAUAACCCAACAAAGUAAUCACUAAACGUCAAAACCAACUAGAUAUCAUGUCAUCUCUACCUUAUCUUACUAAUAUUCUUUUUGCAAAAUCCAAAAUUAAUCUUGCACAAGCACAAGGACUGAGAUGUGUAUAAAUAUCUCUUAAAUUAGUAGCUAAUAUAUCGCACAUAUUAUUUAGACCAACUAGCAACAUAGAAAGCACAAUAGUGUACCAACAAUGGCAGCCAAAAUAUUUUGCCUCCUUAUGCUCCUUGGUAUUUCUGCAAGUGCUGCUACGGCGACCAUUUUCCCGCAAUGCUCACAAGCUCCUAUAGCUUCCCUUCUUCCCCCGUACCUCUCACCAGCGGUGUCUUCGGUAUGUGAAAACCCAAUUCUUCAACCCUACAGGAUCCAACAGGCAAUCGCAGCUGGCAUCUUACCUUUAUCACCCUUGUUCCUCCAACAAUCAUCAGCCCUAUUACAGCAGUUACCUUUGGUGCAUUUAUUGGCACAAAACAUCAGGGCACAACAACUACAACAACUUGUGCUAGCAAACCUUGCUGCCUACUCUCAGCAACAGCAGUUUCUUCCAUUCAACCAACUAGCUGCAUUGAACUCUGCUUCUUAUUUGCAACAACAACAACUACCAUUCAGCCAGCUACCUGUUGCCUACCCCCAGCAAUUUCUUCCAUUCAACCAACUGGCAGCAUUGAACUCUCCUGCUUAUUUACAGCAGCAACAACUACUACCAUUCAGCCAGCUAGCUGGUGUGAGCCCUGCUACCUUCUUGACACAACCACAGUUGUUGCCGUUCUACCAGCACGCUGCGCCUAACGCUGGCACCCUCUUACAACUGCAACAAUUGCUGCCAUUCAACCAACUUGCUUUGACAAACCUAGCAGUGUUCUACCAACAACCCAUCAUUGGUGGUGCCCUCUUUUAGAUUUCUUAUGAGUUAUAGUUCAAUAAUAAAGUUUUUUGUCUGAUGUUUGUGGCUUCCCAGAAAUAAGAAAGUACAUUUCUAGAUUCUUAUGUGCUUCUAGUCUCCAAAUGUGGUUGAUAGUUAUUUUGCUCUAAGAUCAGCAGUACAACAACAACAACAACAACAACAACAACAACAACAAAGCCUUUUUGUCCCAAGCACGUUGGGGUAGGCUAGAGAUGAAACCCCGUAUGAAAACCUCAGAGCUCAACCCCCAAAGAACAGAAAAGGGAAACAAAGGCAAAGGAGAACCGAAAACAACGAAACGGGGAAACACAUAAAAGAGAUAAAACCCACAAGGACCAGCAAGAUCUAAAAUGGACACAAGAAAAGGUCAAACGAUUAAGGAGGAAAAGCGAAACUAUCAAUCAGGGUUCUGGCACGUGAAUUGCACACUUCCACCCCUUCCUAUCUGCGGCGAGCUCUUUGUCAAUAUUCCACUCCUUCAGGUCUCUCUUCACAGCCUCUGUCCACGUCAAAGUUGGUCGACCUCUACCUCUCUUCACAUUUUCGGGACGCCUAAUUAUUCCGAUAUGCACUGGUGCCUCUUCAGGUCUUCGUUGGAUAUGUCCAAACCAUCUCAAGCGAUGUUGCAUAAGCUUCUCCUCAAUUGGCGCCACUCCUACUCUCUCUCGUAUAUCAUCAUUCCGGACUCGAUCUCUCCUUGUGUGGCCACAUAUCCAGCGCAACAUACGCAUCUCUGCCACACUUAGUUGUUGGACAUGUCGUCUUUUAGUGGGCCAACAUUCUGCUCCAUACAACAUAGCCGGCCGGAUUGCUGUCCUGUAGAAUUUGCCUUUUAGUUUGCGUGGCACCCGGUGGUCGCAUAAGACACCCGCAGCUUGUCGCCACUUCAACCAUCCGGCUUUAAUUCUAUGACUGACAUCCUCAUCGAUGUCUCCCUCCUUUUGAAGCAUUGAUCCUAAGUAACGAAAAGUGUCUUUCUUGGGUACCACUUGCCCAUCAAGACUAACAUCGCCAUCCUCAUACCCCAUGGCACUGAAAUCACACUUCAUAUACUCUGUUUUAGACCUACUAAGCCUAAAACCUUUUGCUUCCAGCGUCUGCCUCCACAAUUCCAACUUUUGAGAAACACCACUCCUACUCUCCUCAAUAAGUACCACAUCAUCGGCAAAAAGCAUACACCACGGUAAAACUCCUUGUAUGUCCCUUGUGACCUCAUCUAUCACCAAAGCGAAAAGAUAAGGGCUCAAAGCCGACCCUUGAUGUAGUCCUAUGUUAAUUGGAAAGUCAUCGGUGUCUCCAUCACUUGUUCGGACACUUGUCACAACAUUAGUGUACAUAUCUUUAAUAAGAUUAAUGUACUUUGUUGCUACUUUGUGUUUUUCCAAGGCCCACCACAUUACACUCCUAGGUACUUUGUCAUAAGCCUUCUCCAAGUCUAUGAAGACCAUAUGCAGGUCUUUCUUUUGUUCUCUGAAUCUCUCCAUAAGUUGUCUUAGUAAGAAAAUGGCCUCCAUAGUUGAUCUCCCGGGCAUGAAACCAAACUGAUUUUGGGUCACGCUCGUCAUCUUUCGCAGGCGGUGUUCAAUGACUCUCUCCCAUAGCUUCAUUGUAUGGCUCAUGAGCUUAAUUCCACGGUAAUUAGUACAACUUUGAACAUCUCCUUUGUUCUUGAAGAUUGGUACUAAUGUACUCCGCCGCCACUCGUCGGGCAUUCUGUUUGCCCGAAAGAUGGUGUUGAAAAGCUUAGUCAGCCAUACUAUCGCUAUGUCUCCAAGACAUCUCCAUACCUCGAUAGGGAUACCAUCAGGGCCCAUCGCCUUUCCUACCUUCAUCCUUUUUAGCGCCUCCUUAACUUCAUAUUCUUGUAUCCUUCGUACAAAACCCCUGUUGUUGUCAUCGAAUGGUUCGUCCAAUUCUAUUGUAGCACUCUCAUUCCCUCCAUUGAACAAUUUGUUGAAGUACUCCUUCCAUCUGUUCUUGAUCUCUUCACUCUUCACUAAUAGUUGGUUUGCUUCGUCCUUGAUGCAUUUGACUUGGUUGACAUCCCUUGUCUUCCUUUCACGAAUCUUGGCCAUCCUAUAGAUAUCCUUUUCUCCCUGCUUUGUGUCCAGCCGUUGAUAAAGGUCGUCAUAGGCUUGACCCCGGGCUCUACUAACCGCUCGCUUUGCAGACUUCUUCGCUAUCCUGUACUUCUCUAUGUUUUCUGCACACUUGUCAUGAUGUAAGCGUUUGUAGCAAUCUUUCUUCUCCUUGAUAGCCUUUUGGACAUCUUCGUUCCACCACCAAGUGUCUUUAACUUCCCUUCUGUUCCCUUGACUCAACCCAAACUCUUCUGAAGCUAUCUUUCGGAUGCAUGUCGCCAUCUUCCUCCACAUGAUAUUUGCGUCUUCCUCUCCUGCCCAAGGGCCCUCCUCGAUAACUCUCUUCUUGAAAGUUUGGGCCACAUCCCCUUUAAGCUUCCACCACUUUGUUCUAGUGACCUUGUUAUGCUUAUUUCGUUGUAAACGAAUCUUAAAACGGAAGUCAGCAACGACAAGCUUAUGUUGGGUUACCACACACUCUCCAGGUAUAACCUUGCAAUCUAAGCAGGCAUGCCUGUCCUCUUUUCUCAAGAGGACGAAAUCAAUCUGGCUAGUGUGUUGGCCACUACUGAAGGUCACCAGGUGGGAUUGCCUCUUCUUAAAGAAAGUGUUUGCUAUAAACAUGUCAUAGGCUAGGGCAAAGUUCAGGAUUUCCUCUCCUUCUUGAUUCCUAGUCCCAAAGCCGAAGCCUCCAUGUACACCCUCGAAACUGGUGCUAGAUGUACCCACAUGGCCAUUGAGAUCUCCUCCUAUGAAGAGCUUCUCGCCAACUGGCACACUACUAACCAUGUCCUCUAGGCCUUCCCAGAACUCUCUCUUUGAGUUCUCAUUAAGGCCUACUUGAGGAGCAUACGCGCUGAUAACAUUGAGAACCAAGUCUCCAAUGACCAGCUUGACUAGGAUGAUUCUAUCUCCUACCCUCUUAACAUCUACUACCCCAUCUUUGAGGCUCUUGUCGAUCAAGACGCCUACUCCAUUCUUGUUUGUUGCAGUCCCCGUGUACCACAACUUGAAACCUGUACCUUUCACUUCCUUCGCCUUCUGUCCCUUCCACUUGGUCUCUUGAACGCAUAAAAUAUUUACCCGUCUCCUCACCGCAACGUCAACUAUUUCUCGUAACUUACCUGUUAAGGAACCUACGUUCCAACUGCCUACACGGACCCUAGUUGGCUCGACUAGCUUCCUUACCCUUCGCACCCGCCGAGGAAGAUGCAAAGACCCUUGCUCAUUUUUCACUACACCCGGGCGCCGAUGUAGCGCGCCACUAAGGAUGCGACGACCCGAUCCUUGCUCACUUAUCACCGGCUCCAGAUCAAGAGACAGCGCGUCACUUGAGGGGUGACGACCCGGCCCUUGCUCAUUUAACACCAUACCCGGGUUCCGAUAUGGCGCGUCGCUAAGAGGGUUACGCCCCAACGGUUUUCUUUGUGGUUUCAUCUCCAUAAGAUUUGGCUGGUUUUUUACGUUGGUUUGCCGGACCUAACACAACCCUCCUCCUUUACCGGGCUUGGGACCGGCUAUGUUGAAACGACUCAAGGAAGUCUUCCAAUCAACAUAGGCGGAGUUUAAGAUCAGCAGUAAUGAAGUAUAAAUCAUCGUUGUGGUGUGCUACUCGGUUAAUUGAGCAUUAACACACACAAACAUGACGAGGAUGGUAUAAUCUCCCAAAAUGUGUACUUUGUUAGGUGGGACCCUAUAGCCUUGCAGAAUGUGCUACGUUAGGCAUGCCGAUGGAAACGUGUGACGCAUACGUUUUGUGAACCUGUUGAUAUUAUAUGUGCUUUUAUAUUACCAUAUUUUAUUAAAACACUAAUAUUUAUUACUAGUAAGAUAUAACAUUCUAUCUAGCUUAAAAACUAACCAUAAAUAUUCCAUAAUAACUAGAUUUACCAAACUAAUAUACUAAAUAUACAUAAUAAAUACAAAAUUAACAAGACAAUAAUCAAUAUUUAUGAGCUUAAUAUAUUUAGACAUUAUGGUUGGUCGACGAUAAUCAUGCUAACUUUCCGUAAUUGCUUGAUUGUAAAUAUGCUUAGACUAAUGCCUCUUUGUUCUACAUGGCAAAUAGGGACCACUCUAGGAGACUAGGAUGUUGCUUGAGAUGAAAAUGUCAGAAUUGGUGUAGACUAAUUUCUAUCGGCCGCUGACUUCACUAUUGUAACCAUUAUAUCUUGGGUAAAUUAUAUACGAUUAUCCAGCCAAAGGGCCCAGAUGAUAAAAAACAAUUUUUAAUUGCUAUUUUAGGACAAAUGAAUUAGCAUGGUUCGAAGGAUUACGACCUUCCCCCCAUGACCUUUGUCAUACUGCUUUAGUCUAAUCGACAAAACCAAGAUUAGUUAUCAUCGAAGAAGUUCAUAAGCGAAGUUGUGACGAUGAAAGGAACAUGGUGGUAAUUGGACGAACGACGACACCUUUGUCUAAGAAUGGCAUCUAGAAGAAAUCUCAGACAAAAUAAGACAUGAAUGGCUUGUCAGUACAGCGCAAAUACUGAAACAUGCGCCCUUGAAUAUGAAACAUUUAUAUGUAAGAGGAAGGGAUAAAAAAACUAAUUACUCGUGCCUAAUGAUUUUAUUGGGAAUUUUAAGGCGAGACUUAUGGCAAAGGGUUAUACCAAAAAUAGGGGAGAGAUUAUUUCGAUACUUAUUCACUUGUUUCCCUUCAAAUGGCCAUACAUGUGUUACUUUUUUUGGCUGCCUCGCAUGGUCUUAUCGUUCAUCAGAUGAAUGUUAAGACUGCUUUCCCAAAUGGAGAGCUUAAGGAACAGAUCUACAUUGACUAGCCUAGUGGUUUUAUAUCAAAUGGUAAAGAGGAAAAGGUGUUUAAAAUAAUUGUUUGGUUUAAAACAAGCACCAAAGCACAUGAGAAAAUCGAUAAAGUUCUGACUUUGGCUAAAUUUGUUGUAAAUGAAGUUGAUAAAUGUGUCCAUUACCAGUUUGACAGGGGCGAAGGUAUGACCUUUUUAUAUGUGGACAAAAUAUUAACCUUUUGUAACGAUGUUAAUAUGAUAGAAGAAGUAAAGUAAUUUUUGUCUAGUAACUUAGAAAUAAACAAUCUGGGAGAGGCUAAUGUUGUUCUUAACAAAGAGAUGUUGAGAGAAGGAGGAAAUAGAGGGUUACUCUUGUGCAAUCCUAUUAGGUUGAAAAGUCGCUGAGUCGCUUUGGAUAUAGUGAUUACACGUCUGGUCCAACAACUUAUGACCCAAGUGUGUUAUUAAGGAAAAAUCAUAUAAUUGCAUAUGAUCAAUUGAGAUAUUGUCAAAUCAUGGUCUUCUCAUAUAUUUGGCAAGCCCAACGAUGUCUCAUAUCUGAUUUGUUAUGAGCAAACUCAGUUGCCUUGUCUCCAAUCUAGGGGAGGAUCAUGACAUGCCCUAGAGAGGGUAUUGCGCUUUCUCAAAGGGAUAUGAGUAAUGUCAUUUACUAUACUAGGCACCUAAGAGUACCAGAGUGUUAUAGUCAUGCAAAUAGGAUAUCUGAUGUUGAUUAGAUUUAUGCCACAAGUAGACUUGUGUGCUUCCUUGGAGGUGUGAUUGUUUCAUGGAAGUCUUGUAAGUAGACCAUCUUAACAAGGUCAACAAUAGAAGUAGAACUCACAACAUUAUAUACUACCAAAGUUGAAGUUGAUUGGCUCCGUGAACUCCUUACGGAUUUACCAGUAGUUGAAAAACCAAUACUGGUUAUCUCUAUGAGCUACAAUAAUCAAACAUUUGUAAUCGAAGUAAACAGUUCUAAAGUUAACAUGAUGUCUACAAAGCAUGUAAAAAUGGUUGAAACUGUUAAAACACUAAGAAACUCUAGAUUAAUUAUGUUGGACUAUAUCCAUACAUCGAAUUUGGUAUGCCAGUUUACAGAAGAUUUGUCACAUAAUAUGAUUCAAGGUGCAUCGAGGAAUAUGGGCUUGAGACCCACUUAAUGUCAAUCCAUAGUGGUAGCAGUUUCUAUGUGAUUGGAGAUCCCAUAAAGUAGAAUGGUGAAACAAGCUAGAGAAUGACUGAUGGAGAGACUCCUUAAAUAAAAUCUUGAUAAUUUGAGAUGCACAUUUCUCAUUUGAUGUAUUGUAGGCGAACUAAAAUCUUAAUAUGAUUUGAGUGACUUAUCUAAGCAGGGAUGUUAUCUUACAGAACAUCCUAGAAAGAACACACCUAUAUGAGUUUGCAUGUUAGUCAUAGUCUAUCAUGUGUGGUAAUCUUUAUAUACUCAUGAAAGGCUUGAAGUUUGACUUAUAUGCUUCAAACCAAGGGGGUGCUUGUAACAGUCUAGUACAAGAUAAGAACAUUGGUAAAACUCACUUAACGCAAAAUUGUCAAUUUAAGGCAUAGUUCAUUGUUUAGAUGUGAAUGUGUAAUCCCUGUUCUAGAUGGAUGGUCAACUUAACAGCCUCCACCAAAACCCUGAUAUCUCAAAGAGUAGUGGAUUUGAGUUUGUCUAAUAUGUGGUUUAGAUUUUGGUGGGGAAUUUUAAUAUUUUAUGGGCUUGGCCCAUUUAAGGUAUUUAAUACUUUCAAAAGACAAGAUUAAACAUGUGUGAAUAGUGUCAUGAUUUUUUUCUAGUGCAAAAUAGCCCAACAAAUCAACACAUAUGUGGCUAUCAUUACACAUGUGUAAAGGUAAUGCAUCACACCAUUGUCACCCAUGUAUUUAGAAAAUACCAAGAAGAAAAACAACUUGUUUAUUGUAUUUUAUGGAGAUUAUCUUGCUUACAUAUAAUUAUAACCCAACAAAGUGGUCACUAAAUGUCAAAACCAACUAGGUACCAGGUCAUCUCUAGCUUAUCUUGCUAAUGAUAUUUUUGCAAAAUCCAAAAUUAAUCUUGCACAAGCACAAGGACUGAGAUGUGUAUAAAAAUCUCUUAGAUUAGUAGGUAAUCCAUCACACAAAGCGCAAUAGUGUAGCAAAACUGGCAGUCAAAAUAUUUUGCCUCCUUAUGCUCCUUGCUCUUUCUGCAAGUGCUGCUAACGCGACCAAUUUUCUGCAAUGCUCACAAGAUCCAAUUGCUUCCCUUCUUCCCUCAUACCUCUCACCAGCGACAUCUUCAGUAUGUGAAAACCCAAUUCUUCAACCCUAUAGGAUCCAACAGGCAAUCACAGCAAGCAUCUUACCUUUAUCACCCUUGUUCCUCCAACAACCGCCAGCCCUGUUACAACAAUUACCUUUGGUGCAUUUGUUGGAACAAAGCAUCAAGGCACAACAACUACAACAACCUGUGCUGACAAACCUUGUUGCCUACUCUCAGCAACAAUAGUUUCUUCCAUUCAACCAACUGGCUGCACUGAACUCUGCUGCUUAUUUGCAACAACAACAACAACUUCCAUUCACCCAGCUAGCUGCUGCCUACCCCCAACAAUUUCUUCCAUUCGACUAACUGGCUGCAUUGAACUCUGUUGCUUAUUUACAACAGCAACAACUAAUACCAUGAAACCAGCUAGCUGUUGCGAGCCCUGCUACCUUCUUGACACAACCACAGUUGAUGUCGUUCUACCUGCAAGCUGUGGCUAACGUCGGCACCCUCUUACAACUACAACAAUUGUUGCCAUUCAUCCAACUUGCUUUGACAAACCCAAUAGUGUUCUACCAACAACCCAUCAUUGGUGGCGCCCUCUUUUAUAUUUCUUAUGGGUUAUAGUUCAAUAAUGAAGUUUUUGGCUGAUGUUUGUGGCUUCCCAGAAAUAAGAAAGUAUAUUUCUAGAUUCUUAUGUGCUACUAGUCUCCAAAUGUGGUUGAUAAUUAUGUUGCUCUAAGAACGGGAGUAAUGAGGUAUAAAUCAUUGUUGAGGUGUGAUACUCGGGUAGUUGAGCAUUAGCACGCACAAAUAUGAUGAGGACGGUAUAAUCUCCAAAAAUAUGUACUUUGUUAGGUGGGACCCUAUAGCCAUGCAGAAUGUGCUCUGUUAGACACGUCGAUGGAAACGUGUCACACAUACGUUUUGUGAACCUAUUGAUAUUGUAUGUGCUUUUAGUUGUGUGGUGCUAUAGAUAUGAGGGCUUGUUUCACGUAAUGAGCUAGGGUAGAAAAAUAAUUAUUUGCCUUGGAUUGUUAUGGAAGAACAUACCAAUUGUGACUGCCAUCUCAAUCUAGCUAACAUCUAAGUGACCUAAAAGGAGAGCAUAAGGAACUGAUCUACAAUGACUAGCCUAGUGGUUUUAUAGGAAAUGGCAAAGAGGAAAAUGUGUUUAAGUUAUUACAAUUGUAUGGUUUAAAACAAGCACCUAAGCACAUGAGAAAUUUUAUGAAGUUCUGACUUUGGCUAAAUUUGUUGUAAAUGAAGCUGAUAAAUGUGUCUAUUGCUAGUUUGAGAGGAGGGAUGGCAUGACCUGUUUUUUAUAUUUGGAUGAUAUAUUAAUCUUUUGUAAUGAUGUUAAUAUUAUCGAGGAAGUAAAAUACUCUUUGUGUGGUAACUUUGAAAUAAAUGAUUUUGGAGAGGCUAAUGUUGUUCUUAACAUAAAGAUGUUGGGAGAAGGAGGAAAUAGGGGGUAACUCUUGUGAAUCCUAUUAGGUUGAAAAGACAUUUAGUUGUUUUGGAUAUAGUAACUACACAUCUGGUCAAAUUACUUAUGACACAAGCGUGUUGUUAAGGAAAAUGAUAUAAUCGCAUAGAAUCAAAUGAGAUACUAUCAAAUCAUGGUCUUCUCGUGUAUUUGGCUAAUCCAACGAGGCCUAAUAUCUCAUUGCUAUGAUUAAACUUAGUCGAUUUGUAUACAAUGUAGGGGAUGAUCAUGGCAAGCCCUAGAGAGGGUAUUGCGCUACCUAAAAGGGACUAUGAGUAAUGUAAUUUACUAUACCAGGCACCUAAGGGUACCAGAGUGUUACAAUGAUGCAAACAAGAUAUCUGAUGGUGACGAGAUUUAUGCCACAAGUGGAUAUGUGUGCUUGCUUGGAGGUGUGAUAGUUUCAUGGAAGUCUUGUAAGUAUACCAUCUUAACAAGAUCAACAAAACAAGUAGAACUGGCAACAUAAGAUACUACCAUAGUUGAAGCUAAGUGGCUUCUUGAACUCCUUAUGGAUUUACCAGUAGUUGAAAACUAAUAGUGGUUAUCUCUAUGAUCUAUGAUAAUCAAAUAGUCGUAAUCAAAGUGAACAGUUCUAAGGAUAACAUGAAUUCUACAAAGCAUGUCAAAAAGCGAUUGAAACUAUUAGAACACUAAGAAUCUCUAGAGUAAUUGUGUUGGACUAUGUCCAUACAUCUAAGAAUUUGGUAGGUCGAUUUAGAGAAGGUUUGUCCAUAAUGUGAUAGAUGGUGCAUCGUGUAAGAUGGGCUUGAGACCCUCUUAAUGCCAUUCCUUAGUGGUAGCAUGUUCUAUGUGAUUGGAGAUCUCGUGAAGUAGAAUGGUGAAACAAGAUAGAGAAUGACUGAUGGAGAGACUCCUUAAAUAAAAUCUAGGUAAUUUGAUAUGCAUAUUUCUCCUUUGAUGUAUCGUAGGCUAACUAAAAUCUUAAUAUGAUCGGAGUGAUUUAUCUAAGCAGGGAUGUUAUCUUAUAGAACAUCCUAGAAGGAACACACCUAUAUGAGUUUGACUGCUAUUCAUAGUCUAUGAUAUUUGGGAAAUCUUUAUAUACACCUGAAAGGCCUAGAAAUGUGACUUCUAUGCUUCAAACCAAGGGGAUGCUUGUAACAAUCUAGUAUCAGAUAAGAACUUUGGUGAAACUCACUUCAUGCAAAACCGUUAAUUCAAAGCAUAGUCCAUUGUUCAGAUGUGAAUGUAUAACCCAUGUUCUAGAUGGAUGGUCAACUUAAUAGCCUCCACCAAGACCAUGAUAUAUCAAAGAGUAGUGGAUUUGAGUUUGUCCAAUAUGUGGUUUAGAUUUUGGUGGGGAAUGUUAAUAUUUUAUUGGCUUGACCCAUUUAAAGUGUUUAAUAAUUUUGAAAGACAAGAUUAAACAAAC
RNAcentral lists this long non-coding RNA (102426 nucleotides) under Zea mays. RNAcentral describes it as "long non-coding RNA (ZMAY_LNC002145)". The record is from RNAcentral. Lineage: Eukaryota; Viridiplantae; Streptophyta; Magnoliopsida; Poales; Poaceae.